RNAcentral lists this long non-coding RNA (126673 nucleotides) under Pelobates cultripes (western spadefoot toad). Lineage: Eukaryota; Metazoa; Chordata; Amphibia; Anura; Pelobatidae. The record is from RNAcentral.
CUGAGUCUGUCUUUAUUCUUGGCACUGACAGGAAGGAUUUGUUGGCUGACCGAAGUGAACGGGAUGGACAGUAAGGUGUCAGGAGCUCUUUCAGGUACUGUGGGCCUUGAUUAUUUAAGGCUUUGAAGGUUAGCAGGCCAAUUUUAAAAUAUAUUUGCCAUUUAAUUGGAAGUCAAUGCAGGGAGUGGAGAACAGGUGUUAUGUGGCAAGAGCGAGUUUAAUUGGUCAGUAGUCUGGCUGCUGCAUUUUGUACAGUCUGAAGGCGAUGGACUUAUUUUUCUGGGAGGCCCAAGUAAAGUACAUUGCAGUAAGACCAAGAUGAUACAAGUGCAUGGAUUAAUGUUGGCAUAUCAUCCGGUGGAAUUAAGUGUUGUAUCCUGGCUAUGUUUUUCAGAUGAAAGUUGGCAGAUUUCAUUACGGAGGAAAUAUGCUGUUUAAAUGAUAGUCCAGAGUCAAUCAGCACUCCGAGGUUUCGUACCUUAGAUAAACUGAUGAGUUCAGAGCCUCCAAGCCCCAAGUCAGUUGGGUGAUCAUGGGAUAUGUUUGUUGCCCGGGGUCCCUUCACCAAGAGUAACUCUGUUUUGUCCGGGUUCACUUUAAGCCAACUAGCAUUCAUCCAUUCUUUGAGAUAUGCUAAGCAACUGUUGAUGUGGCAUGUUGGGUCUGUGGUAUCUGGAGCAAAGGAGAAGUAGAGUUGUGUGUCAUCAGCAGAACAGUGAUACCAUAGGCCAUGUGCCUGACGAUGAUAGCAUGGGAGACAAGAUGGAUCCUUGUGGAACUCUGCAGGCCAGUUCUGUUGGUGCCGAUGAGCAUGAUCCUGAUGUUACUCUCUAUGAUCUACCAGUGAGUAGUACUCACCUAAGGUGUUUUGUCUUGACGUGGCAGGUGAGCUUACACUUUAAUGCCCAUUGGAACAUUACUAAAAACCUUCAGUUAUUUAAAUGUGUAUAGUGAUUUGGGAUUGUGCGCAAGUAACUUUUUCUUUGCUUUUAUUUUACGUAUUGGGGCAGAUAUGUACUUUAGUCGUUGCUGCCGCCUAGGAGUAACGGGCACUUGAACACAGGAUUCAAGUGCUCGUUACUCCAAUGCUGUCGCCCACCCUGUGUUUUCCCUAUUAAGAGUUAAUAAGUGUGUAGAGGUUUAGAAAAAUACCCUCUCUGUCUCAUUAGAGAUUUUACCUUUCAGCAUAAAGCAGCAAGGUGAAUUGUUAGUGUACAACUCACUGACAAGCUUUUGUCUUGACAUGGCAGGGGAGCUUACACUUUAAUAGCAACUGGAGUGAUACUAAAAAAAUCCCUCCAGUUAUUUAAAUGUGCCUAGGGAUUAGGGAUAGUGUGCAAGUAACUUUCUUUCGCAUUACAAACGCUACAUGGCUGGCUGAAAAAAACAGGGAGCAGAGGAAACAAUACUGUGCAUCAUAAGAGUGCAGCGCCUUUAUAUUGUUGUUUAAGAUGACUGUUUUUAGCAUGCUGUAACUUUACAUUAUUUGAAUAAUAGUAUACCAUCUAACCGCAGUAGACACUAGUCUUUGACUGCCUGAGAAUAAUGGUAAAAAUCUAAAGAAUAAUACCACACUGUUAUAUAGAUUAAUCAGAAAAAGUUUUUUUUUUUAUAUGUUUUACCUUUAUUUAUAAAUAUUGAUAAAUAUAUUGGCACAAGGUUGGAUGAAAGUACAAAUGUUUGUCUAGAAUAUCAAAUUAUAUCUCCACAAUUCCAUUCAAACAAAAAUUUAAACACUAGUUACAACCUCAACCAUCGCCAAAUGAGCAUACUCAGAAAAUGUGCCAAAAGACAUACAAAGAAGUUUCUUACAGAGAAAUACAAUAUAUAUACAAAACAGGCUGCUACCCCCUUAAUCAUAUCAAAUCGCAGGAAUCUAUCUUUGAGUUUGAAGGAAGGUGCACACAACGCUUCUAAUCUUUUUAAACUCUAAAGUCCUGGAAUCCCUCCAGCAAUGACAAGCAGUUCAUUAGACUAAAUUUUGUAUUUUCCACUGAUUUCUUUAAAAAAAAUUAAAAAACAAAUCCAAAAAUCCAAAUAAAAAAAUAAAAAAAUGCAGAAGUCCUAAGGCUACAAUCCUUAUAUACAGCAAUUAGUUCAAUAUCACCAGUAGGCUGAUGUAAUGUUAGGAGCUGCUUUAAACAAGAGGUCCUCAAGAACAAAUGAAGGGAUGACAGGUCCCGCACGCACAGCCCCAGAAUGCAAGGACCGCAGAGGAAUGCAAUUUAAAGUUCGGCAAACUACAGGAAAAACGGAUUGUGUUUAAUGACCUCGUUUUAAAAAAAAUCAGCUACUAGAAAUACAUCAGCCUAGUUCAUAUAGGUAUGGUGAGCUGCAGUGGUUAUGGUGCAUUGUGUCUAUUUAACUAAAAAUCUUGCAUUACUAAAGCAGCUUCCAGUUCAUAUUCCUUCAAUUCUUCUGCUCAAGUCUAUCUCUAUUGUUACCUAUACCAUCAUCUCUCACAGUCUCUUUUCCACUUUUCUUGAAUUCUCCCUUGAUCUAUACUUUUUUCUCUCUUGCUGCCCCUAUCCUCAAUUAUACAUAGACCUUUGCUCUUUCUAUACCAUUUUCUUAUUACUUAUAGUUAUAUUCUGUAUUCUUAGAUCUCCUGGUACGUGUAGGACUUCUCACCUACAGUUUUUUGCCAUUUUCUUCUAUGCCUCUCUCUGUCUUUUCCGCUAUUUUCCACCCUUACCAUUUUCGCCACUUUUUAGGGAUAGAUUUUUCUACCCAAGCCUAAUAUUAAUAUCCCAGUGCACAAUUAAUGUGUCACUUCACCAGUGUGCAACUGACAUCUAUCUUUGCUCUGUAGGUGCUGUUAUUCCCAGCCCAAAUAACCUUUCUAAUUCCCCUUAAAACUUAAAGCCCUUUAUACUCCGUUUGAUAUCCACGUUGCUAAACCGGACUGAACUCUUACUCCAUUGCCACUUGUUGCUGACUUGGACUGGACUUAACUUUUCUAUUUUCCCUUUGAAUUUAUUCUUUAUUGCCAGACUGGAUUGGACUUUUACUAUUCUCUAGGAUUUUCCCUCUGCUUCGGUUACCUGAUGCCAACCCGGACUGGAUCUGACACUUCUUCUGGAUUCCCCUUUUGGACUGAUUAAUUGCUGCCAGACCGGAUUGGACUUUAACCUUGCUUUUGGAUCACCCAUUCUAUUGCCUCACUGCUAACGACCUGGAUUGGACUUUACUACUCUUCUGGAUUCUCCCAAAUAAAUUGGAUUAUCACCUAAGUUCCAUUUUAGUAGUAAACUUCAUCAUGGCAACGAUACAAUUUCUCCAAGCCUGUCAUCUUAAACCAGUGAGCAGUCUUUAUUUUUAAUCUAUUUGGCAAGUUGUUUAAAAAUAUUACAGUGUAAGAGCAGUGCGUGUGUGUGUGUGUGCAAGAGCCGGUGUGUAUGUGUAAGAACCAGUGUGUAUGUGUAAGAACCAGUGUGUGAACUUCUGUGUGUGUGUGUAAGAACCAGCGUGUGAGUGAGUGUGUGUGUUCCUUUCCUAUGUAUUGAUGUUUACACAUACAUACACAAACAUACACACAUACACACACACACACACACUACAGAGAGGAGUAAGAAAUUCAGAGGGGGGAGAGAUACACAAAGGGGGGGAAGAGAACAAAGGUGACAAAAGAGAUAAGAUACAUUAAAGGGAGAAAUACAUUCAGAAGCGGAACAAAAGCCAUAAGGGGGUUUAGAGGCCACAAAAGGUGGGAUUUUCAAAAGCAUGAAAAUAAUGACAAACAGGGUAUCCAAUUUAAAAAAAAGGAAAACCUAAAACAAAAAUGCAAGAUGCACAAACAGGCAAAAGUAUAGGUAAGAUGGGCAAAAGUAGGGUUAGUAGACAUACAGGUGUAGGUGAAUUUUGGGGGGGGUGUCAAAAUGCGUCUUCACCUGUGCAGAAAAAAAUCCUUGCAGCCGCACUGCUUGAUCCUGUGAAGGAGCAUGAAGGCGCGCAACGCCACACUGAUGUCGACAUGCUCCACCUUCCUUUAAUGUUUCUAGGCAACUAAAGGAUCUGCUCUGACACAGGGUGCGGGCGAUGGAGCUUUGAGGCCAGAGUCUGUCAGCAGCAGGAAGCAACAAGCAAACCUUCAUCAAUUGUGAGUGGAGAGUCUGCUUGCUUAAUUUUUUUAUUUUUUUUAAUGGAUACUACUGUAGAGGGGGGUGACAGGGGUUUGUAAAAGAGGGUGACGUGUUUUGUAGAAGUUGGACCAGGAUUGUGUAAAUAGAGUGGACAGGGGUUUUGUAGAAGGUGGGAUGGGUUUAGUAGAAGGGGGCAGGGGUUUAGUGGAAGAGGGCAGGGUUUUCGUAGAAGGGGGUGACAGAGGUUUUGUUGAAGGGGAUGACAAGGGAUUUUUUUUUUUUUUUUUUUAGAUUAAUUCAAUGCGACACGUGCAGUAGUCACAAUAAGGCUUUUACUGUAUGUAAGAAAAGGUGUGUGUGUUUUUUUUUUUAGUAGGUAGCUGGUCAUUUAAAAAGUAGAUCAUGACACUAAAAAGCAUGGUUACCCCCUGGUCUACAGCAGGUCCCUACAUGCUUUUUAAUGUAAAUGCUGCCUUUUAAGAGAAAAGGUAGUGUUUACAUUGGUGCCUAGCAACACCUUUAGUGUCACUGAGACGGCUACUGGAGGCCCUCCCUAUCUCAGUGCUGCACACUGGCAUUUAGCAUCUCAAUGAUCUGCAUAGAGGCUCCAAAUGUUUCCCACAGAGAUGCGUUGAUUCAACGCAUCUCCAUGAGGAGAUGCUGAUUGGCACAGUGCUGCAUUUUGCUGUCCAUUCCUAUGGGAAAGCAUUGGAUUGGUUGAAACCAUUGAGAUUGAUAAUAUAAGCCAUGAAAGCAGAGCCAGCCAAGGCGAGACCAGCGCUGUUUGGGGAAAAAAGGGGAGUCAGGAAUAUGUUAAUACAUGAAGACUAGAACAAAAACGUCAUGGGCAUUUAACUUAUGCAGAGAAUGAAUAAACUCUAAGUGUGACACACCAGAUGUUUUAUGCAAUACAUCAGUUUAUUUUAUUAAAUAUUUUAUUAUUAUUUUUUUAUUUAUUUUUUUUUGUGGCCAUGAACAUACCAUAUAUUUUUAGAAUGAAAGUAAACACUACCUUUCUCUUAAAAAUUCAUUGACAGACACACACAGUCACUGAUUUGACACCCCCCCCUCCAUUGUCUGGCCUCACAUGGUGACAUGGUGUAAUUGAACCCCAAUGUUUGUUUGCUGAGACUGUAUUUUAUAUAUAUAUAUUGGUCUUUACAGCAGCCCAAUUCACUUUUUUUUUCUGUGUAGAUUUGGAAUCCAUACCAGAUUCCUAUUUGGUUGAGCACCCCACCCAUCCACUAUAGGUGCCCCUUCGGAGGUGACAACAGGAAAGCAAAUUAAAGAGCGUCUCUAAAGAAGCAUGCUAAUCUCCCAAGUUAAAAUUAGUGUAGAACCCACCAGUAUUGGUGUAACCGCUGGUGGUUCCCUUAUUUACCACUAUAAUGUCUUAAAGCGUAGAACUUAGUAGGGCUAACCAUACAGAUAUCUUAGCCAUAAUUGUAUAUAGUUAGUAAGAGAUCCUCUAUUUAACAAAUAUAAAUAAUUGAGAACACAAUAUAAAAUAAGGAUUGUCUUGGAAGCAAUAGUUUUGUCUUUUGGAUAUUUAUUAUAUAAAAAUAUAAAAUCCAUUAUAGCAGAGUUUAUAAGAUUAAAUGACAUGCUUGCAAAUAUCAUUAAUAGGUUAACAUACCCUUCUGAACAUGUCAUCAUGUCAGCCUCUCUGUCAUUUUAAGAUGGAGCAGCGUCUGUCUCCAAGUCUCUCCUCUGUGUCUUAACAUUUAAAAGUACACCUAUUUAUACCUUAGGUGUCUCCAUUUUAGAGUUACCGUAGUUCAAAUAUGAAAAGUAACACUUCUUUUACUUUAUUCAUUUUAGGACCUCCCUUAACUUGGCAAACAUACAAGGCCAUAACUAAAGGGUGCAAACGUCAUGGAAAUUUUCCUGACUUAGUUCAAGAUGGCAUCUUAAAGUCUGAAUAGAUUAUCUGUUGUUUAUACUAAGUCGUAAGUGUACAGUCGUGGGAGAUUCCCGGAUUUGGGGAAGUUCCAUUAACUUGGGGUUACCACAGUAUAUUGUGUACUGAAAGAGUCCUAGCAUAGCCUUGAAGCUUGUUUAUGCAUUAUUGUUAUUGUAAUUCAUCUGGGACAAAAUGGCCGAAACACAUGCACUCAGCUUAUUGCUUAAAGAAACAGUUAUGAAAAACAAUAUGUUCUGUAACAGACCGUUUUGCACAAAAGGGAAAAAAAACGCUUAGACGAUAAUCCCCUUUCAGAGACAGGCACAGCUACUGUAGAAUCACCAAAACUCACGAACUGAAUACAAGUGAAUGCUCCAAACUCCUGAACGGCAUACAAGGGAAUGCUCCAAACACUCGAACUGCAUACAAGGGAAUGGUCCAAACACUCGAACUGCAUACAAGUGAAUGCUCCAAACUCCCGAACGGCAUACAAGGGAAUAAGGUAGCACUCCAAAUACACGAACAGGAACCAUACGAAUUGCUGCUACCAGACGAACAGGAAAAGCUCCCAAGCGGCUUACACUCCUGGCAAUCAGUCCUUAGCAGCAUACAGUAAAUCCCCCCCCAAAGACGAGACAGAGCUCCGUGUUGAGGGUCAAGCAGUGGUCUGUUUAAUGAGGGCUACCUGCCCAGUAUUUAUGCAGGUCUCUCACCUGGUGGACACUCCCCUAGAGAACCAAAUGGGAGACUGUGACAAAAGACAGACAAGUAGACAAAUAGGACACACAGUCACAAUAUAUUCCCACAAUGCAUCCUGGCUUCCUUCCCUCUGCCCUGGGAGAUAAUUGGGAAGUAAUUAAAUUAUCUCCCAAGACAAAGGCAAAACUUCAUUACACAUGUGGGGAUACAAAACCAGUAUUAUACUUUAAAAUACAUAAAGUAACAUUUAUUACAUAAAACACAGACAUGUAACAUAUCCCCAGAUAGCUCAGGUCUGAGCGCACAUUAUUAAGCGAAUGGCGCUCAGACCACACGAAUACCAGUUUAAUCGCCAUGGAGCCAAAGUCUUUACAGUCAGUUUCAUACGAAUGGGCUCCAUGGGAUUCCUAUCUGGGGUAUAACACAUUCAACCAAAACUACCAAACACCGGGCCGUUCGUGCACUUCCACCGAACAAGAAGGGAGGUCGGCGGCUUCAGCGGUGUUCGCGCAAAACUGUGUCCGAUUUUAGUUCCAUGAAAAUAGAGGCGAACACCGCUGUGCAUUCGUAUGUUUAAAAUGGCCGCGACCUCGUGUUCGGGAUACGAAUGGCGGCCACCCAGCAUUCGUCAAUUAAGCUGCGGUUAACCGCAGCUUCAGGUAGGUUAAUUGCCGGCACACUCCAGCUCCCAGGUGGUCUUUUCAUUCGUGCAGUUGUUCGGUAGAUUGAAUCUACCGAACAACUGGCAGAAAAGCACAAAUACAGCUUUUCUCCAGGCGAAAUAAAGUCUUUUAAAAGGGGGCCAUAGUCCAGAGGCAGCAGGCGAGCAACCAGGCUUCUCCAAUGCAAUGUGGCAGAUUCUUUCAGCUCCUUCUCUUUUGUGAAGUAUUGACAUUUCUGUGUUUCAAAUAAAGACUGCCUUUUAAAAAGAAACCAUCAGGUGUGACCGGAUACUUGUAUUUACCUCCCCCCUCCCCUAUUAAUAUAACCGUUGUCAACAGCCAUCAUUCAGUACCACCCAUUCCAUUUACAUAGUAUAGUCAUUGCUACAUAGUCCCAGCCAACCUUCUCCAUGAAAACAAAAGGGCACAUUUUUCUUAGAUAUUGCCCCAAACACUCUCUCUAUAUUUACAAAGGCGUUUUAUUCCAUCCAUUGUCCCCAUCACCCUCUGUGUUAUUGUCACUCCCAGGGGCGGACUGACCACUCGGCACUUCGGUCAUAGACCGAGGGCCCGAGACAGUCAGGGGCCCGGCCGCACAGUAAUGCUCCAGCUGGAGAGAUCAGAGAUCUCUCCAACUGGAACCAAAAAAUAAUAAAAUAAAACUAUUUAAUUGAUAGGUUGUGGGGCCCCUGAUGGAGAGCGGGGCCCCCACAACCUACCGCUCUGCAAGUCACCCCUUCCCCUCCCCUCCCCUCCCAUGAGACCUGGCAGUUUUACCAGCUCUCUGCCAGGUCUCCUUCUCCCUGUCCCGCGGUGCUCUGUGUGUGAUGGGGAGAGGCGGGGCCAGGAAGUGACAGCACUUCCUGUGUACUCCUCUCACACAGAGCCCAACAGCGGGAAGGAGCAGCAGCCAGGGACAGAAGAGGAAGCAGAGAGACAGGUAGGAUAUAGUCACCCCCCCCACUGUGUCACUAUUCACCCCCCACUGUCACUAAUCACCCCCCCGUCACUCGUUACCCCCACUGUCACUAAUCACCCCCCGUCACUAGUCACUGUCACUAGUCCCCAAUGUCACUAGUCACCCCCUACUAGUCACCCCCUACUGAUGUCACUAGUCACCCCGUCACUAGUCACCCCCCGUCACUAGUCACUCCCCGUCACUAGUCCUCCCCGUCAGUAGUCACCCCCACUGACUCACUGUGUCACUAGUCACUCCCCACUACUAGUCACCCCCGUCACUAGUCACCCCCCGUGUCACUAGUCACCCCCGUGUCACUAAUCACCCCCUCACUGUCACUAGUCACCCCCCACUGUCACUAGUCACCCCCCGUCACUAAUCACCCCCCCACUGUCACUAGUCACCCCCCGUCACUAAUCACCCCCCUGUCACUAGUCACCCCCCUGUCACUAGUCACUAGUCUCACUCUGUCACUAGUCACCCACUCACUCUAGUGACAGAGUGAGGGAGAGGGUGACUAGUGACAGAGGGAGGGGGUGACUAGUGACAGAGUGAGGGUGGGGAUGACUAGUGACAGAGUUAAGGAGGGAGUGACUAGUGACAGAGGGAGGGGGUGACUAGUGACAGAGUGAGGGGAUGACUAGUGACAGAGUUAGGGAGGGAGUGACUAGUGACAGAGGGAGGGGGUGACUAGUGACAGAGUGAGGGGAUGACUAGUGACAGAGUUAGGGAGGGUGUGACUAGUGACAGUCACCACCUCCCUCACUCUGUCACUAGUCACCAUCUCCCUCACUCUGUCACUAGUCACCCCCUCCCUCAUUCUGUCACUAGUCACCCCCUCUGUCACUAGUCACCCCUCCCUCACUCUGUCGCUAGUCACCCAUUUUCUCCCUCACUCUGUCAGUAAUCACCCCCUCACUCUGUCACUAGUCACCCUCUCCCUCACUCUGACACUAGAGUGAGGGGAUGACUGGUGACAGAGUGAGGGAAGGGGUGACUAGUGGCAGAGUGAGGGAAGGAAGGGGUUACUGGUGACAGAGUGAGCGGAUGACUGGUGACAGAGUGAGGGGAUGACUGGUGACAGUGAGAGAGGGGGUGACUAGUGACAGUAAGGGAUGGAGGGGGUGACAAGUGACAGAAGGAGGGACGGAGUAGUGUCAGAGGGAGGUGGUGACUAGUGACAGAGUGAGGGAGGUAGUGACUAGUGACAGUCACCACCUCCCUCACUCUGUCACUAGUCACCCCUUCCUUUCCUCACUCUUCCACUAGUCACAGAGUGAGGGAGGGUGUGACUAGUGACAGAGUGAGGGAGGGGGUGACUAGUGACAGAGUGAGGGAGGGAAGUAGUGACUAGUGACAGAGUUAGGGAGGGAAGGGGUGACUAGUGACAGAGUGAGGAAGGGGGUGACUAGUGACAGAGGGAGGGGUGACUAGGGACAGAGUGAGGGAGGUGGUGACUAGUGACAGUCAUCACCUCCCUCACUCUGUCACUGUGUCACCCCCUCCCUCUGUCACUAGUCACCCACUCCCUCCCUCACUAUGUCACCAGUCAUCCCCUCACUCUGUCACCAGUCACCCCUUCCUUCCCUCACUCUGCCACUAGUCACCCCUUCCCUCACUCUGUCACCUGUCACCCCCUCACUCUGUCACUAGUCACCCCCUCACUCUAGUGACAGUGAGGGAGAGUGUGACUAGUGACAGAGAGAGGGACGAUGUGACUAGUGACAGUGAGGAAGGGGGUGACUAGUGACAGAGUGAGGGAGGGUGUGACUAGUGACAGAGUGAGGGAGGGGGUGAUUAGUGACAGAGGGAGGGAUGGGGUGACUAGUGACAGUCACCACCUCCUUCACUCUGUCACUAGUCACCCACUCCCUCCCUCACUCUGUCACUAGUCACCCCCUCUCUCACUCUGUCACUAGUCACCCCCUCUCUCACUCUGUCACCAGUCAUCCCUUCCUUCCCUCACUCUGCCACUAGUCAUCCCUUCCCUCACUCUGUCACCAGUCAUCCCCUCACUCUGUCACCAGUCACCCUUUCCUUCCCUCACAGUGACAGUUAGGGAGGGAGUGACUAGGGACAGAGGGGGUGAUUAGUGACAGAGUAAGGGAGGGGGUGACUAGUGACAGAGUGAGGGAGGGCGUUACACAGUGACAGAGUGAGGGGGUGACUAGUGACAGAGUGAGGGAGCGGGUGACACAGUGACAGAGUUAGGGAGGCAGUGACAAGUGACAGAGAGAGGGAUGGGGUGACUAGUGACAGUCACCCCCUCCCUCCCUCUGUCACUAGUCACCCCCUCCCUCUGUCACUAGUCACUCCCUCACUCUGUCACUAGUCACUCCCUCACUAGUCACUCUGUCACAAGUCAUCCCCUCACUCUGUCACCAGUCAUCCCUUCCCUCCCUCACUUUGCCACUAGUCAUCUCUUCCCUCCCUCACUCUGCCACUAGUUACCCAUUCCCUCACUCUGUCACUAGUCACCCCCUCUCCCUCCCUCUGUCACUAGUCACCCACUCCCGCACUCUGUCACCAGUCACCCCCCCUCACUGUGUCUACCCCCUCACUCUGCCACCACUCAACCACCCCCUCCCUCACUCUGCCACCAGGUACCCCCUCACUCUGCCACCUGUCACAACCUCCCACACUCUUCCACCUGUCACCUUCUUCCUCACACACUCUGUCACCUGUCACAUAUGCAUUCACACUGACACUAUAUACAAAAAAAGCUCAUGUAGUUAUCCAGACAUGCACAAGUGCAUUCACACAGACUCAAAUACAAACAUGCAUUGAUACACAGGUCUUCACAAUAUACACAUCCAAAGGAAUGCCGUAUUAUGAGUUAUAUUUAACAUUUAUUUAAUGCACAUAUAUUUGGCCUUCAAAGGGCCUGGGAUCUAAUUUUGCCCGGGGGCCCCAAAGGCUCUCAGUCCGCCCCUGGUCACUCCCUUCAUUUACAUCCCCAUAUUACUCAUUACUAGACUCCAUUAUCCCCAUGAUUACCCAUCCCUUGUAACAUAACCCGCAUACCUAUAUUCAAAUGUUUGGAGUGGUUGUAUUGCUUGGAAUGCGGAAUCACAGUACAGUGAAUCAGAAAGAAAGACACCCGCUGGUCUUAUUUUACUUUUUUUUUUUUUCUUUAGAAGAAAUCAGAAUGUUACAGGGCCUUGGGCAUGUUUGUGAUCACUAUUCAUUCUUCACAUAGGGAGGGUGAAUGGAGAAAAUAAAUGAAUGGUUCUUUGCCACUUGCUAACCCCUGGUCACUAGGUGUCCAUCUAAGGUUACCUAAUGGGUAAUUUUGCUCUGGAACACACAUGCAAAAAUGUGGCAGCACAAGGGGCAAUAAACCUGAAUUUUCAAUAGUGCAGUAAAAACCCCAUGAGUUGGCUCUUAUUGAAGCUGGUUUAUAAGGUAAACACUCACCUCUUCCAUUCUCUAAAUCCCAUCCAAGCUGUGUAGUGUCUGACCGAGAUUGGUUAAUCUGGGCUUGGUAGCAUGGAGGUGGAAAAGAUGCUAAUUAGAAAAUAAAAAACAAAUAGAAUAAAAAUAAAGCAUACAUUUACAGGGUGCCCAAAAGAGUUAAAGUAUUGUCUGAGGAAAUGGACCCAGCAAACAAUGCAAGUCCACAGUCACAUUUGUGAAAUUAUUUAAACUUUAUCUGCAUCAUUGUGUGUCCCCUGGUGCUGUUUACCACCACUCUACAGACCCUAUUUAUAACAACACACACACACAUUAAUACACACAAUAUCUGCUCUCCACAUAAAGCCCCUGGGACCGCGGUCUCUCUACCGGCCAUACAGGGAUGCUGGGCAGUCGGCCCAGAUCUCCAGCGGCAGUGUGUUUCACUGGGAGCGAAGAGCAGCUUCCUCCCUCCCCAGCGGCAGAGUGUCCUACAGGGAGCAGAGACAGUCGGUCUCUCUUCCCAGCGACAGGACAAAUUAUGGAAAGGGGAGACAGUCAGUCUCCCUCUUCAACAGCAGAGAGAUUGUCAGGGAGGGGAGCCUGUUUCCCCCUCUCCCCAGAGGCAGUGUCCUAUACUAGGAGGGGAGAGCCUCAUUCCCCCUCCCCAGCAGCAACUUAUUACACAAAGGGGAGACAAUACACUAUCCACCGGUGCAGAUGGGACCGUGGUCUCCACGCCCAAACUACAGGGAGUGGGGACAGUCGGUCCUACUCCCCAGCAGGAGAGUGUCCUACAGGGAGCAGAGACAGUCACUCCCCAGCAGCAGGACAAUGUAUUGGGAGUGGAGACCAUCAGUUCCCCUCCCCAGCGGCAGUAUAUGGUUCAGGGAGAAGAGCCUGUUACCACCUCUCCCCAGCGGCAGCUUAUUAACCAAAGGGGAGACCCUAGUCUCCCAGAUGACACAGACGGUGAGUGACCUCUGUACCUGAACCACAGGGAUGCAGGGCAGCCUGGCCAGACCACCAGCAGCAGGACCAUUUAUUGGAAGAGGAGACAGUUGGUCUCCCCCUCCCACCACAGCACCGGUUCCAGGGAGAGGAGCAUACUACCCCCUCUGCCCAGCUAAGGCACCAACCAGGCUACUCCAGCUGAAGCGCUGGCACCAGGGCAGAGUACCGCGGUCUCUGCCCACUCAGCAACCCAGAGUGCCAGUACCCCACACAGCCGUGGGGGAGCCCCUGGACAAAGGCAAGCUACACAUUACCCCGGGUGCAGUAACUAUUUAUUGUGGGUGGGCUGUUGGGCUGCUGAUUAUGUUUUGUGGGUGGGUUGCUGGACUAACCAAGGCACUGACCGACAGUCUUGUUAGUCUUGUUGGGAAAGGGGAGAAGAGUGGUGGGACCAACCUCAUCACUGGGCAUUGGAGAAGCCUGUUUGCCCGCCUCCUGCCUUCUGACUAUGGCCCCUGUGAGACGUUGCCCUGUGUAAGCAUUAUUUGGGCUUACUGGAUUUUGAAACACUUUUUCUGCCCCUUUGAAAACAUGAGAAGGUGUGCCCCUCCCCCGUUUCCUGUCUAUUGUUCUCCAGCAGGGCGUUGUCCCAGGGAUACUGCCAGACCAGUUGGAACUUAUUGCUAAACUUUAACCCCAUGGUGAUUUGACUGUGUUUGUGGGAUCUGAGCGCUGUUCGGAUAUAGUGAGCAUUAAGAUCCAAGCUAUCUGGGGAUAGGUUGAAUGUGGGGGUUCUGUUCAGUAUGAUAGGAAUGAUGUAUUAUUGUGUGUUUUUGCGGUUGUUGUAAAUGGAGAUAUUUUCUGAAUGCUGGAGAUAGUUGGCUUACUACACCCAAGCCAUGCUUGCAGUCGGUCAAAUAGGUCUUCCAUCUAUCUUUUGAACCACUCGACAAAUUUGUAUGAUUUGGACACUUGUUUGUAUUUGGAGUAUGCUGAUUCUGAAAAUGUAAGUUUUAUGUGAAUGUGAUGUAUACUUUUAAAGUUAUGAAUAUUGUGUAAAACUGUGUAUUUUCUUGCCUGUGAUAAUUACGUUAGCCCAUUGUGUUCAGUAAUUGUAUCUCAGGCAGAGGGGAGGAUUUCUGCUGGUAUGAAUGGGAGUGUUUAGCUGUGUUGUAAUGUAUUAAAUGGUUUGUUCUUUAAAACCCUGUGGGCAGUACUAUGUUUGUAAAAUAGGCAUAAAAGCAGAGUGUUUGAUUAAAAGCUUCAGUUCUACUUCACCCUCACUGGAGUGCCGUCUCUUAUUGGGGGAAUCUGCUACAAGGUAUUGCUAUGCUAGUCAUACUCCCUUGCUAUAUCACUACUAAGCUCUUGUAAGAGCUUGUUCCUGUUUUGCUCUCUGAAGGAGUCUACGGUGGUUAUGGUGUCGGCUGGAGUGCUUGGAGCCCUCAGGAAGCGCUAGGAGCAUCCUUCAACGGAGGUACCCAGUCGGGGUGCCAGGUGAUCCGUUUCAGCCCCUAUUUACAUGGACACAAACAUACACCACCACAAACUGCUCCAUGCACACAGACACAAUCCCACAAUCCUAAAGGCAUUCUUCCCCCCCACACCCGCAGCCCUACAUACACAACCCCAUAAGCAGCAAACCCCAUAAGCAACAUCUCUAGAAACAAGCAAUGCAACAAGCAGCCACCCCACACAUGCAACCCCACAAGUAGCAUCUCCACAAACAUACGCCCGCUCUCAUCUUUGUCCCACUUAUCAUCCGACCACCAACCUAGUCACAUUCACCAGUCAUUCUUACCACAAACUAGUCGCAUUAAUGCAUUUAAUCGAAUACCCCAACUUUUUGUGUGUGUAUUUAUAUCUAUCUACCUAUCUAUCUAUCUGGAGAGUGGGUAUUGUUGAGGACAUUGGCCUCGGGGCAGCAAGGAGGGUAAAUUCAGCCCUGCUGGUUAUACUGCGGUUAUAAUGAUAUAAUAUAACCAUGUUUAUCUCUGUUCAUGCCCUUUGUGUUUAGAUUGAGGUUAGCAAUAUUUCAGUGCUGUAGCCUCAAUCUGCUUCUUUUUGUGGGCAGUGGAUGGUGUUUAGAGAGAUCCAGCUGUGUGUGUAAUUGAGAUGCUCCAUUAAUCUGCUACAGUUUCCAGUUCUAAACUUAGCCUGCCUAUCUCUCCAUAGAAAUACUUUAGCUAUUACUAGUACAGUCUGGGGUGGUAUGCAGGAAGAUCUUUAUAUUAAUAACAUUUACAAUGCUGCUUCAUAAAUAGUUACGAACAGGUCUUCCUCAACCUGUUAUUUGGCAUGUGUUACACAGCUCAUGGUUGAACUCAGUACAGUCCUGAAAUGGACUGGAUCAAAUUGUGCUGAUACAUUUUUGGCUGUUUCAUUUGGGUACUUGUCAAGCUGCCAAACGCAGUGAUUGGGUUAAUAUAACCACAAACAAAUAACUGAUCCCACUGCUUCAUAGUCUUUUACGCAAAAAUCAGGAGUGAAAUAUAAUUCACUCAUAAUGACUAGGGUAACUAUGGAUGUGGUCCAAAAUAUCCAUAAAGUUUAAUAUUAAAUUAGAUUUGUUCUAGAAUAAUUGACCAGAAUUGGUGAUAAAAUGGUUACAGUAAAAGUAUCAAAAUGUUUCCGGGUAAAUACCCUAGGGUGGCUACUUUUUUUAAUGCUUAUCUUAAACAUACAGGAUAAUUCACUAAACACCCAAUUUUGCCGAAUUCCUACAAGAAUGGCAAUUCUCAUAUUUAGAAAAGCCAAAUCUGGUCAGAAUUAGGUCAGUCCCACCAGUCCCACUGUAGCAAGCAGCCAGAUGCAUUUAGUGUCCAGAGUAAAAUCAUGUGCUUUCACAACUCAGCAAUGAUUUAAUGAUUUAAAAAAAAAACAAAAAAAAAAACGAUUUGAAUACAUCCAUUAGAAUGCACGUUAGCAAAUUAUCAUUCACUUGCUUUUUACAAGUGAACAACUAGUUUAAGUACUAUUUGACUGCUGGCAUUGCUAACAACCAGGAAGCAAACAGUUAAAUAACUUUGGACUAUGUGUUGGAUAACCAUAUACCUGCCACAUUAAAAAAAAUAGCCUGUUUGGGUCAAUAAAGCGACGCGGUACACCUCCCUAAUGCUCCAAUCAUCCACCCAUGGUUGCUCCCGCCAGCCACCUGUGGUUAGUGGUUGACAGCUACUAAUGUUAAAUAGGUGGCAGUUGUUUCCCCAACCUCCACCGAUAGGUGUCAGCUACUAAUAAAAUAUACACUGUGGAUGGAAUAUACCCUCCCAAAAAAUAUAUACUUACCAUAGAAAAAAAAUAUUUCUUCUAAAUCUUCUUUAUUUUAACCCCAUAAAAGGCCAAAUUAAAAUAUAUGCUAAAGCAAUGCAACUAUUGAAAACAAUAAUUAAAAUAUCCUAUUCACAAAAAACACAAUGAAAAAAUAAUAAAACUGACACAACAAAAAAAUAGAUCUAUCUUCCCCCAAAGAGGGCCCCAUGCAGAAUGUAGCCCAUGGAACAGCAAAGCAGUGGAAUAGGGCCUUGACAGAGCUAAGGAGGCUGGCAUAGAAGGGGUUAAAUGUUUAAGGGUGUGGGGGUGUGGAGGGGAGAGGAAGUGUAUAGGAGGGGUUUCAGCUGGUAUUUAACAUGGCCAUUGUGUGAAAGCUGGCCUUUUGUUAACUGAUAAACACACAGAAAAAAACAUUAGUUGCUCACUAUAUACUUCAACCCCUUAAAGACCAAACUUCUGGAAUAAAAGGGAAUCACGACAUGUCACGUGUCCUUAAGGGGUUAAGGCAGCAGUAAAUCUUACAAGGAUUCCCCAAAACCUUGUAGGAAUAGAGACAGAAGACAAAUACAAAAAAUAGAUAACCGCACCUUAAAACACAGUAAUGUACAAAAGUGAAGUCAAAUCUAAAUCAAAUGUGCAUACUUUUUUUGUUAAAAGUCAAUGUUAUACAGUGCAUGGUAUCUCAAAGAAAAAGGAAAAAGAGAGACAAUAAUAGUGCAGUAUGUCUUUAACACAGUGAAUUAGAGUGACAUAGCAAAAACUCACAAUUUAUAGAGCUACAAAAAGCUCUGCUGUGUAGGGCGAAGACGGUACAAUCCCCGUCACUGGAUAUAUUUUCAGCUACAGAGGUGGUAGACUUUUUCUGUGUCUCGAAUAUGUGAAGACAAAAAUUGGAAUAUCCAGUAGUGCAAUAUGUAUAUCAAAGUGGUAGUGCAUAUAUGAAAAGGUAGGUAUCUUACUCACAUUAACUAGAGCAUAGACCUGCUCUAGUAUAAAGCGCUUUGGUGGUAUGAUCCCCACCUGCGAUAUAUGUCUAAAAGGAUGACACUACGCGUGUGUCACAUUCUGUUCCUGUCUGCGGAUCAUUUCUGGCCUUGGCUUCUGAUAUCCAGUACUCUAUUUACAAUUCUUGUUUACUUUUUCUUGGUUUUUCUGGUUUUCUAUUCUAUGUCUAGUUUUCUUUAUGCUGGGUUUUCUAAGUUCAUUCUUUUAUUCCGUUCCUGGAAUUCCCAGUCUCAUGGAUUCCUUUAAAUGUUUGUUUUUUUGUUGCCACACCCAUUCCUUUGCCUUUUAUCCUUUUUGUUUCAGUGUUCCCUGCUAGCAGUGGUCUCAUUCAUCUGCUCCUUUCCUUGCAGGUAAGUACUGUGUGUGUUUUAUUGUUGUACUAUUCUAGUCUUACCUUGUUUCUAGUACUGGAUACAUAUCUGCAUAAUAUCAAGCUCCUGGGAUCCGCAGAAGCUGCAUCAGGGCCCUGUUAUGUGGCCGCAUAAACCCUGAUGCUCAACACCAGGGAGCAUGUGGUUACCCUGUACUAGACCCUGAUAGUUAAUUUCCACGCUGUGACUCCUACCAUCAUUAGGCAUACAGGGGUCCCAGUCUUUGGACCGCCACACGUGACAGCAUGUCAUGAGUUUUAAGGUGAGAAAUGUCUUUAUAAAUGCUUUGAGUUCUCAUUCGAGUGCUCGGAUUGGUUGGCUUGUAUGUCUACAUCCUCUUGUAUAUUAUAUUAGAAGUCCCAACCCAUGGGUGGCGUCUUGGGGAGGCAUUAGGUUUCCCCCAAUUAAUAAAUAGUGUGGGAGAUUAGUAUGUCCCCUCGUUUAAUUUAACAGCCUCCACCUGCUGGCUUUUUAAAAAUCUUUUUAACAUUUUAAUGUGGUGGCUGGUUGCAAGUUCUGGCCAGCCACCACAUAGUUUACUGCUGAGAGGUUUUUGAACUAUUUGCCUUCUGGCUGCUAGUACUGCCAACAGAUAAAUCGUUUUGAUAUUUAAAAUCCCUUUGAAGCAAAAAACGAGCCCAGAUUUCAGCAAUUUGGCAGUGUUUGGUGCGGCUGAAAUUUGGACCAUAUUCAUGCUCAUUUUGAGCCUUCUCUGCAAAAUUCGGACAAUGUUAAAUAGUGUGAAGAAUGCCUGGAUUUUACAUCCUUAAUGGAUAAUGAUACUCUACAUAUUAGGUGUUCCCAAUAGUUGCAUUAAAAAAAUCUAUAAUUUUUAUAGGUUUUUUUCUACAAAAUUUCUAAUAGUGUAAAACAUUUUGUAGGCAAAAUACAUUUUUGCAAGAGAGAAAAAGGAGCGAUAAGUUGCAGUGAUCUGAAGGUAGAGUUGUGUUGAAGUAUGCAACAAAAUAAACAUCAGCAGCAGAGGCUUGUCCAUAGGAAGCACCUGAGUUAUAUAAUUUGUUGCAAUAAUUAAAAAAACCCCUGUGUUCUGACUGUCUCUAUUAUUAUUCAGUUCUCCAUUUUUUGAGAACAACUGGGCAUGUUAAGGUAUUUGGUUUGUGAAAAGAAGCCCAGUCUGAGUACCAGCCCCAGACAUGCUCAUUCUUCCACUACAACUGAUUUCUAACAUCACCUUGAUGAUUUGCACAUGCAUAUCUGAGUAAUUAUGCCUUGAUAGACUAAGUGAAGCCUGCACCUCUACAAAUAUUGGAUACCUGGACUUUUCUUUUUAUGGAUUCUAUAUAAUAUUAAGGGUUUCGUCGUCCCAGCUUCCUGGAACACCUUCUUACAGUUGUAAUCCCACUUCAGCAUGAGUGCACUCUCUCCUGACUAUCUGUUGAUAGACAGACAUGUCAAUUGCCUUCACUUUUACGGUUCUUAUUAGCUCACAGCACUGGGGGCAGAAUGCAGGCAGUCAAGGCACACAUUCUGAGCCAGGCAGCAAGUUAGCACCCUGACCAAUGUAGCAGGACCAAGCCCAGAGUACAGCAUGUUCCAAAACAAGUGUCAGUCUCAAAUAACUCCACAAAUAGAGGAAAAAUCCUCUAGUAUGUGAGAUCAGAGCACAUUUAGCGUUCACAUUUUGCCAAAUGCUACUUGGCAGCAGGCAGGCAGGCCAAGUAGCAUUUGUCAAAAUGUGCAUUAUAAAAUGCGAACGCUAAAUGUGCUCCGACCUCACACACUAGUGGAUUUUUCCAGGCUGUCUUAUCGUGAGGAGGUAUUGUGGAGUUAUUUGAGACUGACACUUGUUUUGGAACAUGCUGUACUCUGGGCUUGGUCAUGCUCCAUUCGUCAGGGUGCUAACUUGCUACCUGGCUCAGAAUGUGUGUCUUGACUGGGACCAAGAAUACUUAUCAACCAACCUCCAUCUCCCACAGGCUGAUGGGGAUAUCCAGUAGUUUCAACUACUCCAAAACCUAGAAGUGUUGUUUCCUCCAUCUAUAGCUUUGUAAUUGCCUUCAAAAUAUGUCUGGCACCAAUGGCACAGGCUAGAAUUGUCUGCAAACUGAUUCUGACUGACUCCCUCCUCUCCUCCCCGGCAUUCUUCACCCGUGCGGCUCUCUUAGCUGGGAGGAAGUGACGGCUUCCUCCCAGCGGGCGCUGUGAUGUCAUCAUUGGGGCCUGGUCACACUCCUAAAGCACCCCAGCGCUGACUGGGCCCCAGGUUAUUCGUGGGCAUGGACCCCUUAACCCGAUACGGACACACAAUAUCGGUAGGCACCACGGUCGCAGGGGUCGGCAGCGUGGCCAGGCCACCUGGAGUUACAGGCCCCUGUGACCGCGGUUGUUCCACCACUGGCAAUGUGUGCAUGCUGUGCCUGAGUGGUGUGUCAGUAUGUGUAUAAUGUAAGUCUGGGGGUGUUUGUCACUGUGCAUGGUGUGUCUGUAUAUAAUAUGUGGACCUGCCAUGUAUAAUAGAAGUGGUUAUUCUGGCUCCAUUUCUUUCACCACUCCCCCAAAGUCUAGUCAGCAAAAAAUAUCGACCUUUGAACUGUCGUUAUUUUUGCAAUACUGGCACCGGCCAGAGAGCAUAUAAUGUUGGCUGUGCUGGUAAAAUACCGGCCAUGUGGCAACCCCAGUGUACCAGGCUAUGUAUCUAUAUGGAAGAGUGUGUGGCGUAACAUCUCCAUAUGCAAAUACACUAUGUGUGUGUAUUGUUGUGUACCUGUAGCUAACAGUGUCAUGACAGUCGCAAUUGCGGCCGCGCCUUGGAGUUAUGUUUGUGAAGGGGGCCCUUUUUUUUUUUUAAAUUCUUGCACCGGAGCCUAGUGGAUCCUAGUUACACCCCAGACUAGGAAGAAAUCACUUGUUCAUUUAAUAAAAUUACAUAUAUAAUAACUGUUCCCCAACUUCCUACCUCUACAGGAGGAGCGCACUCUACCUGUGCUAAAGGAGCACUCAGCUGGUAUGCCAGGCCUAACACUCGCCAGCUCUUUCAUCCCAGUGCAAAGAGAUAUGUUGCAGCCUCUCUCUCCAUGCAUAUCCUCGUGGAUUCCUGGGGAGAGGGAGAACAAGCCACACUGGGUAUAGGCUCUUUACGUUAUUAUAAACAGUGUAUAUGGUUCCAUUUGCUGCACUGGAACAAUAUAGAGGCACAUCACGAUCUGACAGACUGAACGCCUCUUCCUCACUCUUUCUGCUUGUAGUUUAAUCAGUAAUAAGUACUAGCGAUCACCGAGAAAAGGGAGAAUCCUUCACACGUGCUGACAGGAUUGUGUCUGACUGUGAGGAGUCAGGCUUGAAGACAUGGUCUGUUAAAUAUCAUGUCACCGGCCCGCUGUGUUCCAUGAAGGGUUGGUGGGGAGAUCAAAGAUCUCCCUCACCGGCCCACAUGUAGUGUAUUGUGGCCGCUGGAGGGAGAGAAAGUGAGGGAGACAGGAGAGGAAACUGGAAAAGCUCUAUCUUGCAGCUCUGCCGGGUUCCUCUCGUGAGAUUCGGAGGGUUGCCAUGGCAACGCUCCAGGUCUCGCGAGAGUGAACUCUAGCCCCACAGAUUUUCUUCCCAGUCCGGCCCUGCAUAGUGGCAACAGUUGGGGAGAGGUGCUGUUAUCAGAGGCUCCGCUCCCUACUGCUGUUCUUCACUGCUAGGAAUAGGUGGCAGGUUAUAAAACUCAAAUUCCACUCACAAACUGCGAGAAUGCAAGUUGAAAUGUUGCGUCCUAUAUAUAUAUUAAACAGUUCAGGAAAAUUAAAAAAAAGACCACUUCAUUUUUUUUCUUACAUCAGCAUCUCUACAUGUAGUGCAGCCAUUACAUUCCAGCAUCUGUUGAAUUGCAACACUUGCACACCUCAUUCUACUUAACAAGGUACUGAUUAGGUGAUCACCUGAACCAAAUCUUAUUUAGUGAGGAAAGUAUUAAAAAAACUGCAGUGGUCAGUACUUUCCUCUUGCAUUAGGACCAGCUGGAUGAUAAAACCAGAGCUAGUAUAAUCGCAAGGUAAUUAGAAAACAAAUUACUAUUGACCAUGCCAAAAUAGUUGAAAAGAAAGGUUGUGACUGAGGAAAAGAAGGGUUCAACUCUAACUUUACUAUCAGAGAGAUUCAUUGAAUGUCAGGUUGUUUACAUCCUUAAAAUGUCACAGCAUACCUCACUCACUUCCCGGACGCCACUUGUUUCUCGGAGUCCCGGGAGUGAAAGACGCGCUCCGCCUACCUCCCGGUCACUGGCUGUCUCUUCAUUUCACCUGGGCCCCGCAGACGCACCACGUGGGUGGCGGCGUUCAGGGGAAGGGAGGCAAAAGCUGUCCGUUCGCCGACGUACCGCCAGACAGGUUAAGUGGCAUGUGUGCUAUGUGACCCACACUUCCAUUCCAGGGGGAAUGUCAUUCGAGGGGGCCCGGCCACCCUGUCAACCCCCGGGACUGGGGUACCUGCAAGCAUUUUGGUGUGGCCCUUACUUUUCGGAAAAAAUGCGGGGGCCGCAUUGAAGGAGCCCAUCGGGUGGCCAAUGUCUUGCAAUAGAUUUUUUUGGGGCCCAGUCAGCACCUACGGGAAUGGAGCUUGGAACGUGCACCACUAAAACCUACCAGUGCACUUCUCCUACUAUUAACACCCCAUCUUCUAUCCAUUCUGUCUGUAAAGAUGAACCCAUGCAACUGGAACUCGUUAAAGGAUACCUUCCUGCUGUAGAGAUUCAGAGGCAUAAAAUCCAUGAUCCUAGUCUUAAUUGUGGCAAACCUAAUCAAGUCGCUAAAGCCAUCACCCAAGCAAGGUAAAUACAACUUGACAUCAUUAAGUUCUCCUGCACUUAAACCAAGCUCCGAGACACCACAUUUAACCCUAUAUCUUCUCUUCCAGUGGCGAGAACAGUAGAUUGAACCUUCUGCUAUGGUGGACUUUGGUGCUAGUGGCUGCUUCAUUGAUAUUACUUUGGCUACUACCUUAUCUAUACCUACACGUAAUACAAUAAAUCCUUUCCACAUUCAAAUGGCUGAUGGCAGUCCUUUAAAAUCAGGAGCAGUUUUACAAGAAACCUGUAACUGUUUAUUGUGGGAAGGGACACAAAAAUCAUGCUUUGCUUCUCCUUUUUUCCCUUUGUUUACCUUUGCUAUCUCUCCAUGACCCAGUAAUCCAGUGGGGAUCUGCUACGGUACUCUUCCCCUCCAAUUAUUGUAGAAAAAUAUUGUUUAAUAAACAAUAAACACGAUUUUGGUAUGCUAAAUACCAUUUUGGAUAUUAAUAUGUAGCAUGAAAAAGAGGUUAUCUUGCCAGAGGUGGACAAAUCGGAAAAAUAUAUGUUUAACAAAAAGGCAGUGGAAACAGUACCCCCAGGUAAAUUUAUGACAGCCCAAUUGAUUUACUUCCUGGGGGAGCCAUUCCAUAUGGACAUAUAUCCAUUGUCUAAACCAGAACUGGAGAUAAUUAAGGAAUAUAUAAAAGAAAAUAUGCAAAAAGCUUUUACACGCCAUUCCUCAUCACCAGCAGUGACUGGUAUUCUCUUCAUCUAUAAAAAAGAUGGAGGCCUACACCCAUAUGUAGAUUAUCGCGAACUCAACCAAAGGAGAAUUAAAAACAGAUACCCACUUCCACUUAUAUCAUAAUUACAUGAAAUAUGCCUUCUAUUACAUCAAGUUAGAUCUCAGAAGGAAUAAAUAAGAGAUAAAAUAUACAAAUAGGAGAUAAUAUUUACAAAAAUAGUCUCUGAAAAUACAAGGUGGGUCUUGGGUAGGUCUUCUUUGGUUCUUGAUAAGGUCCUCAGUGGUUAAUAUGAAAAACAAAAUUAAGACCAAUAGUGCAAAACCGUUAGGGGAUGGUGUCACGGACAACUAGAAAUAGAGAAAUGCCAACUCACGAUCGAUAGAGCUAUGCCCAGCUCUAGGUAAAACAGCAUACAGUGGUAUUUGAAACUCCCCACAUGUAGGAUAUAGCUGGACAAUAGGUGAUUCUUCAAUACUUUGUACAACGACUCACAUACGUGUCAGCAUAUAAAAUACAUAAAAGAAAAAAAAGGACCAAUGGUGCAAUAAUGUAUGACACCUGCAGCUACAAACACUGAAGUCCUAAGAGUGCCAAUUUACAAUAAAAAGAGCUAUAACCAGCUGUAAGUAAAACAGCAUACAGUGGUAUUUAAACUCCCCACAUGUAGGAUAUCCUUCUAGUGAUGUAUGGAGUGCAGGAAUUAUGAAAGACAAAAGCACAAAAGUGAACCUAUAGUGUUCUCAGUGGAUAUCAUUGGUGCUAAAAGGUAAAAUGAAACAUACUUACAAUGUAUAGAGCAGCCACACUGCUCUAUGAACCAGGCGUGAGUGGAAUAAUCCCCACCUAAGGAUUUCUUUGUAGUACUGUUUUUUUUAAAACAGUAAAAAUCAGCCAGGAUAAAAGUAGCAAAAAUAAAAAUAGAAGGACUGACCUUAGAAGUAUAGGUAGUCUAAAAAUACUUUAAUUAUAACAAGAUCAUAAAAAAAACACAACGUGUUUCGCCCAAAAUAGGCUUUUUCAAGUGUGCGGAUCUGUGAAUACGAUAAAUGGAAAACCGCCUUCCACACAAUGUACAGACAUUUUGAGUAUCUGGUAAUGCCCUACGGCUUAUGCAAUGCCCCUGCUACUUUCCAAUAUGACUUUUUCAGGGACCUACUUGACCAGUAUGUUGUAAUAUAUCUAGACAAUAUAUUCAUUUUUUUCAUCAUCUGUCCAAGAACAUGGCAUACAUGUUAAAACUGUGUUGGAACAUUUACAGAAACACCAUCUAUAUGUUUAACUGGAUAAAUGUAUAUUUCAUACACAACGUGUAGAAUUCCUGGAAUUUCUUCUAACCCCUGGCCAUGUAGAAAUAGACUCUCGUAAGGUUGAAGCUAUUACUUCUUGGCCCAUCCCUACAAACAAAAAAGAAGUACGUUUCAUUGGUUUUGCAAACUUCUACAGAGAAUUCAUACAUUUUUCCAGUAAAGCUUCACCUUUCACGGUUUUCACCAAAAAAAACCCCAAUAAAUAUUUGUGGGAUCAAAAGGCACCGAUGGCUUUUUUACAGCCUAAAUCAACUUUUUUUCAGCUCCUAUUUUAUCCCUCCUAGAUCCUGAGAAAACAUUUUGUAGAGGUUGAUGCAUUUGAAAGGGCAACCGGGCCAUCCUUUCACAAAAAGGAGAGGAUGACCAGCUACACCCCAUGGCAUAUCACUCUAAAAGACUGUCAACCAGAGAAGUCAAUUAUGACGUUGGAGAUAAAGAAUUAUUUGCCAUUAAGCAAGCCCUUGAGGAAUGGCGUCAUCUAUUGGAGGGAGGUAUUCAUCCAGGUCACAAUAAUCUGGAAUACCUAUAAAAGGCCAAGAUGUUAUGUUCUUCAUCCGUUUCUUGUUCCAUAUAGACUAUCAACCAGGUUCAAACUGUUUAGGAGGAUGCACCAUUCCGUAUCUCUACUCAUGGAAGGCCAAAAUUCUGACUCGCCUCCAAAAGGGCUAUAUCAUGACAACCACCUCAUCUCUAACAAGUUAUGAGACUAAACUAAAGAUCCCACUAUGCCUUUGCUACCAGAAGGUUUCAACACUCAUUCUGGAAAGAUUCAUGUUCCCCAAACAUUGAGAAAAGAGAUACUGCAAUCCUGUCAUGAUUCACAUGAUUUCCACAGCAGGUCAUGGAGGGUGUUUUAAAAUAUUGGAGCUGGUAAAAAUAAUUUUUUUGGUGGCCAUCCAUGACUUGACCAGUAUGUUGUAAUAUAUCUAGACAAUAUAUUCAUUUUUUUCAUCAUCUGUCCAAGAACAUGACCUACAUGUUAAAACUGUGUUGGAACAUUUACAGAAACACCAUCUAUAUGUUUAACUGGAGAAAUGUAUAUUUCAUACACAACGUGUAGAAUUCCUGGGAUUUCUUCUAACCCCUGGCCAUGUAGAAAUAGACACUCGUAAGGUUGAAGCUAUUACUUCUUGGCCCAUCCCUACAAACAAAAAAGAAGUACGUUUCAUUGGUUUUGCAAAUUACUACAGAGAAUUCAUACAUUACAAGGGGAAUAACAUUUUAGUCAGUGUCUCGAUACUGUCCCCCCCCCGCUCCUCAGCCUAGUGAAUUAAUGAGUGCUGCAAAUAUAGCUGCUGCUGGGAUUGUAGAGUCAAACACUCUCAGGGAGAUGUGAAUAUGUAGGUAUAUACAUAAUGAUUUUAAAAUCUUCAAUGAGUCUGUACAAGCAGAGCUUUUUAAAAUUCCCUAGUACAACACCUAUAAUCCUUUGUUCUCUAUUGUGCCAUAUUGGCUGGCAUUAUGAAAAGUAUAAGAGUGAAUUAACGCUCAUCAACACUGACGAAUCAAAAAUAAAGCCUGGAUAAUAAACAAAUGCCAAUUUUUACAUCCCGGAGCAAAUUAAACAAGCAGUUAAGUCCUGUUUUAUUCCACCUCUGUUCUAUUUACAUUGCAAAGCUUCUAUUCAGAGAAUUGGGCUUAUGGCAAGUUACUCACCCUAUGUGACAUCCAGGUAAUUAAACCUGACCAGCCAAGAAGUAGAUUAAUCAUCUUGUCCAUUCAGAGCAUGACAGUAAGGAUAUCAACAUAUACACGUAUACCCAUAUGCUUUCCAAAAGAAGUAUCCACCAAAUUCUCACUGUUUAAAUGCUGAUGUGUUAGCAAUGAAGCCAGUGUGUCCCUGGCUGGCAAGGUCAUUGACGGAAUAUUACUCUAUCUAUCCCUCUGAAUCCAUCUACUGCUACAGUCAAAGUUACUGCUAUUUGACAAUCUUGAGAGAAGUCUGCUGCUCACUGAGCAGGGUUUAGUGGGAGCAGGAAGUGGAGUGGGAGGAGCUGAGACAGUUGGUGAGCAGGCACAUAGCUGGGGUGAGGAAGCAGGGGGGAGGGAAGAGGAAAGGUUUAGCUAGUCCUGAUCUUGUGCAGCCUAACAUAUUUGCCCGUUUGAGUGAAGAUGUUGGGAGCAUCAGCUCAGGAGUAGCUGUACUGCAGGAAGCUGUUCCUUCUAACAGCCGUGGGAACAGCCCCUCUAGUAUGGGUGGGGUUGAGAGGGUAAGAAAGUCUAGACAGGUUGUUGUGGUAGAGGACUCUAUUAUUAAGAGAGUAGAUAGGGAAAUCUGCCACUCUGAUCAGCUAAACCGGACAGUUUGCUGUCUCCCGGGUGCUCCGGUCUGGCAUGUUGCCAACAGAGUGGAGGGAUUAUUGGGAGGGGUUGCGGAUGACCCAGCUGUUACAGGUACCAUAUUGGUACCUGUAACGGAACUCCGACAGAGUACCUUCCGUUGAUGGAAGCUUGCCUCAUGGUCUGUAUACGUUUCUACGUUGGGUUGGGCCUAUAGAGAGCCAACCGCUCCUUCAGUAGAACGUCAAACCAUACUUGACUGUACCGAUACUCCAUGCUUGCUUGGUGUUCCCAGGAUGCUGCUCCUCGCUUUUAUGAAAGCCAUCCCACCGUUGCCACCACUGUAACGGAACUCCCCGUACUCCGACCGAGUACCUUCCGUUGAUGAAUGCUUCCUAGCUUGCACCGAGGACCACAAGCACUGCACUGGACACCACAACCACCGCAGACUCCACAACUGCCGUAGCUUAACUGGAGUCUUGCCGUCUUCUGUCCUCCAAGACCGUGUGGGGAAGACCUCUCCUCCAGGAGAGCGUAUCAAGAACAAGCUCUUAAAAGAGCUAAGUGACUAAAGCUCAGGGGAAUAUGCAGAGCAUAGCAAUCCCCAGUGUGAGUAUAGCUGUCCCCUCCAAUCACGAGACAAAACUACGUGUUGAGGGUCAAGAAGAACUGUUUUAAUUAGCACAAAAGGGCCUUCUUUUAUGGAGGUCUUACACAUACAGGACCACCCACAAGGUUUUUCAGAACAACCAAUAAAAACAUUAGAACACAUACAAUAAAGUAAACCACUCCCAGCCGAAAUCCUCUCCUCUGCCUGUGAUGCAAUUAUCUCAAGACAAUAGACUAACUUAAUUAUCACAGGCAGAAAAUAUACAGUUUUUACACAACAUUAAUAACUUUAAAAGUAUACAUGCAAUAUUAAUAGAAGUACAUAUUUGAAAUCAGCGUCCUUUCAAUAUAAAUAUAUUAAAAAAUCAUAGAAAUCCGUCCAGUAGAUCAAAAGUUAGUCGGACGUCCUUUUUCUGACCGACCGCAAGCACAUUUUCAUGCCCAAAACAGUUCCAUAGAUUUGGGCUGUGCAGUCGGUCAAUUUCACACUGAAAAAUGACUAAGUCCCAUUCGAACAUGCAUUCGAAUCUUCGACGGGACUUAGCCUCUGGCCGCAGUGUCGAAGUGGAGGGAGAACAUACGGGUCAGCGGUGUUCGUUGAAAUGUAUAGCCGAUUUCAGUUCCAUAGAUUCAGGAGCACACACUGCUGACCACGUUCGACUAACUUAAAAUGGCUGCCGGUUUUCGAAUGGCGACUACUUCAGCACUUCGACUGCAUCCAAAGUGCCAGUUUAAAAGUACAAAUCCUUUCUCUGGGAGUUAAAGGGCCAGCAGCAGCACCAAAAAACUCCAUUAUGCCCAAAUCAGUUCCUUAAAGGGCAAUACAUCUCAGGUCACAUGGCAGGAGGCUGGCAAUCAGUCCUCUCCAAUGCCCAGUGGCAAAUGGCAGUUUGUCACAGUACCAAUGACAAAGUCAGAAGAAUGAGUUCAAGGAAUUAGGAUGUAAGCUAAAGAAAAGGACCUCCAAAGUAAUAUUUUCAGAAAUAUUACCUGUGUCGCACGCUACAGCAGAAAGGCAGUGGGAGAUUAGAGAGGUCAAUGCGUGGCUGAAGUCUUGGUGCAGGAAAGAGGGUUUGGGGUUUUUAGAGCACUGGGCUGAUUUUCCGCUUGGGUGCAACCUGUAUAGUCGUGAUGGAUUGCACCUAAGCAAAGGUCUGCUGUGCUGGGGGAUAGGAAGGUUGGAGGAGAUUUUAAACUAGUAGUAGGAGGGGAAGGGUCAAAGCAAUCUAGAAAAUGGAGAUAGGAAAGAAAGGAGAUGGGCUUUAGCUCAGAAUGAAGGAGGUGGAGACGGGGGAGGGGAAAGCUCAGAACAGAGGAGGUAUGUAAUAUUGAUGAAAAUUCACAAAAAGUACAAAUGACUCAUGAUAAUAUUAAAUGUAUGCUUAUUAAUGCAAGGAGCCUAUAAAAAAUGUGGGGAACUAGAGGCAAUAGCAUACACUAAACAGUAUGAUAUAAUACGCAUAACAGAAACAUGGGGGGAUGAGACACAUGACUGGGCAGUUAACUUAAAUGGGUACACGUUAUUUAGGAAGGAUAGAAAAAACAAGAAGGGUGGUGGCGUAUGUUUGUAUGUCAGCCAUGAGUUAAAGUCAAAUCUUGGGCAUGUAGAGUGUGACGAGGAAAAUGUGGAAGCUUUAUGGGUAGAUAUCUGCUUGGGGCAAACAAAGGGAAAUCAAUUAUUGGUUGGGAUAUGUUGUAAACCACCUAAUGUAAAUAUUAAUGAGGAAGAACAGCUGUUAGAGCAAAUUGGGAAAGCUGCAAAUCGGGGUAACACGUUAAUUAUUGGAGAUUUUCAUUGCACGCACAUAAAUUGGGAUAGAGGGACUAGUACUUUUGCAAGGGGAAACAGGUUUUUGAAUAUGUUAAAUGACACCUUUAUGUCACAACUGGUACAAGCACCAACUAGAAGGGAUGCUUGUCUGGAUCUCGUUAUAACAAACAAUGUUGAUCUUUUGACCAACAUUCAAGUAGGGGAGCAUUUGGGAAAUAGUGAUCACAAUAUGGUAAUUUUUUAAAUAAACUCAAAAAAGCAAAAGCAUGUAGGGUAUACUAAAAUGUAUAAUUUAAAAAAAGGCAAUUUCAAUAAGAUUAGGGCAGCUCUACAACAUAUCGACUGGCAUAAACUCCUUAGUGAUAAAAACACUGAGGAUAAAUGGAAACUAUUCAAACAAAUAUUAGAAAGGUACAUUUCCCUGUAUGUACCAUUGGGUAAUAAAUAUAAAAGAAACAAAUUGAAACCAAUGUGGCUUAGUAGAGAAGUAAAACAAGAGAUUAAAAAUAAGAAAAGGGCAUUUAAAGCAUUUAAAUCGGAAAAAUCAAAGGCAUCCUAUAUAAGAUAUAAGGAAGCCAAUAAUGCUUGCAAAAAGGCAAUUAAAGUGGCUAAACUAGAAAAUGAGAAAUUGAUAGCCAAAGAAUGCAAAACCAACCCCAACAUUUUUUUUAAGUACAUCAAUUCUAAAAAUCUAAAAAUGAAGACCAGGAAAAGGCAGAAAUUUGAAAUAAAUAUUUUUCUUUAGUAUAUAUUAAUGAGGAACCUAUGGCAAGUGAUAUGCAAAUGAUUGCUGCAAAAAACUUGCAGAUAACUUGUGAUUGGAUGACUCGAGACAAGGUGCUACAGCAGUUAAAGAAAAUUAAUGUAAAUAAAGCUUUGUGGCCUGACAGUAUUCACCCAUGAGUACUUAAGGAGCUAAGUGGGGAAAUAAGUGAACCUCUGUAUUUAAUUUUUCAAGAUUCUUUUGUUUCAGGUAUUUACCGGAAGAUUGGAGGAAGGCAGAUGUUGUUCCUAUAUUUAAAAGGGUUCAAAAUCCUUGCCUGGAAAUUAUAGACCUGUGAGCUUAACUUCUGUAACUGGGAAAACAUUUGAAGGGCUAUUAAGGGAUAAUAUUCAGGAAUUCCUUGGGAAGAACUUUGUUAUUAGCAAUAAUGAGCAUGGUUUUAUGAAACACAGGUCAUGUCAAACUAACCUAAUUGCAUUCUACGAAGAAGUAAAUAGAAGUAUAGGUCAGGGUGUUGCAGUGGAUGUGAUCUACUUGGAUUUUGCCAAGGCAUUUGAUAUGGUUUUUGUUGGGUUUUGUGUGUUUUUAAGGUACUUUUUGGGGUUUCAUAAAAUUGUAUGGUUUUUCUGUGCUUGGAGAUCAUUAGGAAAUUAGUACAGUUCCUGAUUCAAUUAUCUCCCAAGCACAGAGGAGGGAUUCUAUUGUUUGUGUAUGGGAGUGUCUCACUGUAUGACUCUGUUUUUAUUGGUUUGUUCACUUUCUGUCCCUGUGCCCAACAAGGUCCACCUUGGUAUCGCCCUUAUUGGGAAACUUGCAUAAAAGGCCAGUGUGCCUCCAUUAAAAUGCUAUUCCAGCUUACACUCCAAAACUGUGUGUCGUCCUGUUAGUGGAGGGAAAGAAGAUUUACUCCUGUGUCUGCUGUUCCAGCUUACAGGAGAUUCAACGGGGAAAGUCCUUGUAAGGACUAGAGCUAAUUCCCCAUUCGGCUCCAUGAAGGAGCGGUUCCAGGGCCCAGUCAAGCCACGGCGACUGUGGGCAGAAGUGUUGCGGUUUGUCCCCUGUUCUAGCUAGGAAGCGGUCCUUGGCGGAGGUACCCAGCCAGGGGUACAGGGAGCUCUGCUACAUAGAGCAAAUAGAAAAUGCACAAUCAUAUAUUGUCACUCACCCCACCUUGACUCAAGACAAUAUAAAAUAUACAAAAUUGUCUAAUUUGUCUAUAUUCUAUACGCCACCUUGAGAGUAUAUAUAUAUAUAUAUAUAUAUAUAUAAAAAAAGAGAGAGAGCAUAAUCAUUAGCAUUCUAUAGUUCACCCCACCUUGACUCAAGGCAAUGUAAAAUAUACAAAAUUAUCUAUUUGUGCUAUGUUCCCUUUAUUAAAUACAAUAAAGAGCAUAAUAAAAUAACAAAGUCACAGGAAAUGAAGAGAGAAAUAAAAAGUAGAUUGAAUGCUACCAGCACCUUAAAACAUUGAAAUGUAUGCAAAGCUUGACAGCGUGCAAUCUAAAUAAAACUGACAAUGCUCUGUUGCCUUUCAAAGAUAAAAAUCUAAAAUCAGCAUGAGGCUAUUUUUGUUGGUAACCAAAUGAAAAAGAACAAAAACAAAAAUUUACUGUUGUAAACCAACAGACAGUAACACUAUCACACCUCUCCAUUGUGAUCAACGUAUAAGCCUCACCUUGGCAACAAUUCACCUGAUAUAGAAAUAUAUAAAAUUAGUAAUCCAGCAUCAAUAUACAAAAAUAAAAAUAAAUACAACAUAGCUGGCAGUGCAGGUGAAAGAAAUAAACAUGUUAAAAUGUUUGGUCUUCUCAUGGGUCUAAAUUUUUCUUCCUUCUCAAUUGGCCUCAUCUCUGUAGUUUUCUAAAAAAACUAACUUUAGUAGAAAGUUAAUAUCACACAAUUAGAAUAGGUAAUUCAAGAGCGGUUGUAUCUGUUCUAACUUUUUAACAGUUUCUUUGUUAACCAUCUCCUCUAAUCUACUUUAUUGUGCCUUGAGACAAUCCAGUUUUUCAAGGAACUCAUUUCGUUCACAUGUUGGAGAAAUGUUUUCUGUCUUUAGUUGUUUAUUCUGUGCUUUAAGCACAUGGUAAGGAAUCCAAGGUUCUGUUAUUUCCCGGAGUCCAUCUAUCACACAUGGGCCUUCUUAUGAUGAAUAUGCACAUCAGAUUUACAGAAUUUUUUAUAAGUGGGGACUUUCUCUGAUUGAUAUAUCUGUAAGGUUGGGGACUUUGUAACAAUUACACGUCUUAUUUACUUUUUCUUGAUUUCGUAGAAUUGCUCCAGCCCCUUUUUUCAAUUCAGUAUAUUUACAAAGGUGUCUUGUGGGGACAAAGUUAAACCAAUUAACUCUUGAAUAUCUGGCAGUGUCCUAUUAAGUAAUGCUUUCUUAUUUACAUAUUCAUUCUGAUCAGCAUGUGCUCCAGGUGGUACAGUCAGUUUGAAUAAAACAAAUAACCUAUUUACAAACCCUUGAACAGACUCCCCUCUCUUCUGAGCACAAUUACCAAAAGAAAAAUGAUGAUUUUUUUUCCCUCUAGACCAAGAACGUUUGAUAACUCUUUGAUAAGUUGUUGCUUGGUUCUAGGUUCUAUAAAUAUCUCAUAUGGCAGACUUGCUCUUAGUGACUGGUCCGUACUAGUAAUUAUCACAUCAAAAAUAUCUAAUUCAUUUAAGUUUCUGUGUGUUUUUUCAAAUUGAUACAUUUUUAACAUUACAUCUACUGGAUCAUCAUCCAAACGUAUACAUCCCAGUUGUUUGCUCAGUGCAAUAACCUCUGUACAUUUUAAGGAAUGGGUCACAGUAGUUUCAUGUUGUACAUACCCCUGUGCAUCCACCAUGUGCUCUGUAGAGACUGGUGCCAUUUUUGCAUGAAUACUGCACUCACAAUCUCUUUCAUUAUUAAUUAACACCUCCAUCUUUGUUGCAAACAAACCUCCACAAUUGGUUUUCAGUCCAUAUUUUGUAGCAGCAAAACCAUUUAUUUUUCUUAGUUUACAUUUUAAAUAAUCAAGUUUUUUCUGGCUGCUGGAAGCAAGGAUUCUAAUAGCACCCUUUGCAUCCUUCAGUCUUUCGACAAGUUGCUCAUUACAACUACGCAAUUCCUAAUUUUCUUGACGCAUUUGCUGACUGCCUACACACAAAGCAGCAGCAUUUUGCGCAGACAGUUUAAACGCUUCCACAUUAUUUUUUAAACUCAAAACAUCUGCCUCUAAUUUCUCCUUUUGCUUAUUUAAAGAUUUGUACUUCUCCGCAAUCCAAUGGGCAGCAUAAAUCAAAGCAAGUUUACCACUAGAUUUGGACAAUUUCUUUUCAAUAAUUGCCCUGGCCACAUAAUCCUGAGAAUUAAGCCACGGAUCUAAUGCACCCUCCAUACAUUUUAUUAUUGCUUCUGAAUUAGACACCUUAACAAUAUUUUUCAAUAAACUCUCCAUCAUUGACAAAGCACAAUUCACUGACAUUUCUAUACACAAUAUCUGAACAGUAUCCAAAAGUCAAUAUACAAUCUAUACACUUAUGAAUAUGUUUAAAAUUCACACUAAAUCCCUCCUGGCUGGCUCGCCAUUAUAUAAGAAAUUAUGACCCUCUUACAAGGAUAUUCUUUUAGGGAAUGUGUGACAAAGAAGACACAAACACUAGUGUAUAAUAAAAUGUAUUGUAAAUAUUGAUUUAGGAUACUGUUACAGAUUUUAGAAGGAUAUACACAAUACACAUUAUAACCACAUCCAGUAAAAAAAAAAAAAAAAGAUACCUAGUAAAAGGGCAAUACUUUAAAUGAAGAUCUUCCCCUUGCGCCUUCAUCUUUGGUAGUCUGAGACAGUCUCUCUUAGUUCACCAUGGCACCUGUGCUUGCUGCACUGUGCUCUCCAAAAGAGACAAAAAGAGAAAGAGAGGAGAGGAACCCAACCUCCUUGGCUGUUGUUCUUUUAAAGACUGAUUCUUGCUGUUAUUAACUACAAGUCCCAGAAUUCAUUUUCCCUUCCAAAAGUGGUUUAUCCCACCCUCUUUUCACAGAGAGUUCCAUCUUUACACAAGUCCUUUUUUUUAUCUCUUCCCUCCAGUUACACUACAACACUCUGUAAAAAGUGACCAGUUAGGGUUGGUUUCUGGGUAGAUUGGUCAGGAUGGCUUGGGAAAACACAAAGUUCAUGGUUACACCUAGAUGUUUAUUACUCUGAUCUUCUGAUCUCCUGAUAACAUGACCCUUGAAACCUUUAUAGUAAAGAUUUGUACCCUUUGUACCCAUUGAUGACAACCUCCUUUAAAAUGUAAAUGGAAUUCCAUUGUGAAACCAGAUAGCUUAUUAAAAAACUGACCUUCACAAAGCAUAUGUCAAUAUAUUAAAUAGAAAAUAUAAUUUUUAAAGGCACCCCAUUUCUUACAAUUGGAAAGGUUACCGUCCAGAGGAACGCUAUUGGGAACUUGCCACAUACUUUCACGCCCCAACUUUUGGUAAGAAAUUUCCAUAGGCUCUAUCCUACUAAACCCACUCAGCGCCCUAGAAGAGGGCUUAUGUCACGGCACGCCGGGAGGGUUUGGCAUGCCUCACUCACUUCCUGGACGCCACUGUUUUCUCCACCCUUCAACGUUCCCUCUCCGGUUCCCCCAGGCCCUGCACCAUGAGGUUUGCAGUGUGCCGGGGAAUGGAGACAAGCUCUGCCUGACUGCAGGAGUACCUCCACUUUGGCAGACAUUAUGUAUGCCAUAUCUCCCACACUGCCCCAGGAUACCCCCAGGCUGUCAUAGCCCUGGGGGACCCAUGCUGGUAUUCCUGUAAGCAGUGUGGGGAACAGUAGCUUUCAGUUAACAAAUGUACAUAGUGUCCUGCCCACAUAAUAGGUGUGGACACCUACUUACACAGAGGAGCCUUCCAAUUAUAUAGGCCCUUAGACCCCUCCUUAUUUCAUUUUCCCCAUUUAAGCACAGACCACCCUAGGCUCUGUGUUCAGUUAUUUUGUUGUCUCCCUAGAAUACAGUGUCAGAUCGUGUAUGGAGUUAUUUGAUUACCUUCACCUGUCUGGAUUUACUGAAUUAACUCCUGCCUGAACUCAUAAUACUCUUUGCUUCCUGGAUUUUCUGAGUUAACCUUUGGCUGCCUGGACUCUGGUUAACCCCUGCAAUCCUGUUUCAGUCUUGGUUAACCCCUGCAAUCCUGCUCCAACUUUUGUCAGUUCUUUACAUCAUUUGUCCAGUGCUGAAACUUUGGUAAAUACUUUACUUUUCAUAUUAAGGACUUUUAUUUCUUAUCACAAUAUUGCCUUCUUUUCUGGUUUUGUUUUGCAUUGUGAUUUUUCAAUAAUACCUAUUUACUUUUUAAUAAAGACCUUAAAUUCAGUGACUGUGUUCAUACAAAAUCUCUGCAUCAUGAGCCCAUUCACCCCAAACUUGUGACAUAAAAUUUCCAAGUUAGUGGUUCCAAAGUAGAAGGUCUAGCAGGCAAAAUCAAUUCUUCACUGAUUGGGAUGUCUGCUAAGUCAUUCAAAUGUCACUCAACCACCUUAAGAUGACAUCAAAUGACUUACAUUAGAGUGGCACAUGGUAUCUGUGGGAACUGUUUGAAUCAGGCUCCUAGGGACAGAGUUGUAGAAGUGUAAAAAGUCCUUCAUGGAUGAGAAGUAAAGAAGAACUAGGCUGAGUUAAAAUUGUAAUAUGUUAAAAUUAGUGUAGGGCCCACAAAUAUUCAGGUACUGCGGCGUAGUGACCGGCUUAACAUGAUAUGGCCAUAUGCUGGUACUGAAUCCCCAUAUUUGUUUGAGGACAUAUGUGAUUUUAAGUUGCCUUGUAAAAUUUAAGUUGUGUUUUUGUGUGUGCACUAUGUCUUAAUCUGUAUUUUGUAUAAAUUUUGGGACUUACCGCAGCACCCCUUACAGGUGUGCCCCCAAUUCCCCUUUUUUGCCAGUUCACCUGUAGUCCUUCCUUCACAACACUUGCCACUUUGGAGAUGACUCUGCUCCAGUCCUCUAGCCAACACUAUUUGGUCGUUCUCAAAGUCACUCAGAUCUUUUUUCUUCCCAAUUUUUUUCUGCUCCCAAAACAUGAAAUUCAAGAAUUGACUGUUGACUUGCUGACAAUUAUAUCCCACCCCUUGACAGGUGCCAUUGUAACGCUAUGAUCAACGUUAUUCACUUCACCUGUCAGUGGAUUUAAGAUGUGUGUGUGAUAAUAUUAAAUAAAUAUAUAAUAUUUUUUUCAUAUAAAUAUCAAUGUAAAGCUAUCUUCUAUCUGAUAUAAUGAACAACGGCAUUGCUUGGGUUGGGCUUUAGAAGCUGAAGCCCGGGUUGUAGGGUUCUUUAGCUCCAGAUGCCUACAGGUGUUCGAAGAGCAGCAGAAUACUGGUAUUUGUUUCGUUUAUGCAUCCAGGGACGUUUACUCAAAGCAGCCACUUGAUAUGUGUAAAAAAAUCAAGAAUAUGACUUCUAGUGGAGCUCUAGGGUAGAUUAAGUUAUUCUUUGAAUUACAAAUGCCCCUGAUAAUGAAUUUAAGAUUUGCAAUACAUUUAUUUUCUUUGUUUUUUUUUCCCCAGUGAUACAGAGUUUACUUAUUUAUUUUUUCUUCUAAAAAAUCUUCAGACUGCAAAUUCAGAUUGGUCAUAAGGAUGCAAUACCUUUUGUUUUAUAUAAAUGUAUUGGGAAGCUACAUAUGUAGAAAUUUGAAAUGACAACAAAGUUGCUCUUCAAACCAUUUUUACAAUAUAAAACUGUAUGCCAUUUCAAGAGAGUGUCCUGAGGUUCUCUGCCUGUUUUUAUUGUGUUUGCUUUUGUAAGAUGCUUAAAAAUAGUACAAAUAUAUACAUUGCCUUGCAAAAGUAUUCACCCCCUUGGCAUUUUUCGUGUUUUGUUGCCUCACAACCUGGAAUUAACAUAGAUUGUUUGAGGAUUUGCAUCAUUUAAUUUACAGAACAUGCCCACAACUUUGAAGAUGUUUUUUAUAUUUUUUUUAAUGUUAAGCAAACAACAAAUAGGACAAAAAUAACAGAAAAAGUCAAUGUGCAUAACUAUUCACCCCCCUAAAGUCAAUACUUUGUAGAGUCAACUUUUGCUGCAAUCACAGCUCCAAGUCGCUUUGGAUAAGUCUCUAUGAGCUUGCCACAUCUUACCACUGGGAAUUUUGCCCAUUCCUCCUUGCAAAACUUCUCCAGCUCCUUCAAGUUGGAUGGUUUGCGCUUGUGAACAGCAAUCUUUAAAUCUGACAACAGAUUUUCUAUUGGAUUGAGGUCUAGGCUUUGACUAGGCCAUUGCAACACAUUUACAGGUUUCCCCUCACUCAAGUGUUGCUUUAUAAGUGUGUUUGGGGUCAUUGUCCUGCUGGAAGGUGAACCUCCGUCCAAGCCUCAAAUCACACACAGCAUGAUACAGGUGGUACAGAUAUUGUUCAAGAAUAUCCCUAUAUUUACAUAUUUUCCCUCAACUCUGACCGGUUUCCCAGUCCCGGCUGCUGAAAAACAUCCCCACAGCAUGAUGUUGCCACCACCAUGUUUCACUGAGGGAUGGUGUUCUUUGGGUGAUGUGAUGUGUUGGGCUUUUUCCAGACAUAUCGUUUUCUUUGGUUACAUUUUAGUCUCAUCAGACCAGAGCACCUUCCUCCAUACAUUUUGGGAGUCUCCCACAUGCCUUUUCGCAAACUCAAAACGUGCCAUUUUGUUUUUUGCUAAAAGUAAUGACUUUCUUCUGGCCACCCUGCCAUAAAGCCCAACUCUAUGGAGCGUACGGCUUAUUCUUGUCCCAUGUACAGAUACUCCAGUCUCUGCUGUGGAACUCUGCAGCUCCUCCAGGGUUACCUUAGGUCUCUGUGCUGCCUCUCUGAUUAAUUCCCUCCUCGCCCGGUCCGUGAGUUUUGGUGGGCGGCCGUCUCUUGGCAGAUUUUCUGUUGUGCCAUGUUCUUUCCAUUUGGUUAUAAUAGAUUAGAUGGUGCUCCUGGGGAUCAUCAAAGAUUUGGAUAUUUUUUUUAUAACCUAACCCUGACUUCUCAACAACAUUGUCCCUAACUUGUUUGGAGAGUUCCUUGGUUUUCAUGGCAGUGUUUUGGUUAGUGGUGCCUCUUGCUUAGGUGUUGCAGCCUCUGAGGCCUUUCAAAAAAGGUGUGUAUAUGUAAUGACAGAUCAUGUGACACUUAUAUUGCACACAGGUGGACAUCAUUUCACUAAUUAUGUGACUUCUGAAGGUAAUUUUCUGUUUUCUAUUUCUAAAAAACAGUUUUAUGUAUACAUUUUUCUAAUUUCACUUCACCAACUUAGACUAUUGUGUUCUGAACCAUCACAUAAAAUUCAGAUUAAUAAAACAUUAAAUUUGAGAAGGCUGUAAUGUAACAAAAUAGGUAAACAGUCAAGGGGGGUGAAUACUUUUCCAAGGCACUGUAUUUGCAUUUCUAUCUUGAUUUCUUUCUUUCUAUCUUUCUUUUCAUUAUACCGUACUUUAUUGAAGAAAUGUUUGUCCACAGGGUGCAGAAUAUUAAACAAGGAGGGGGGAAAGGGAGGAGUUAGAAAAACAAAAGUAAAACCACUCCAACAGUGACAGCCAUGGGUAGAACAUCACAUUGUUGGAUAUCAUGUUUGUGACAGUAAAUAAUUCCAUACGAAGAUAAUGUAUAAAUAUAUAACUAAUGUACAUAACAGAGUCAAAUUUAGAGUGUGUUCCAAAAAUGAUAUCCAAUGAGAUCAAAUGUUCUCAAAAGUUUUUAAAGUGAUUCCCAUAGCCAUGUAUUGAAAGCUCUCACUCCUUCAGCGCUAUGUUUAUGUGGACCCACAAAGCAUGUAAUUACAGCACUUCCCGGGAGACAGCCAAAAGGAAAACCCUCAUAUGUACAUAGUGCAGAUAAUUCCAGAAUCAGAUAUCAGUAUCACAGCACGAUAAACGGAUUUGUUAUGCUAUUGUGACUUUUAUUUUGUUUUUAAUUUAUACAUAUAAUCAAAAUUAGUAAAACCUAUUCUUGUUCUGAGAAAUAAAGGCUAUUACAUGUGUGAAAUUACCAAGAAACUGAAGAUCUCAUACAGCACUGUGUACUACUCCCUUCACAGAAUAGAGCAAACUGGCUCUAACCGGAAUAGAAAGAGGAGUGCACAACAGAGAAACAGGACAAAUACAUUAGAGUAUCUGAUUCGAAAAAGAGACACCUCAAAAGUCCUCAACUGGUAGCUUCAUUUAAUAGUACCCCCAAAACACAGUCUCAACGUCAACAAGGAAGAGGCAUCUCUGGGAUGCUGGUCUUCUAGGCAAAGUUGCAAAGGAAAAUCAAUCUUUCAGACUUGCCAAUACAGGGAGUGCAGAAUUAUUAGGCAAGUUGUAUUUUUGAGGAUUAAUUUUAUUAUUGAACAACAACCAUGUUCUCAAUGAACCCAAAAAACUCAUUAAUAUCAAAGCUGAAUAUUUUUGGAAGUAGUUUUUAGUUUGUUUUUAGUUUUAGCUAUGUUAGGGGGAUAUCUGUGUGUGCAGGUGACUAUUACUGUGCAUAAUUAUUAGGCAAUUUAACAAAAAACAAAUAUAUACCCAUUUCAAUUAUUUAUUAUUACCAGUGAAACCAAUAUAACAUUUCAACAUUCACAAAUAUACAUUUCUGACAUUCAAAAACAAAACAAAAACAAAUCAGUGACCAAUAUAGCCACCUUUCUUUGCAAGGACACUCAAAAGCCUGCCAUCCAUGGAUUCUGUCAGUGUUUUGAUCUGUUCACCAUCAACAUUGCGUGCAGCAGCAACCACAGCCUCCCAGACACUGUUCAGAGAGGUGUACUGUUUUCCCUCCUUGUAAAUCUCACAUUUGAUGAUGGACCACAGGUUCUCAAUGGGGUUCAGAUCAGGUGAACAAGGAGGCCAUGUCAUUAGAUUUUCUUCUUUUAUACCCUUUCUUGCCAGCCAUGCUGUGGAGUACUUGGACGCGUGUGAUGGAGCAUUGUCCUGCAUGAAAAGCAUGUUUUUCUUGAAGGAUGCAGACUUCUUCCUGUACCACUGCUUGAAGAAGGUGUCUUCCAGGAACUGGCAGUAGGACUGGGAGUUGAGCUUGACUCCAUCCUCAACCCGAAAAGGCCCCACAAGCUCAUCUUUGAUGAUACCAGCCCAAACCAGUACUCCACCUCCACCUUGCUGGCGUCUGAGUCGGACUGGAGCUCUCUGCCCUUUACCAAUCCAGCCACGGGCCCAUCCAUCUGGCCCAUCAAGACUCACUCUCAUUUCAUCAGUCCAUAAAACCUUAGAAAAAUCAGUCUUGAGAUAUUUCUUGGCCCAGUCUUGACGUUUCAGCUUGUGUGUCUUGUUCAGUGGUGGUCGUCUUUCAGCCUUUCUUACCUUGGCCAUGUCUCUGAGUAUUGCACACCUUGUGCUUUUGGGCACUCCAGUGAUGUUGCAGCUCUGAAAUAUGGCCAAACUGGUGGCAAGUGGCAUCGUGGCAGCUGCACGCUUGACUUUUCUCAGUUCAUGGGCAGUUAUUUUGCGCCUUGGUUUUUCCACACGCUUCUUGCGACCCUGUUGACUAUUUUGAAUGAAACGCUUGAUUGUUCGAUGAUCACGCUUCAGAAGCUUUGCAAUUUUAAGAGUGCUGCAUCCCUCUGCAAGAUAUCUCACUAUUUUUGACUUUUCUGAGCCUGUCAAGUCCUUCUUUUGACCCAUUUUGCCAAAGGAAAGGAAGUUGCCUUAUAAUUAUGCACACCUGAUAUAGGGUGUUGAUGUCAUUAGACCACACCCCUUCUCAUUACAGAGAUGCACAUCACCUAAUAUGCUUAAUUGGUAGUAGGCUUUCGAGCCUAUACAGCUUGGAGUAAGACAACAUGCAUAAAGAGGAUGAUGUGGUCAAAAUACUCAUUUGCCUAAUAAUUCUGCACUCCCUGUAUAAAGAUUAAAAUAGACAAAAAGAACACAGACACUGGACAGAGGAAGACUGGAAAAACUAGUUAUGGAAAGACAAAUUUAAGUUUUAGGUGUUAGGAUCCCAAAGAAGAACAUUUGCGAGACACAUACCAAAUAAAAAGAUGCUGAAGGAGCGCUUGACACCAUCUGUCAAGCAUUGUGGAGGCAAUGUGAAGGUCUCAGGGAGCUUUGGUGGUGGUAAAGUGGGAGAUGUCUAUAUAGUAAAAGAGAACUCAAAGAAGGCAGGGAAUCACUCUAUUUUGCAAUGCCAUGCCAUACUCUGUGGACUUUCCGUGAUUGAAGCCUAUUUUCUCCUACAACAGGACAAUAACCCAGAGCAUCUCCAAACUAUGCCAGAACUAUUUAGGGAUGAACAGUUAGCUGAUAUUCUGCCUUUAAUGGAGUGGCCAGCACAAUCACCAGACCUCAACCUUAUUGAGCUGUAGUUGGAACAGCUUGACUGUAUGGUAUACAGGCCAAUCCAACUUGUGGGAGCUGCUUCAGGAUGCCUGGGGUGAAAUCUCUUCAGAUUACCUAAAAAUAAUUAACAACUAAAAUGUCAAAAGAUCUGCAAGGCUGUAAUUGCUGCACAUGGUAGAAUCUUUAGUGAAAGCUAAAUUUGACGGGCACAAAUAAUGUUUCACUUAAAAUUCAAUAUUUCUAACUUUAUCAAUGACUAUAUUUCCUAUUCAAACUCAUUUUUAUAUAAAUUUUCAUAGAAAAUAAGGCAAUUUCUGAGUGACUUCAAACUUCCAAAUACUAGUGUAUAUGCAGCAAUGGAUAAAACUGUAUUUAGUGUGACUACUGCACACAGUUUUGUAAGGAAACUGUAUACGUAAAAACAUAAUCUGCCUGUUAAGACAAAGGGCAUCUAAUAUUUUUCAAAUCCCAUAAUGCGAGAUGGCUGACAAUUCAAUCUCCAAACAGACACAUACCUGCCAAAGCAGGGGCCAGUCUGCACUUCAAAUAUGUAGGUGUGCCCUUCAAAGAGGAGGGUCCACCCAUAAGGACUGAAGCUUGCUUCCUCAAUGUAGACUAUAUACGGAGCACUGCUCAAGCGUUCUAUGUAUGAUCCUAAUGCCAAAUCACUACCUUCAGAUUUCAAAGUGCAGAACAGGUCCUGGGAACCCAGCUUUGCAUUGACUGUACCCCAAAAUAUGGGUUUGUUUGCACCUAUGCUGACACUGUGCCAUACAAGGGGAGCAACAUUUUAGUCAGUGUCUGUGUCUUCAUACUGUCCCCCCAGCUUCUCUGCCUAGUGAAUUGAAGAUUAUAUUAGCUUUGGUGGACUAAUAAUCUUAAUUUUAGUAAUGACAGGAGGCGAAUAUUUGAAUAACUUUCUUUACUGAAAACUACAGCAGCAUAGAAACAUAACAACCAAUCAGAAAAAGUUAUGAUGCCCAUAAAAGGCCCUGUCUAUGACAUCACUUCCUCUUUCUUUGAAGCGAAAAACAACAAAUAACCAUGAAUAACGUAAUCAUAUAAAGUUCUAACAGUUCAAUAACACAAAGUCUCCAGUAAAUCUUUGAUGUAGAGGUAUGGAAGAUGAAUCUUUGUCUUGCUGUGAAGACGUUCACACUGAAAGAAAAGAAAAAGGUGAAAGGUCUCUGACGUGGCAAGUUGCACGCAUAUAAUAAACAUUAAGAACCUGACAUAACAAUGGAUGCCUAAUGGAUAGUAAGCAAUGCAUGUUAAUUCUAAAAUUAUGGUAUUAAUCCAUAUAACACUCUAAACGGUACAUGUCUAAUUAUUCAACCCUAUACUACCCCCCAUAAGAUACAUGUCUAAGUAUUUAACCAUAUAACCAUAUAUGCUGAUACAUGUCUUCCUGAACCUAAAGGCUGUAUUCUAUGCAACCUGAUUAUGAUAUGGGAGGGGUCCUAUAGGGUGGGAAAUAUUCGCCUCCUGUCAUUACUAAAAUUAAGAUUAUUAGUACACUAAAGGUAAUAUAAUCUUCAAUUUUACCACAUGACAGGAGGCUUCAUAUUUGCAUUUUUAAAGCUUUGAAUUAACUAAUGUGAAGGAAGCAUGAGAUGUUUGACGAAAACAAAAUGUCCUAAAUGUACUCUCUCGUGUCCAAACCGCGCAGCGCAUAACGUCGGCUAGGGAGACGCCUGCCGAUAAUGCUUGUGAGGCUGCCGCACCUCUGACCGAGUGCGCACCGAAGCAAGGUUCAACACCAGCUAACGAUAAUAGCCAGCGGACCCAUCUAGCCAGUGUCGUCGUAGACACCGGUCCGUGAGGCCUUACAUAAGAAAUCAGGAGCUGGCCCAUCGAAGUAGUUCGAAGGGGAGCUGAGAUUUCUGUAUAUCUCAUUAGUGUCCUGCCAACACAUAGUUUGGGGUCUGACCCAAAGUACGGGUAUGACACUGAAGAUGAAUCUGACUUAGUCCGUCUUGAUAUGGAAAAGGUAACUCCUUCUGGUGUGAGAGAGAAACCGUCCACAUUGAACGCUCUAACAUCUGCCACCCGUUGAAACGAGACGAGGCAUAACAAGAGGGUUAGUUUGGCUCAAAGCUGUUUCAACAACAGAUAGGGGUUGUCCGGCCAGUCCCUAAGGAAUUUCAGCACCACAUCCAACUGCCAGAGGCGUAAAUAUUUGGGUGCCGGGGGACUUGUUAAUUUGGCACCUCGCAGUAGCUGACAAAACAGUGGAUCUUGACCCACUGGUCUGACGUACCGGAACGUGUGCCGCCGAAAUGCUGGAUCUGAUCACAUUGAGGGACCGAUAUGAUCGCCCCAACGAGAACAGAUGAGAUAGGUCAUUAAGGAUUAGUGGGACAGGGGCAGUAAAGGGAUCGGAAUCCCUUUCCACACACCAAUUACACCAGGCCGACCAAGUGGAAAUAUAGCAUUUCCUGGUGCCGGGAGCCCAUGAGUCAUAUAGGAGGUCUUUAGUUGAUUGUGAUAGGCCGUGGACUGACCAGGAACCCCUGAAAUCGUCCAGGCCACUAGCUCCAGUUGUCCUUCCAGGACGAGGGAGUGGGCUUCCCCUCGAGGUCCCAUCAGAAGUAGAGGGAAGGUUGGUAGUAGUGGAGGGGUUUCGCGAGACAACUCCAGAAGGUCCGGAAACCAUGGUUGACUCUGCCAGAGGGGUGUUACGAGAAGGAGUGAUAUCUUGUGGGUGCGUGUAUAUCGAAGUACCCGUGGAAUCAUGGAAAACGGUGGGAAUGCAUAUGCCCCGUGUUUGGGCCAGGUUUGUAGAAAUGCGUCCGCAGCUUCACCUUUCGGAUCCGGAAGCCAACUGUAGUAUCUCGGUAAUUGGUGGUUGGUCCUGGAGGCGAACAGAUCUAUUAUUAAUCGCUCUUUCCACCGUCGUAGCUCUUGGAAUAUCUCCUUGUUGAGUUUCCAAUCGCUGUUUUCUCGCCAGUGGCGCGAGAACCAGUCCGCCGUCAGGUUGGAGAUUCCCGGCAGAUAUUCCUUCUGUAGCGUGAUGUUCCGUGCUAGGCAAAAUCUGUAGAUGUCCUUCGUGGCUUCUGUCAGAGCCCGUGACCUGGCUCCACCUAGGCGGUUGAUGUACUGCACCGCCGAAACAUUGUCCAUGCGGAGCAAAAUGCAGCAGUUCGACCUGUCCUCGACCAGGCUGCGGAUGGUGAAGGACCUCACAUUGAUGUGUAGGUCGGUCUCCUCCCCUUGCCAUGGGCCUCCUGUGGAGACGUCCAUGCAGUAGGCACCCCAUCCCCAUAGGCUGGCGUCCAACUCCACGAUGAAGUCCAGGGAAGAGACAAAAAUCGCCUUGCCAUUCCAGGCUUCUAUGUGAAGUAACCACCAUCGAAGUUCCAUUCUCACUUCCGCCGACAGUGGGAUCCAGUGGUCGUAUGAAUGUCCGGUGCAUAGAUAUCCCGCCUUUAGCCGUUGCAUGGCCCUGUAGUGUAACGGGCCCGGGAAUAUCGCUUGUAUGGAGCAGGAGAGGAGUCCCACAAUCCGGGCGGGCAUUCUGAGCGGUAUCGCAUCCAUCCUCAGUACCCGUCUGAUUUCCUUCCGUAUCGAGGCUAUCUUCGCCGAAGGUAACCGUAGAUCGCAGUCCUUCGGGUCGAUGUCAAAGCCAAGGAAUUGGACCGACUGGGAGGUAGAGAGAGACUAUUUUUGUCUGUUCACUACAAAACCCAAAGAUUCCAGCAAGUGAACGACAAAUUUCAUCUGCAAUCGCAGUCUGGAAGCGAAUUCGCAAAAGAUUAUGAAAUCGUCCAGGUAUACAAGACAUCGUAUGCCCAAGGUUCAGAUGUGUGCCAUCACUGGUCUCAACAGCUUCGUGAAGCACCACGGAGCCGAACUAAGGCCGAAUGGCAGACAUGUAAACUGGCAUAUUUGUCCUCUCCAUCGGAAGCGGAGAAAGUGCCGGUAGUGUACGUCCACUGGUACUGACAGGUACGCGUCUUUGAGAUUCAGACACGUAAACCAGUCGUUCUUGAUGAGAAGGUCUUGCAGAAGAUGAAUUCCUUCCAUCUUAAAAUGUCUGUAUAUUAUGUAUGAAUUCAACUGUCGGAGGUUGAUAACUAGUCUGUAGUCGCCUGUUUUCUUCUUGACCAGGAAGAUGUUGCCUAGGAAGCCUCCCCCUCCUGGCGCAUAUUGUAUCGCACCCUUUUUGAAGAGUGUGUGGAUCUCCUCGUCGUUAGCUCCCAGUUCUGUAAAAAAAAAAGGACAGGCUGCCUGCUAUUAAAUUGGAAACAUUUUGGUAUGUAGGUGGAUUCACCAUUAGAGAAAUGGCCGUGUCCUCGACCUCUGAAGUCUCUAGUUCUUCCUGCCCCUCUGUACGAUGAGGGUCUUUGUGUUGUAGAUGGGAAGAAGCUUGGAGCUUGUGGGUACGAUAUGGAACCUGUCGCACAAAAGCAUCUGGUGGCUCGGUUCUGCUGCUGACCAGCCCUCCCAAAAACACCUGUUCCUGUGGGGGUGUGGAAAACCUGCUUGAGUGAGGUUUGGGCCUUAUUCAAGGUGGUGAAUAGGUUUACAUGCUUUUUAAGCUCUGUAAUGAAAGCCAAACAACAGUCCUUGUGCUUUCGGGCCGAAUUCCUUAGCUCCUAGAUCCAGGAGCUUGUUAUCUAUGCGGAUCAGUGCCGACUUGCGUCUUUCAGUGCACAAUGCGGGGUUUGCGUUGCCCGGAAGGCAUACUGAUCAUUGAGCCCAUUCACAUAUGAUGUUAGGGUCGAGUUGAGAGCCCUGGCUGAGUGCUAGAUCCACGAAAUAGAAUAUCUUAGCGAUGGGGCUGAGUAAAUCCAGCACUUUGUCUUGUGCUGCCUUCAUGCCUUUCUCCACACCCUUCGAGGGUCUUGUCCUGAACGUGACAUAAAGACCACGACAGUGUUGUCAAACUCGGGCGUAAGUGCCACUUUGUCAGGUAGCAGUGGUCUGGGGCAUUCGGCCUUGAGGCAUGCCUGUACCUCUUUUUCCAGAGAUUUGCACAGCCAAUAGUGUACGAACCACGUCAGAUGGUCCGGCAGGCUCCACCUCCAAGAGUGGGGUCCCUUGUUUGUCCGUAAAUGUUCCGUACUCGGUCAUUCCGGUGUUGGUGCCACUGGGGCUCUCUCUGUCUCGGUCGUCGUCGCCGAGAAUGGUCUCUCUGACGUAUUUCGAAGAGGUGGGGGGGUAGGUCCUGCCACUUUUCCUCCUCUGAAGGUGAACUGUCCCCGUGCCCUUCGUCUACCACGUCCAAGGUACGUGGUACAUUUUAAUCCUCCUCAUGGGAGGAUUGUAGUGCUCUCUUGUAUUUGGCUUUAGUGGAACGGGGGCUCAAGCCCUUCCGUUGUCACUUUGCCUUGGAGACUUCGGAGCCCGAGGCCUCCAUCAGUUCCAAGGGACUCGCGUCGCCCUGGCCCUGGGGUAGAGCCCUCAAGAGAGCCUUUUCCACGGAGGCCACUACUGCGACAUUUAUCAUUGCCUGAAAAUCUUGGCUGGAUUGAGUGUCUUCCAUGACUCUAUUUAUUUUUCUCGUGCUGUUGGGCGAUAAGAAGAGUCAGUGUGAAGGGUCAGUACAUAGGGUACCAGACUCCUGGUACAACUGGGAAUCGCCCAGAUUAGUACAUUGUAUGUAGAAGGAGGCUUGGAGUAUAUGGCUCUGGUGCCUAAAUAGGGGUCACCUGUAUUGAGCAGUCUGGUAUGUGUCAAUGGUAGUGGUGAGUUUGGGUUCACCACAGUUGUACACCAGAGCUGUAUGCAUGGUACGUUAGCAAUCAGAGACAAUGCUCAUGUUGAGAGGUGUAAGCACUCGUGCAUGUGAUCGGGGUUCACCCCGGGUGGUGUGCCAUGGUAAACUAGAGGACAUCCACAUUAUAGAUAAUGGUCUGCGAGCGAUCUUGCAUGCAUAUUUGGGGGGUCACCCCAGGUGGUGUGCCAUGAAGAAAUACCCAGAGGACACGCACAUUAAUUUGUACAUUUAGGUACAGUAAUAUAGUAUGACCCUGUGCAGGGUACAUUAGUUCACUCCUUUAAUGCCCGCAUGCUUUAUAUAUCCAUCAAGUGGCAUGGGAAACAGUUUGUACGCAUGAGACUGACAGCUUAGAGUAAUACUCCCAUUGAACAAAAGGGGGCUGUUAGAGCCAUGUGACAUGUCAUAUAUGAAAAACAACUGCGGUGUCAGCUGUCUAAGGACCUGUUUGUGGAAUCCUUGUUGGGAUUAAGACAGUUGCUGAGCGUGCCGAUCGGGUGAGUCCCGAUCCGCAGAGCGAGCAGGGAAGGCGGCUGUCUUGUAGCUCGCCAGCCGCGAGAUCCAAGAUGGCCGCCGCUCGCAUGUGAGAGUGCGCAACGGACCCGCGGCCGCGGGUCUGUAGCGCGGAAAGAACAAAAAACGCUGACCCGGCCUCCCUCCACCCGUCCCCACACAGUCCCUGGAGAGUAUAUGAGGCAGGUCCGCAAAGCGAGCGCGGCACGGGCAGCCAUGACGCCCGCGGACCGUCAAGCAGUAAUCAGUGUAACAUUAAGAGACUGUGAAUACAAGAUGAUAUUGGAAAAAACGAGUAUGGGAGGGAAGGGAACAGGUAUAAGAGGGCCAGGAGCAAUAAAGCUAAAAUAAAGAUGAAGUAAAUAUCAUGUAGACAAUGCAAAAUCUAGGUUAUACCAGAGAGGCAAAAUACUCUGACCUUUGUAGGCUGGAGCAGCAAAGAAAGAGGAAGUGAUGUCAUAGACAGGACCUUUUAUGGGCAUCAUAACUUUUUCUGAUUGGUUGUUAUGUGUCUAUGCUGCUGGAGUUUUCAGUAAAGAAAAUUAUGCAAAUAUGAAGCCUCCUAUCACGUGGUAAAAUUAAUGAGUGCAGCUGCAAAUACAGCUGCUGCUGGGAUUGGAGAGUCAAACACUCUCAGGAAGAUGCGAAUAUGUAGGUAUUGUGAUCCUUGUCAGCAGGUAGCACGGUCCUCUAGGGCAAAAACAUGCACAGUCCUUGUAAUUCAUAUACUCCAGGCACUUUAUUUGUAAGUUCACACAGGAUACAGCAGUAAAAUGAAAACAUAAAUGUAACAGAAAACCCUAUAAACAAAAACCUAGCUCGGUCUGAGCACUAACUCACUUUAGGUUCCCUAUCUCUCAGGGUUAAACUAAACAAAACAAUAUUGCACCAACCUUAUUAGAGAGCAACACUCUGCUAUCUAACCUGUUGCUUUCCUUUCUGCACUCCCAGUGCUCCAAGCCAGCCUUUCCCUGACUGCUUUCCUUUCUGCACUCCCAGUGCUCCAAGCCAGCCUUGCCCUGACUGCUUUCCUUUCUGCACUCCCAGUGCUCCAAGCCAGCCUUGCCCUGACUGCUUUCCUUUCCGCACUCCCAGUGCCUCCAAGCCAGCCUUGACUGCUUCCUUCUGCACUCCCAGUGCCUAGUCUCUUUGACUCUAUCUGGAGAGAUCAGCCUCUCUCCUACCUGCUUCCUGGGAGGAAGCCAGCAAUCCCUCUCUACCUGUCUAGCAGGGAGGAGUUUAUUCCCACUGCAACAGCUCAUUAACUGCAGCUGUGCAGUGGGUUGGAGACAGUCCAAAAAACCCUGGCCUGGAUCCAUGUCUCCCCAGAAAACCACUAAACUGUGGAGUGGAGCAUUGGCCCACCCUUCUCUCCAAAUGCUCCACCCCAGGGGCCCAUAACUAAACAGUGUUUUGUGUUGUGCAACACACAAACUACACUUUCUUCCCCUGGGGUUAAAAGGCCUAUCUGCCUUCACUUUAUCACAGUAUAUAUAAUGAUUUUAGAAUCUUCAAUAUGUCUGUACAAGCAGAGCUUUUCAAAAUUCCCUAGUACAACACAUACUUUUCAUAAUGCCAGCCAAUAUGGCACAAUAGAGAACAAAGGAUUAUAAGAGCGAAUUAACGCUCAUCAACACUGACGAAUCAAAAAUAAAGCCUGGAUAAUAAACGAAUGCCAAUCUUUACAUGCCAGAGCAAAUUAAACAAGCAGUUAAGUCCUGUUUUGUUCCACCUCCGUUCUAUUUACAUUGCAAAGCUUCUAUUCAGAGAAUGGGGCUUAUGGCAAGUUACUCAUCCUAUGUGACACCCAGGUAAUUAAACCUGACCUGGCAAGAAGUAGAUUAAUCAUCUUGUCCAUUCAGAGCAUGACAGUAAGGAUAUCAACAUUUACACGUAUACCCAUAUGCUUUCCAAAAGGAGUAUACACCAAAUUUUCACUGUUUAAAUGCUGAUGUGUUAGAAAUGAAACCAGUGUGUCUCUGGCUGGCAAGGUCAUUGAUGGUACAUUACUCUGUCUAUCCAGUGGUGUACACACAAUCCAUGAGGCCCCGGUGCGUAACUGAUCCAUAUCCCCCCUCCUUUCCUUCCUCCCCUGCCUUUGCUCGUCCCCCCGAUUGACACACACAUACACACAGACACACACAAGGACACAAACAUACACACACACACAGAAACACACAAGGACACAUACAUACACACACAGACACAUACACAUACAAAGACACAUACAUACAGACACAGAUACAUACAACGACACAUACAUACAGACAAACACACAUACAAACAGACAGACACACCGGCACAUACAGACAGACACCACUCUGACUCCUUCCUCUGCUUCCUCCCGCGAGGGCAGUCACUUCCUCCCAGCAUGUGAUCUCAUCCCAGGGGGCCCGUCGCGCUGUUAAAGCACCCAGCGCUUACCAGGUCCUCUGAAAAUCCAUCUGCAUUGGGUGGCCCUAACAGCCACCCGAUGGACCCCUUGAACGGCGGCCCCGGCAGUAUGCGUGCGGGCCGGGGCUGUAAAACAUGGCAGCUGGUACCCAGUCGCAGGGGUCCGCAGGGCGGCCAGGCUCCCUGGAGUGAUGGGCCCAGUCGCAACUGCGACCCCUGCAACUCCUAUAUAUACACCUAUCCCUGUGUGUCUAUGCCUCUGGAUCCAUCUACUGCUACAGUCAAAAUUACUGCUAUUUUCCAUAGUGUGUUUUUAUUUCUUGUUUUGCUAUUUGUCUGCACCCAUGUUGCUUGAUCUACAACAUUACCAUAUAUAAAUAUGAUGAUCAAUAAAUCACCACUUUUCAUGGAACCUCCAUGUAAAAGUUUGUUGGGUACCAUAUGAGUGUGAUUCCAGUUUUUGUCUUAUCUGCGGUUAAAUUGGGGAGCAGUGUAACCAGCAGUACUUGUGUCUAUCUGUGUAGUUUGGACUGAGUUAGUACAUUUCUAACACUGUUUAUCAAAUUAAAUUUUGUUAUAUAGUCCGGGGUAGUGGCACAGAUCCUGGUUUUGUGUUUUAUGUAAUUCUGAUUGCGGGGACUGCGAUGAGGAUGUCUUGUGCCCCAUCCUAUGCUAACCUGCACCUACCUAGGGUGGUGGGAAAGAGAAGUAGUCUGCUCUGAAACUCUCAAACAAUAUAAUGAUCAUGGUUCCUUGGGGAGGAGAUAUAUAGAUGACUUCCUCAUUGUCUGGACGGGCACCAGGAAACUCUUCGCCAAAUUUGUGGAAAUACUAAAUGUGAAUGAUCUUAACCUCAGAUUCAUCACUUAAUCACUUAACCGCAUUCCAUCACUUAAUUUUUUGGAUUGUACACUCACAAUAACAGAUGAGCUUGAGAUCAAUACCACUCUUUACCACAAACCUACUUCAACUAACACUAUGCUUAGAUGGGAGAAUCAUCAUCUCACUUCCCUCAAGAGAUGUAUCCCAGUAGGACAGUAUCUGAGGCUUAGGAGAAACUGUUUUUCUACUGAAGAUUUUAAGCAUAAGGCUAAACAGCUCAGGCAGAGGUUUAACCCCUUAAGGACCAAACUUCUGGAAUAAAAGGGAAUCAUGACAUGUCACACAUGUCAUGUGUCCUUAAGGGGUUAAAGAAAGAGGGUAUCCUAACAGAUGUUUAAAACAAGCUUACAAGAGAGCAUUACACUGUAAACGAAAAACUCUAUUGUGUGACACAGCUACAUUGUAUGCUGAUCAGAUGCAUAGUCAAUUUUGAGUAUGGUUGGGAUUUUGCUAAAAGAACCCUGGGAAGGUUCUGGCAACUCCUGACACAGGAUCCACACGUGGCACAUGUUGUUUCCCCAAGAGUCUCACGUACUGCUAGAAGGGGAAUGAACUUAAAAGAAAUUCUGGUACCAAGUUAUUAAACAAUAUCCAGUAUAAAAAGAAACUGGAUUACAGUACAUGGUACAUAUCAGUGUGGACGCAUGGCUAAUGGCUAAAGGAUCUAAGGUAUUAACAGACUGGACGGGACUGGCACUGUAAAUAUCCCAAUCAAGCAGUUUUUAAACUGCAAUAACUCUGGCGUGGUAUAUCUUCUGACAUGUGAAUGCGGCCUUAAGUAAGUGGGCAAAACCAUGCGCCCUCUGAAAAGCAGGGUAAUGGAACAUGUCCACUCAGUGACAACUUUUAAGGAUACUCCUGUCGCUAGACAUGUCAGACUCUACCAUAAAGAUUCACCCAGCGAAAGUAUGAAGUUUGCUGGAAUCGAAUAAAAUCCAUAUGGGAAAAAGGGAUGAGCAUUUGGAUCAGGCUCUAAAAAAGAGAGAAUGCUUCUGGAUCUAUGAACUGGAUACCUAGGCACCAAAAGGGUUGAAUGAGGGUUUUACGUUUACCCCAUUUAUCGAUGCAUAGGAGCAAUAUUGUUAAUACUAUCUAAAUGAGAUACUAGGCUUGUAAAUAAUGUAUCUUCCAAUACAUGUUUAUUAUAGGCACAUAAGUUUCUUUUCUUUUGUUUAUUCUUGAUUGUAUUAACUGUGUAUUGUCAUAAAGGGAAUCUCAGUGAUCAGAUUAAUCACGUUCUGGAUCAUAAUGGGUUAAUCUAGGAUUGUACUUAAUAGUACUGACACUUCAUAUCAUAGUUAUUUCUAUGCAGUAUAGCCCCUUCUCCGUCCACCUGUUAUAGUAGGAUGGAGAGAUUGUGUAGAUUAAUACUUCGUGGCAAAAUUUCAGUCAAUGAGUAGGCGGGUCGUGGGUGUAUCUUUUGGCUUAGUACACUCCCACUCCCACUCCCACCUGUUUUAGGGGAAGCAGAGACGUUGUAAUGUACCCCCAGCAUCAGAGCUACUCUGACUGUUUGGGCCCGCCCAUCGACACACUGAUGGGCGUAUCCUGUAUGUGCUAUAAAGCUUAACACAUAACCUGCCUUAAUUAAGGCAGGAAAAACAUCACCCCCCGCAUCCAAUUGGUCCACAUAGAUUCAUUCCCUAUUUAAAUAGCAAUACAGAACAGUGUACUUCUUAAUGCCUCAAACAAAGGUGCUUUAGUAGCACCGAAACGCGCAUCAGGCUUUGUUCUAUUAUUUUAAACUCACUGCAUGCUUUAUUUUCUUCACCUUCGGUUAUGUUGUGAGGGUUUAUGCAUCAAACUUAGGAGAGGAAACUCUCUCUAAUGGGGUUUAUUUAUGGAAUGUCUUGCAGACCACAUGGAAGGACUCUCUCUUAUUGUAUGGUGCUUUUUUUUUGUAGUCGAUCUACCUUUAUUUUUAAUGAGCAUAACAUAAGCUUGGUUAUCUGGAGUUUUUUUCAGUAUGACAGCACUAUAGGGAGACUGGGUGGUCAUAAUAGCUUUCAAAGUCUUAAUUUAUAAUUUAUCGAAGUCGGCUUAUUUCUAGUUAGUUCAGUGAAGGCUUAGCUAUAUAUGCCAUUUCCCUUGUAAUAGCUUUCCUAUAUUCUGCAUAGCAACAAGUAGCAACAUUGUUUAAAUAUCUUUGUUACAGUAACCCACUAGUUUUUCUGUGCCUAUUUAUAUGUGGGAUAGCUUUACAUUCUGGGACAUAGUUAUCUACCCUUUCCUCCAACCUGUUGGUCAGUGAGGCUUACGAAUUAUAGGUUUUCACUUUUUGCUACCUUUCUAUUUCACUUAAGUAGCCUCCUGCAUUCUGCUACCCUCUUUACCCCAUUAGGAUUGCAGAGCUUAAUAGUUCCUUUUGAUGGGAGUAUUUGUGUGAUUUGUGUGUGUUACUUAUGCUCCUUCCUUUUUAAUAUACUUUAAUAAAUUGACAUUUUUCUUACAUACCUGAAGGGACUUUACUGUGUCCUUUGGACUUUAUGUCCACUGGCCACUCCAUGGUACUAUUUUGCAAUUUUUAGGGUUACCCCCUUCCAAAGUUCCCUUGACAUACUACAGGCCCCACUACGGGACAUUCUUUACUUUUAUAUAAAAGGGGUUUAGGGUUUGAGAGGGGUUAAUGUCAGAGUUAGAUUACAUAGGGUACUUAGUGUUAAGAUUAACAGCUUGAGAGUGGUUAAUAUUGUAGUAUAAAGACGGUUUAGGAUUAUUGAGUUUAGGGCUAGAGUAGGGUUCAAUUUAGUAUUGGAGUACAUUAGGUGAUUAGUUUAGCAGAGGAGUUAAACAUAGCAUUAAGGUAGAGGUUUUUUUUUUCAGGUUUAGGCUGUGUGCUGGAGAUUGAAGGGUUAUUUUCAAAGUACUCACCCCCCUAUGUCUUCUGUAUACCAGUCAGAUUGAUGAUAGAGCUGUAAGUGUUGUUACACAGUGUGUAUCACUGAGCGCUCCACCUGAACUUCCUGCAUUUCCUGUGAGAGGCUGUUAGUGGGAAGAUGGGAAAUGAUCUCUUCAACUUCCUGUCCAGCCUUACACACAGACACUGGAGGAUCUGGGACUGCACUGAGUGUUACAUCCUCAAAAGCUGCAGGUCUGGUUUUAAGGCUGACUAGAGUACAGAUUGCACUGGCCAAGGCUCCUGGUAAUUAUCUCUCCCCAUCGACCUAUUUAGAAGGAUCCUAUAGUGCCAGGAAAACAAAUCCGUUUUCCUUGCACUUUAGGUUUUAUAGGUGCCCCUCUCCCUCAUGCCCCCCUCCAGCGGGCUGAAGAGGUUAAAACCCCUUCAGCCACUUACCUGAAUGGGUUUGAAAUUAAACAAACAAGAUGUGCUUUAACUGCAGACUUUCACCUUUAAUUUGAGGGUAUUUACAUCCAAAUCAGGUGAACGGUGUAGGAAUUACAACAGUUUGUAUAUGUGCCUCCCACUUUUAAGGGACCAAAAGUAAUGGGACAGAUUAACAGUCAUAAAUCAAACGUUCACUUUUUAAUACUUGGUUGCAAAUCCUUUGCAGUCAAUUACAGCCUGAAGUCUGGAACGCAUAGACAUCACCAGACGCUGGGUUUCUUCCCUGGUGAUGCUCUGCCAGGCCUCUACUGCAACUGUCUUCAGUCCCUGCUUGUUCUUUUUCCCUUCAGUUUUGUCUUCAUCAAGUGAAAUGCAAGCUCAAUCGGCUUCAGGUCAGGUGAUUGACUUGGCCAUUGCAUAACAUUCCACUUCUUUCCCUUAAAAAAACUCUUUGGUUGCUUUUGCUGUGUGCUUUGGGUCACUGUCCAUCUGCACUCUGAAGCGCCGUCCAAUGAGUUCUGAAGCAUUUGGCUGAAUAUGAGCAGAUAAUAUUUCCCGAAACACUUCAGAAUUCAUCCUGCUGCUUUUGUCAGCAGUCACAUCAUCAAUAAAUACAAGAGAACCAGUUUCAUUGGCAACCAUACAUGCCAUGACACUACCACCACUAUGCUUCACUGAUGAGGUGGUAUGCUUUGGAUCAUGAGCAGUUCCUUUCCUUCUCCAUAUACUCUUCUCUUGCCAUCACUCUGGUACAAGUUGAUCUUGGUCUCAUCUGUCCAUAGGAUGUUGUUCCAGAACUGUGAAGGCUUUUUUAGAUGUUGUUUGGCAAACUCUAAUCUGGCCUUCCUGUUUUUGAGGCUCACCAAUGGUUUACAUCUUGUAGUAAACCCUCUGUAUUCACUCUGGUGAAGUCUUCUCUUUGACACACAUAGACCUACCUCCUGGAGAGUGAAGGGUGUUUUUUUCACCAGGGAAAGAAUUCUUUGGUCAUCCACCAGAGUUGUUUUCCGUGGCCUUCUGGGUCUUUUGGUGUUGCUGAGCUCACCGGUGCGUUCUUUCUUUUUAAGGAUGUUCCAAACUGUUGAUUUGGCCACACCUAAUGCUUUUGCUCUCUCUCUGAUGGGUUUGUUUUGUUUUUUUCAGCCUAAUGAUGGCUUGCUUCACUGAUAGUGACAGCUCUUUGGAUCUCAUAUUGAGAGUUGACAGCAAUAGAUUCCAAAUGCAAAUAGCACACUUGAAAUAAACUCUGGACCUUGUAUCUGCUCCUUGUAAAUGGGAUAAUGAGGGAAUCACACACACCUGGCCAUGGAACAGCUGAGCAGCCAAUUGUCCCAUUACUUUUGGUCCCUUGACAAGUGGGAGGCACAAAUACAAACUGUUGUAAUUCCUACACCGUUCACCUGAUUUGGAUGAAAAUACCCUCAAAUUAACCCCUUAAAACCGGAGGACGUACAAUUACGCCCUAUUAUAGGCGGCUCUAAACGCCGCCGGGCGUAAUUGUACGCCCUCCGGUUUUUGUUAACUUACCCGGUCGCCGGCGGUCCCACGCCGGCGAUCGCGGUGGGGGGGACUCCCAGGGAGCCCCCCCGCGGCAGAUCCUCCUCCUCCGGUGCUCCCCGGCCAUGUGAGAGUGGGGUCCUAGCGAGGACCCCACAAUUACAUGGCCGGGUAGGCUGCCUCCUGCAUUGCCAGCAGGGGGGGUGCCUGUAAUGACAGGUGGUCCCUCUGCUGGCUGGAAAUAAUAAUAUAUACAUACACACACGUACACCGUCUAGGUGUAUUUUACUAUUAAUAUAUAUAUAAUUAUAUAUAUAUAUAUAUAUAUUAAUAUCAAAUUACACGUAGACUGAUACUGAUUAAAUAUAUAUAUAAUUAUUGUUAUAUAUAUAUUUAUAUAUAAUAUAAAAAAAAUAAAAAUGUAAAUACGUUAAAAAAUAAAAUUAAAAAAAUAAUUAAAAAUAAAUAAUUAAAAAUAUAUAGAUGUGUGUUAUUUCGUUCUAACUGUUUUGUGAAAUUAAUAUAUAUAUAUAUAUCAAAAUACACGUAGAACGAAAUAAUAUAUAUAUCUAUAUACAUCAAUAUAUACAUAUAUAUCACUAUAUAUACCUAUAUAUAAAUAAAAAUAUUUAAAAAAAAUUAUAUAGAUAUAUACAUAUAUAUACACAUACGUAUAUAUAUAUAUAUAUAUAUACAUAUAUUAAUUCUACAUAUAUAUUUAUGUAAUAUUUUUACAUAAUUAGGUAUCUUAAUUAAUUACAAUUAGCGGGACCUGCCUGACAACCCAUGCCGAAAGUAAAGGGAAUUUAAUUUGCUAGCACUAUAUUUAACCCUAUAACUUUCCAAGACACCAUAAAACCUGUACAUGGGGGGUACUGUUCUACUCGGGAGACUUCGCUGAACACAAAUAUUAGUGUUUCAAAACAGUAAAAUGUAUUACAACGAUGAUAUCGCCAGUAAAAGUGACGUUUUUGCAUUUUUCACGCACAAACAGCAUUACACGGACAAUAUUAUUGCUGUGAUACUUUUUACUGUUUUGAAACACAAAUAUUUGUGUUCAGCGAAGUCUCCCGAGUACAACAGUACCCCUCAUGUACAGGUUUUAUGGUGUUUUCAAAGUUACAGCGUCAAAUAUAAGGCUUGUGUUUCAUUUUUUUCACAUUAAAAUUCGCCAGAUUGGUUACGUUGCCUUUGAGACCCUAUGGUAGCCCAAGAAUGAAAAUUACCCCUAUGAUGGCAUACCAUUUGCAAUAGUAGACAACCCAAGGUAUUGCAAACAGGGUAUGUCCAGUCUUUUUUAGUAGCCACUUAGUCACAAACACUGGCCAAAAUUGGCGUUUUUUGCAUUUUUCACACACAAACAAAUACUAACGCUAACUUUGGCCAGUGUUUGUGACCAAAUGGCUACUAAAAAAGACUGGACAUACCCCAUUUGCAAUACCUUGGGUUGUCUACUAUUGCAAAUGGUAUGCCAUUAUGGGUGUAAAUUUCAUUCCCGGGCUACUAUACAGUCUCAAAGGCAACGUAACCAAUCUGGCGAAUUUCAAUUUCAAAUGUAACGUGCUAUAUUUGACCCUGUAACUUCCCAAAACGCCAUAAAACCUGUACAUAGGGGGUACUGUCUUACACGUGAGACUUUACUGAAUAUAAAUAUGUGUAUUUUAUUGCAGUAAAAGCAAACAGUAUUAUGACAUUGACUGUUAAAAUGUCAUGUAGAACUAAAAAAAUAAAAAAAAAACGUAUUUUCUCCCAUUUUUUUCAUAUUAAAUUAUGUUUCAUAGCUAAAUAUUUGAUAUUAAAUGAAAGCCCUGUUUCCCCUGAAUAAAAUGAUAUAUAAUAAGGGUGGGUGCAUUUACUAUGAAAGAGGUGUAUUACGGUUGGACAGACAUGUAGCGCAAAUGCCAGGUUUUGUUUACAUUUUGUUUUGUUCACAAUGUGUACAUUUGGCUCCGUCCUUAAGGGGUUAAAGCUGAAAGUCUGUAGUUAAAGCACAUCUUGUUCAUUUCAUUUCAAAUCCACUGUGGUGGCAUAUAGAGCCAAAAAGAUUAGAAUUGUGUCGAUGUCCCAAAAUUUAUGGACCAGACUGUAUAUUCCCUUUAUAAGAAAUCUAAAGCUGGGAAUUCUCUAUGCAGGUUAUUAGUUACAUUGUAACCACACAUGUCGAAUUGUCAAGACAGUUUUCCUAAUUGGAUUACUGCUGAGUAUACCAGUGAACUAUAAACCACAGAACUUCAUACCUAUAUCUCAAGGUGGAUUAAAAGGAAUACUGUAGCUUUUUUUUAUUUAAGAACAUGUAAAACUGACACUGAUAUUUUUUUUAUUUAUUGUGUGUGUGUGUCUGUUUAUAUGUGUGUGGCGAAACCGACCUCACCACUGGGCAUUGGAGAAGACUGAUUGCCAGCCUCCUGCCCUGUGACUAUGGCCCCAUGUUGAAAUGCUGGAUUUUCCCCUGCAAAGACCCGAAAGCCGGGUCAUUCGGUACUUUCCCUAUGUGAGCAGUGUUAACCCAGAUAGCUAUGCCAUGGAGACCAUUCGUAUAACAAAGACUAUGUGAAAGACUUUGGCUCCAUGGCAAUUGAACUGUAUGUAUGUGAUCUAAGCGCCAUUCAGUAAUAAUUUGUGCUCAAAUCUAAGCUAUCUGGGGAUAUGUUGAAUGUACCCGUUUUAUGCAAUAGCUGCACAGUUAUAUAUUUUUAUGUAUUUUAUUGUAUUUUGCUACCAUGUGGCUAAUGGAGUUUUGCCUCUGUCCUUGGAGAUAAUUGGAUUACUUCCCAAUUAACUCCAGGAUAGAAGACUCUGUGGAACUAGUUUUGGGCAGAAAAACCAUGCUUCAUUUGGUCAAAUAGGACUUUCUUGACAGCCGCUAGAGGCGCUUGUGUGCUUCUCACUGUGAAAAUCACAGUGAGAAGACACCAGCGUCCACAGGAAAGCAUUGUGAAUUGUGAAUGCUUUCCUAUGGACUGGCUGAAUGCGCGCGCAGCUCCUGCCGUGCAUGCGCAUUCAGCCGAAGAGGAGGAGAAGAGGGAGGAGAGGAGGAGGAGAGCUCCCCACCUAGCACUGGAAAAAGAGGCAAGUUUAACCCCUUCCUCUUCAUCCAGCCCGGCGGUAGGGGGACCCUGAGGGUGGGGGCACCCUCAGGGCACUAUAGUGCCAGGAAAACGAGUAUGUUUUCCUGGCACUGAGUGAUCCUUUAAACUAUAGAUUUCUUUGUCUAUUCUCUACAAUAUUUAACAUAUUUUCCAGCAUUAUCAUGAUGGGAUGUAGCAUACCUCCCAAUCAUCAUUUGUUUGGUAGGACAGACAGUUUUUGUGUCACCAUACUUCUCUCGGUCUCUGGUGUCCCGCUUCUGGGGCUGCCAUUGUCCAAAUUCCUAUAAAUCUCAGGACAAAUGCAUAAUUAUACCUGCUUCUGCUAUGUAUACUAACCAAGGCUGUCCUGAAUAGGGCCUGUCGCGCAGUUCUAACUCCGCAUAUCCGACUGUAUCAUCAUACUGACAUGGACAUAUGGGUCCUUUCUGGACCACCCCAACCGCACCCCAAAUUCAUACCUCGCAAUGUUAUAAGGUUUGAUAUAGUGAAUUUAAUAACUCAAUAUAUGAAGACAUAACUAGUUUAGCACGUGUUACAGGCAAUGGCAUUCCUAUUGACUUACAUUUUUUAAAGGAAAUAUUUGAUACACUUGACCUCUUACACAGGGCCGCUGCAAGGAUUUUUACCACCCUAGGCAGAAACAAUUUUGCCGCCCCAUUCACUCCACAGGGGUUCUGCAUGUUUAACCCCACAAGAUAAAACAUUGCCUUAACAUGAAGGGUUAAACAAGCCACAUACUGACAGCCACUAGAGGUGCCUCUGCUACAAUGCCAUGUUUAACUACAAGAAGUAUUGAAAGUGUAUAGCGCUUGCCACUGAUGUGCAUCAGGUCACCAAUGCUCCUAUAUCAGGAACAUUGGAUUGGACCAGCAUUGCCCAAUCAGUGACAUUGAGCGAGGUAUUGAGGCAAUCAGUGCAGGGGGGGUGGGGCCUUAAAUUUAUGUAGGAACAGAGACACUAUAGUGUUUGGAAUACAGGUUUAUAUUCCUAACACUAUAGUGUUCUUUUAAAAGUAUUUAUUUUUUAUUACAAUGGUCCUUUUUGCCCAAAUGCAACAUACAUACACACACUCACGCACACUCUCAUUCACUCACUCACACAAUCACAAUCAGUGACCAAUGCACACACAAUGCAGUGACCCAAACAGACACACACACACACUGACCCAAGCAGACACACAAUGACUGAUGCAGAUUGACACACACUGGACCAAGCAGACACACACACACACACACACACACACACACACACACACUGACUAAUGCAGACUGACGUGCACACUUACCCAUGCAGGCACAAACACAAUGACCCAAGCAGACAGACACACACACUGGCCCAAGCAGACACAUACUCUCACAUACUGACCUAUGCAGACACACACGAUCCAAGCAGACACACACACUGAUCCAAGCAGACACGCACACAGUGAUCCAAGCACACACAAACAUGCUGACUAAAGCAGGCUGAUACACAUUGUUUAAAUCACACACACAAACACAUACACUAUUAAGUCCCGGUGCCAUAACCUGCGGCACCCAAUUUGACCCGGCGCCCACCCUUAACAAGUUCCCUAGGUGGCCGCCUAAUCAGCCUAUAGGACGCGCCGGCCCUUCUCUUACACAUAAAUUAAGGUUUUCCUCUUUUAGAUAGCACAUGUAAUACUAAACAUGGACGUUGUAUUAAGAUACGGAAUUAGUUUCAUAUUUGUUUUUAAAGUGGUGAUGUUUUUAUUACAGGGACAUUAUUUUAUUAUUUUGCUAUACAUAUGCACAUAAUGUCAUAUUUAUGUUUUUCAUGAAAACCGCUUAUCUGUUCUGUGUUCCAAACUAAACCCUCUGAGACUGUGGCAAUACAUAUAUACUGUCUUUUGAAAUGCUGAGUUAUUGUAAAAAUUAUCCAUAGCAACUUUUAAUGAUAUGAAAAAUGUAAACUAUCAAGCAAACAAAAUAAGAAAUAAAUAAAUACAUUUAGAAAAAGGAAGUAUGUUGUAACAACAUAUUAUGUAUGAUGGAAAAAAAACAUUCAGGAUUGAGCUCGCCAGUUUUCAUGUUUCAAAACUACUUUACAUUUUUUUUCUAACACCAGACAUUUUGAUAGUUAAUUACAAAUAUUAGAAACUGCUACCCUCCCUGCUGCUGUAUCUCAGGGGUGGCCAUUUUCCCCAGAGCUACAUGCAGAGCUAAAAUGAUUACAUCAGCACCUCGUGUCCCCUGUCAGCUGAUUGUACAGAUAGAUUACCAAGUACACAAUACACAAUACACUAAUUUUAAUAAUUUUAAUAAUGACACUUGUAUUUAAAAAAGUAAAUUAGUGGGAUAUUUUUCACAGUCUGAUUCUGGAGGGUUUUAAUUCACAGAAAUUUACUUUUGUGAUGUGUGAUGUACGACAAAAAUAAUAUCAAAAAGGAAAAGCUAAAGGAAGAAUGACAGGCUCUCAGGAGAUGGAGGUCUGGCAGACCCCAUGAAAAAACUUGAAGCAUUCAAAAAUGGCUAGGAACCUAAGAACAAGGGAAGGGAGGAGGUGCGCCAGGGCACUCAUGCGAACAGUAGUGGUAAUGGUGCUUAGAGUGUUUUAUUUUUGUUUGUUUGUUUGUUUUUAAACCAUCCAACCACUCGUGCUAUAAUAGGUUUCUGUGUCUAUAAUAUAUUACACUCAUGAUGCACAUGAUGUUAUAGAAGGAGAUACGUUGGCAUACAAACAGUGACGGUAAAGCAAGAUCAAACCACUCACUCACCAGUAAAUCACUAUAAGCGGUUGAUCCAGGGAAACUGAUUCAUAUCUGGAAAUUGUUUUAAUUGUAUCAAAUAUACAAAAUCUUUGCAUGCAUGGCAUUGCGAAAUCUUGGCUUUUGAAAAUGUCAAAUAUACUUUGUGUGCAAUUUAAUCUUGGGCUUAAAUAAUUUACUUUAUUAUAUGAGCUUAAAUAAAUUGGAACAUUGGUGAGAUAGCAACAUAUACUGUCGAAGCCAGAAUAACCUACCUUCCAAGGAGAACCCAAAUGUAUGAAAAGGAAGACUUGUCCAGUCAAAGCUAUAAUAACUCUGGAUUCGGCAUUCUCUAAUCAGGCACCUCUCUGGUUUGUUCCUUUCUGAUUUUUCUAUUGGGGAUUUUAGGGGCUUUAUCUAAGCCAGAAUUGAAUGUGUGUCCUGUUAGUGUGCUAUUUCGCACCUCUUGAAGUGCUGUUUAUACAGCUGUUUGUAAAUACAUUUUUUAUUUCAUCAACUGCAGUUUUAUUUAUUCAGUUUAUUUUUCUUAUUUGUGUGUUACAUUUAUUAGCAGUAUUCUUUAUUGCCACUUUUAUUUGUUUACACACUAGUAAAUGUUGUUUUUCAAAUAUGUAUUUAUAUCAAGGGUACCUUUUCCCCACUGUUGCUCUUUUGCACCUUCUGCACUAUUUUGUUUUACGUUUGUGUGAUUACCAUCUCUAUCCAGUAGAGCGUAGCUGUUUCAGCUGAUGUGUGGUUGUUUUGAGGAUUGAGCAAUUCUACAUGAAAGUCUCUGAUACACAUCACUGUGCAUAGCAGAAUACACACAUUGCUGAUUCUGUAGAAAAUUCACAAAGGGUUUAUAAGCUUUCAAAAUUUGCACAUUUAAGAAAAGACAAAUAGAUACGUGUUUUAAAUUACCUAAGAAGCAGUGAUAAGACUCCAUUGACUAUCAUGUCAUUAAUGUACGUUCUGGGCCACAAUGUAGCAAUGAGGGUAUCUUGCAAGAUUACCAAUGAUUACCAACGACCUUGCAAACAGCAGAGUGCACUGCUUGCAACAAGGGAUAUGAAUUUAAUAAAUUAAAUUGAGGUGAAGUUGCACAAAUGGAAUGAAAUGGAAAGUUUGUGAGAUAGCUCAGUGGCUAAAAAGUCAGUCUAGGCACCAUAGCCACUACAGAUUGCAGUUAGCAUUUAGUAAUUAUAAACAAACAGAGUGAGGAAGACAGAUUUAUCUAUAAGAUUAGGCAUAAAGAGGCAAAGCAAGUUAUAAGAACUUCCAAAGCACACACAGAAGAGAAAAAGUCCAGUCUGUAAAAAAAGUGUGAUUAAAACAUUUUUAAAUACAUAAAUGAGAAAAGGAAAGUAAAAUAAGGGUUGGUUAGACUAAAAACAAAAAAGGAAGAUAUGUAGAAGAGGAUAAAGAUCUAGCUGACUGCGUCAAAUGAUAUUUUUGUUCAGUAUUUACAGAUAAAAAUAAAGGAAAUGGACUUCAGUUGGGAAAAAAAGUCAUUUGUUAAAUGUGACUUUACAGAGGAAAAGAUUCUAUUUUGGCUGUCUAAAGUUAUUAAAAGAACUUAAUGGUAUACUAGCAAACCCGUUAACUGAUUUUUUUUAACCAAUCAUUGUUAAAAGUAGUCCCAGAAGAUUGGAAAUUAGUGAAUGUUGUGCCAAUUCACAAGAGAGGUUAUAGUGAGGAGUCGGGCAACUAUAGGCCAGUAAACCUUACUUCAGUAGUGGGGAAAGUAACGGACAACAUGUUAAAGGAUAGGAUUGUUGUCACAUGGAUAUCAAGAUCAGAGACAACAUGGAUUUACUUAAGGCAAAUCAUAAGUAAUCCUAUUGUUUUUUUUUUAAUUGGGUAACUAGAAUAUGGAGAUUAGGGUGUUUGUGGUGGUAGAUAAUGCUUACCUUGAUUUCAGUAAGGCUUUUGACACAGUCGCCCAUAGAAACUCAUAAAUAAACUGCAAACUUUGAGUUUGGAUUCCAAUAUUGUUUAAUGGGUUAGGAAGUGGUUGAGUGAUAGGUUGUAGUCAAUGGAGUAUAUUCGAAGCAAGAUCUUGUUACCGGUGAGGUACCUCAAUGAUUCAAUAUUUUUUUUCAAUAUUUUUAUUGGUUAUAUUACAGUAGGUCUUAAUGGUAAGGCAUGUCUUUUUGCUGGUGACACAAAGAUUUGCAACAGGGUUGAUCUUCCAGGAGAGAUAAGCCAAAUUAAUUUAGUAAACUAGAAAAAUGGUUAGCGUUGUGGCAACUGACAUUUAAUGUAGAUAAGUGCAAGCUAAUGCAUCUUGGACAUAAACAUCCAAGGGUAGAGUGUAGAAUAUUUGAUACAGUCAUCUGAGUAAAGGGAUUUAGGGUUAUUUAUUUCAAACCCAAAGAUAAAGCACCAUGCUUACAGCAGCAGUAGCUUAGGAUCCAAGAGCUCAAAAUACAUAAAAAACUAAGAGAAUGUUACCUGCGCUCUGGCCUAAAUCCCUAUGUACAUUUAAACAAAAUGGUGGCUCUUUAGUUUAAUUCCAAUGGCCAUUUGAAUAUAAGCUCACCUGCCACGUCAAGGCAAGCCCCAAUUGGCGAGUCCUACACUAGCCAUUAGAUUUGCUGAGAUCAGCCAAGAAUCUUCAGUGAGACAGGAAGAGGUAUUUUAUAAACCCUUUCACAUUUUAUAAAGAGCCUCCAUUUUGUUUAAAUGUACAUAGGGAUUUAGGCCAGAGUGCAAGUAACGUUCUCUUUGGUUAAUUAUUUCAGAUGACUUAAAGGUAGACUUAAAGGAGCAGCAGAGAAUGCUAGCAGAAUGCUUGGUUGUAUAGGGAGAGGUAUUAGCAGUAGAAAGAGGGAAGUGCUCAUGCCAUUGUACAGAACACUGGUUAGACCUCACUUGGAGUAUUGUACGCAGUACUGGAGACCGUAUCUUCAGAAGAAUAUUGACAAUUUGAAAAGAGUUCAGAGAAGAGCUACUAAACUGGUUCAUGGAUUGCAGGGUAAAACCAUGAAAGGUUAAAGGAUCCUAACAUGUAUAGCUUGGAGGAAAGACAAGACAAAGAGAAACAUUUAAUACAUGAAAGGAAUCAACACAGUAAAAGAGGAGAGUAUAUUUAAAAGAAGAAAAACUACCACAACAAGAGGACAUAAUCUUAAAUUAGAAGAACAAAGUUUUAAAAAUAUCAGGAAGUAUUACUUUACUGAGAGGGUAGUGGAUGCAUGGAAUAGCUGAAGUGGUAGAGGUUAACACAGUAAGGGAGUUUAAGCAUGUGUAGCAUAGGCAUAAGGCUAUCCUAGCUUUAAGAUAAGGCCUGGGUCUAAUGAAAAUAUUUAGAAAUUUGGGCAGACUAGAUGGGCUGAAUGGCUCUUAUCUGCUAUCACGUUCUAUGUUUCUGUGGUACUUGGGUUCAAUAAGCGUCUGCUGUCACAAACACACCCUACUGUAGUUGUGGUGGUGAAAUGGUUACAUUUCACUAUUUGUCUGCAUUAGACCAGAAAUAAUAAUAAAAAUCCCCCUUAACACCACCCACACUUAAACAUAAUAAUAUAACCAUUACUAUUUUAACGCUGCCACCACCAAGACAAUUUAUAAAUGGGGUGCCUUGGUCCCCCAGGUAACUUAAUAGAAACAACUGAGCACAAUACCUAUGCAAGUGAAAAACACUCAGUCUCUUCAGGUAACGUGAUUCUUUACCAGACAAAGGCAGAAUUUAAUAAAGGAAUAUUUAUUAUGAGCAAAUAUAGUCACAGUGCACACAAAAAAGUAGAUGAUAAGCAAAUUAUUUACACCAACAACAGAUAAAAACAAAAACAAAAAAAGGAUAAAAUAACAGAAGUCCUAAUUACUUACUCAGGUUUUCAAAGUAAAACUUCUGCCCAGGGGGUCUCUGAGAAGGAAUAUGGUGGCUCAUUCAAAAUUAGAUUUUGGCCCCAAGCAAGUACAAUAGACACUUUAGUAUCAUUAGAUUUAUACCCUGUGGAUUACAAAGCCUUGCCCAGGUGGAGAUAAGGUGUAUCUAUAGUAACUAUAAGUGACCAUCCCCUUGUGUUCCAGACCAACAGCAAUCCAAAUUUAACUAUUUGGUUCUAUCUCCUUUUAUGUACUUGCCACAGAAAUAAUUGCAACUAUGAAUCUGUUACCAUUUUUCCAUUCCAUAGAUAUGUCAUACUCCUUACUUGUGACCCAAUCCCUUCCCCUAUGGUUAAAUUACGCAAAUCAUGUUAGGCUUGCUUAGAAGAUUGUUUUUGUCCCAUUCUAAAUAUAAUAAAAAUUAGGCUUAAUUAUUCAUCUGUGGGUAAGUAUUAAUGUUUCUUUUGGAUAUGAUACUGGAACACAAGGCUAAUGGCCAAUAACAUAUCAAAGGAAUCAAUUAAUCAAUUAGGAGGUAUGGGCUAUAUGGCUCAAGCCAUCUAGUUUACAUUGGAACUAGACCAGGCAUCUCAAGUGUAGAAUCUCACACUCUGCUUAAUAAAAGUAUCAAUCCAUGUUGCAAACCAUCUGCCCUCUUUCACAUGCCUAUACCAUUUACAUUAUCCCUUCUGUCAUCUGACCUUGCAACUAAUUCAUAUCUGCACUACAGAAAUUACAUUAAAUGGCAAUAUUCUAUUGUGCAACAAUGAAUUAUGCACCCAUGGCGUGACAUCUGCUGUCCAACUUCUUUACUUGGGUCAUUUUUCAAAAGUUCAUACGUUUGCAUUAGUAACGUCAUUUCCUCCCAUAUUUAGGUAGAUUUGUAAAUUAACUAAAAUAAAAUUGAAAAUAUAAAUAGGAGCAUCAUCUCUUACACAAUACAUUUCACCCAAACAUGGGCAAAAAUAAAUAUUUUGCAAAAAGGGAACUUCUGAUUAAGAUAAGUCAGAGGAAUAGGCCAGACUGGAAGAGCUAGGGUGGACCCAGGUAAGUGUAGAACUAUUUGAAAACAGUUUGACUACUUACUAUGGGUUGAGGUAAGGGACUCCUUGUACCAUGACCACUACAGUGCACUGUAGGGAUUUUGUUGCCUUGACUGUAGUUACUGUGAUGUUCCUUUGAAGGAUACUAUAGUUGUUACAGAGUAGUAUAGUAAUCUAGCUUGAAACAAGUCCAUCCAGUUCAAUCUUUCAUACAUCUGUUUCUCUGGUUUAUCUUAAAGAAGGCAAAAAAAUAACCAAAAACAGUUGGCGGCCAUUUUCAAUUGUGCCACAAACAAGGGAAAGCUUCUUCCAGAUUACAUAACGACAAUCAGAUAUCUCCUUGGAUCAUUCUGCUUAGAAAGUCCUUUCAAUGAAAAAAUGAAUAAUUUAGGUAAAAGUAGUACAUUUUAACUACUUUUGACCUAAACUGUGCAACUCUGUCAUCUAAUGUCUUCAGCACUCAACUAUUCAGUGGUUAAAUCAAAAGGAGUAGAAACAGAUUAAUGUGAAUCAUUUUUCUGAAUGUUUAGAACACAGACAGGGAUCCAACAAUAACAUGCUUGCAGUCAUUGUGUUAAAUGUAAUCUGCUUUUGGCAUAGAGGGAAAAAAUUGUUAUAUAAUCCUUCUAACCUUAAAUGUUCCAGUAAAGUAAUUUUACACUUGAACCAUAGCAAGCAUUUUAUAUUUCCAUCUUUGGUGCGUAAUCGGUUUUCAAAUUAAUCUUCGGGAAAAAAUAUAUUUUAGUUUUUUGAGUUCACCUGGCAUGUAAUAAAGUUAGUUCUCUGCAUCUCCUACCCACCUGUCUUCCAUUGAUUCUUUUAUUUCACUCAGUCUUUUUUCACAUCCAGACAGUCGUUUGUCAGCACACCACCACUCUCUUUAUUACAUCUUUUUUUUUGUCUUCCUCGUGUUUUGCUCUCCUCCACCAUGUAUCUCUGUCUCUUUAUCUAGGUAUUGCAUACAAAUAAAUGUUUUUAGAAUACAAUAUAUAUUAGUAUUAAAAAAGUUUGAAAGGAAAUGUUUGAUUAGUGUAGAUCAUUAAAUCCACAUAUUGGACUUAUAGUGAUUCUGUAAAACACAAUGUCAAGUAAUUCAGUUGCUUGUCAACAGUGAAUUUUUAAACCUCUUUAUUUCCAAGUUUUGCCUUAUAGAUACAAGGAAUAAUUUCAAAAUAGCAUAGAAGCAAAGGUAAAACCGCAUUCAUUGUGCAAUAAAAAGGGAGAACUCUAGAAGUUUCAGGUUGAACUGAUCCCAUAUGACCAAGAAAAUUGAAUGAAGGGAAGGGUGGCUGGACUUAAGGCAAACUUUUGAUGAGAAACAUCUAAAGAUAGGUGGAGGAGAGUCAGGAACAAGCAGAUGCCAGGGGUACCAGAGAUGCAACAAAAUGAGAAAAAGAGCCACGAUCAGAAGUACAGAAGGUACAAAGACCUAGGGUCAAAUAACAGGAACAUCAAUAACAGAAUAAACAGACUCUCAAGCCAUAGGAAUGACUACAGGGCACAGUAAAGAGUGUAGAAAAAGCUUAUUUAAGAGUAGGUGACUAGGAAUGGGUGAGAUUUAAAAAAAUAAAAUAAAAAAAAAAACCUAAGCACCAUGCACCCCAGAUGUACUGGCUUCCUGCUCCCCUUAGCAUUUGGAAUGACAUUCUAUCACUUAUUUCCUGCCUUAUAUAUGCCUUAUUAUAUUAACAUGGGUCUUUUUGCUCUGGGUAUCAGCCAGCGAGAGAUCCGAUCUUUAUCCCAGCAGUAUAACCAAUAAAAAACAAAUUGGGAUGGCCUCCAGAACAGUGAUGGCACAGUGGAAUUGUUGGGAUUGUAGCUGAAAUAAGAAUUUCCCUUCUGCCACUGGUAGCAUAUAAAUAUAGCUGUAGAAAAAUAUAUCCUCUAAAUAUUUCAAAUGGAUACAAUGUGUUUAUAGGAUAUUUAUAGGUGACAGUCCCAAUAUUUAUAAACUUCGAUCUCUUAGCAGGGAGUGGCGCUCCGUGGACUCCAGGUAAGAAUUAAAAAAAGUCAAAAACAGUUUGGCUCUUUACAAUGGGGGGAAUGGAGGGGCACCAGGUUACUCCUGGCACCUUAAAGGACCACUCUAGGCACCCAGACCACUUCAGCUUAAUGAAGUGGUCUGGGUGCCUGGUCCUUCUAGGGUUAACCCAUUUUUUCAUAAACAUAGCAGUUUCAGUGAAACUGCUAUGUUUAUGAAUGGGUUAAGCCUUCCCCUAUUUCCUCUAGCGGCUGUCUCAUUGACAGCCGCUAGAGCUAUGCGGCUUCUCACUGUGAUUUUCACAGUGAGAGCACGCCAGCGUCCAUAGGAAAGCAUUAUGAAUGCUUUCCUAUGUGACCGGCUGAAUGCGCGCGCAGCUCUUGCCGCGCGUGCGCAUUCAGCCGACGGGGCGGAGAAGAGGAGGAUCGGAGGAGGAGAGCUCUCCGCCCAGCGCUGGAAAAAGGUAAGUUUUUAUCCCUUUCCCCCUUCCAGAGCCGGGCGGGAGGGGGUCCCUGAGGGUGGGGACACCCUCAGGGCACUAUAGUGCCAGGAAAACGAGUAUGUUUUCCUGGCACUAUAGUGGUCCUUUAACCACUCCAGUGCGUUGUAGUGGUUUUGUUAUCUAGAGUGUUUCUUUAAUACCACUUUAAUACAAGAGUGAUAUAUCCAUUCCUAUAUAACAUUAGUCGUGUUAGAAUUAUGUCUGUUUCUAAGUACUGCCAUGCAUGAAUUGUCUUGCUUAAAUAAAUUAUAUACAUAUUACAAAUCAUAUUCUAGUCAAUUUAUAGAUUCUUGAAACUUCAUUUAAAUUAUUCUGAGCACUUAUAUGAAUUAUACAAAUUAAUGGAAAUGUAAUUCAUCAUUUAAAGCUUCUGGCACUUUAUGCAAUGGCAGGUUGAAUAUCUAUUUCAUUUUAAGAUUGUUUAAUCUUUAAUUGUCAUCAAACCAUCUAAUAUGUUUAUGCAGGCGGUCAAUGAUUUUAAUCUUCUAGGAAUACUGCUUGCAAUCAGAACGCCAUUUGCAAUUUCAAACUACAGCAUUUUUUUUUCCAUUUGUGAAUAUUGCUCUAGUACUCAUAAAUUCAUAAUGCUUUUUAUUGUUAUUGUGUAUAAAUGUAAUUGCUAUUGUAUUAAAGAUAUAUACUUGCAGUGUUACUACUACCUACUCCAUCCCUAGUUUUGGGUUUCUGGAUCGGUUCAUCUAGAAUGUCAGAAUUCCCUACUCUGUAGCUAUUUGUAACAUUAUCUCUCUCAUCCUGCAUUACUACUGUGACAGAGCUCCAGUACUCUGACCGAGUAUCUCUGCCCAGUCCACUUCCUAGCUACAUUCACAGACCCUGGAACGCUUUAACCUGCAGUUGCAGAAGCUUGACUGGGGUCUCUCUGGAGCUCUUCUACCUGACCAGGCUGCAACUCUCUUCCUCCAGGCAUGUAUCUACAACUCUGCCUGCAAUGUGAUUAGCUCCUGCCUUUAUAAAGACACUUGUUGCUCUCAGGCCAAGCUCUUUUUGAAUUGUCUCGGGCUACAGGGACAAUGCAUACAGUCAACAGGUUCCAAAGACUCUGUUCCUGGAUCCCUGAACAAAUCCAGCAGGACAAACAGCUCCAAAUGGAACUAGCAUACAAUUCUUUAUCUUAAAAAGAACUAACCUUUAGGGACUAGUCCUUGAACAUAUGGUGACAAACUGUCAAGGAUCUUACCUGAAGUGGGAGUCCGGCACGCAGAGUUGAGGCACCCUUUGCAAAUCGACACAGACCGAGGGGGACUCAGGACAGAAAUCCCCAAGGCUGUGACACAGUGCACUGGGGCUGAAAUAACCAGUGCUUCCUGGAACGCACUACAGACAAAGGAUAUCCAGAAGAGUAGUCAGUAUCAGAAUCAGAAGUCAGGACGGGCGGCAAUCAGGGACGAGCAGGGGAUCAAAAGCAGGAGUCAGAUGAACAGCAGUGAAACCAAACAGGAACAGGAAACACGAUCUGAAAACGAGAACCAGCCUUGCGGGGUUUAAAUAGGGAGUCUCAGCCAAUCAUCAAGGAACCAGGAACAGGUGUGCACAUUCCAGGCGUACAGGCUCAGACUACAGGAUACCAAGAACAACCAGAAACAGUCAAAGAUGCGUGGAGCUCAAUGCAAGGAUACCGACUGGGAUGCAGGAAACUCAGGUUUGAUCCCAACCAGACCCAAAUACACAAUAUUGUGUAAAGCACAAUGGUGAUCCUGACAUUACCUCCCCUUCAAAGACGCCGUAGGCGAGAAGAGGAAUGCAUCUUACGACCCAGGAGGUUACUUUUUGGAUUUCUUGGCUUUGGUGGUACUAGUAGGAGCAGAGGUCAUAGCUUGUAGGGCCUUUUCAAAUACUUGCAAGUCCUCCUUCCGGACUAGAGUCCCAUUAGAGGCAUAGGUACAGCCAGAAAGAGGGUCUUCCUUGACAGGACUUGUAGUGGUUGUGGUGCUUGCCUUCUUAGAAGCAGAAUCUUUAGUAGAAAUAGAGAUCUCAGGUUCUUUAGUAACAGAUUCCUGCACAACCUCAGGAGCAACGACUGUAGAAGGCUGAGGAUUGGACAGAGUGGUCAAGCAAGGACAGGCAGCAUGUUGGCAGACAGGUCUCAUAGGAUAUGCCAGAGUAGUACCCAGACGGAGAACCCGAGACCUAGAUGGACGAAUGGGACAAAAAGAUAUUAAAUGUCCCAUCUCCCCACAAUAAUAACACAGUCCAUGCGCCAUCCUUCUUGCCCUUUCUUGAGAUGACUGACGGAACCUAACCAGUCCAAUCUCCAUGGGUUCCUCCGCCUCCCUGCCAGAUUUAUACGAUGUUUCGGGAGACUUGGGAGCGGUAGGGUUAGCUGUAACAUCAGUCCGAGUGAAAGGAGUAGUGUAGUCCAUUUCCAGUCCGGGUUGCAAUAUGUGUGAAGCAACAGUAGAUGAUCUAUGUACAUAUGACUUUUGUGUCUUGUUGCAUUGUAAACCCAGGGACCGAAUAAAGGACUCCCAGGAAUCUAGGACUGGGCUUUUGGCGAGUAACAACUGGUGGGCCCAGAUCUUAAGGUGCCCCGACAAUAAGGUAAUCGCUGUCCUCACUUUAAUGACGUCUGUGGCAUAGGUAAGUGGUCUCAGGGAGAACAGGACCUCGCAAUCAACUUUGAAGGUAUCAUACUUAGACCGGAUCCCAGAAAAUUUCUCGGGUAGAGCAACCAGCGGUUCAGAGAGUCCAGAGUCAUAGGUUACUCUCCCUUUAAGGGAAGCCAGCUCCUGCUGUAAGCCCUGCAAAGCCUGGGUGAGCUGGGAAACUUGCUUGGUCAAGGCUGCAACGGUAAUCUUCAACUCUGCAGACUCCAUUUGGUCAGAUCGUACUGUCAAGGAUCUUACCUGAAGUGGGAGUCCGGCACGCAGAGUUGAGGCACCCUUUGCAAAUCGACACAGACCGAGGGGACUCAGGACAGAAAUCCCCAAGGCUGUGACACAGUGCACUGGGGCUGAAAUAACCAGUGCUUCCUGGAACGCAGUACAGACAAAGGAUAUCCAGAAGAGUAGUCAGUAUCAGAAUCAGAAGUCAGGACGGGCGGCAAUCAGGCGAAAACAGUAGACGAGCAGGAGAUCAAAAGCAGGAGUCAGAUGAACAGCAGUGAAACCAAACAGGAACAGGAAACACGAUCUGACCACGAGAACCAGCCUUGCGGGGUUUAAAUAGGGAGUCUCAGCCAAUCAUCAAGGAACCAGGAACAGGUGUGCACAUUCCAGGUACAGGCUCAGACUACAGGAUACCAAGAACAACCAGAAACAGUCAAAGAUGCGUGGAGCUCAAUGCAAGGAUACCGACUGGGAUGCAGGAAACUCAGGUUUGAUCCCAACCAGACCCAAAUACACAAUAUUGUGUAAAGCACAAUGGUGAACCUGACACAAACAAUCAAAAUACACAUGUCUAUUCAGUCAACAGGGGAUGCUGCUGAAUUCACAACUAACAAUGUAUAGUUUUUUUUUCAGUUGCUACCAUCACAAGCCCCUUUCAGAGUCUCUUGGGACCAAGCCCAUAGUCUGUGGGCAAGCGCAUGGCCUACAAGCCUCUCCAAAAGGCCAUAGGAUGGUAGCGUCUGACACAACUACUGUUGGGUUGGGUAUUUCAUAUUUCACAUUGUAUUACAAAUCUAAAUAAAUUGACAAAUCUACAUUAUCAUUUAUAAAAGUCGUGAUACUGUUUUACCGAGGAGUGCGGUUCCUGCUGUUUGUCGUAAUCAUGUUUAAUGACUCCAAUGCAAAUUUAAGAAAACUGAAAAAUGGCAGAAUUCCUGUAAUACCAAAAUUCUACUCCUGCUGUUUUACUGUAUGAGGAUGUGUGCGCUGGGAAUAGAAAUGGAACAAAAAUUAACAUAGCAUUUAGCUAAAAGGUUAUUUUUUAGAGAUUGCAUGGUUUAUUCCCUAAAUUCAAAACUGUAGUAAAUUGACAAAUUUGCAGAGAAUGAACAAUUCUCCAAUUCAGAAUAUUAUAUUAAUAAUUUGUGCAAUGUGUGGAAUAGUGAAAAAAAGUCAUGCAAAGUGUGGUGAGGAGAGGAGAAUGACUGUGAUAGCCCUUUCAGCCCAGGGUGGCUACGUCCCUUGUGUUUAGCAGGAACGAGGAUAGUUGAUUAUAAGAUGCUGGCUCUAUUAAAUAUUGUAUUCAAUAAGAUCAGAGAGAUGAUUUAAGGUCAUGUCACAUCCAUCCUGGUCUCUCUUAGUAGAGGGGAAAGGAACCAUAACACAGAUAGCCUCUGACAGUGGCCCUUCCCUCUGGCAGAUAUUUUAACUGGUGACCUACAUUAUCCAAAGACUUGCUCCACUGGGAUUAUGAGUUACUGGGAUUGCUGUUGGGAGUUAUGGAACUGUGGGUUUCUGUAUAUCUGCCACCGCUUGUGUUUCCCCAGAUGUUGCUUAUGUUUUAGAAACUCUGUGACUAUUAUAGUUGCACGGCAUGUAUCAUGGUUAUGCUAUUUGUCAAAUGUCCUGUGUGCACUCCUGUCCUGUUGAUGCUCUCUACCAACUAGGUGGAUUUGGCUGAGGAACCUGUACAGCACCACCUGUUGAUUGUGAAGAUCUUUCAAGAGUUAUGUGCACUACCUGAAUAGCAAGGCUUGUUAAAUAUUCAGGUAGAUAUGCAUGUUAUGGUUUAGGCAGGUAGGGGAUGUAUUUCUCGUUACUGUUUGCCUUCCCCACUGGUUAUAAAUAUUGCAUUGUGUUAUGAGUGUCUGUAUGAUUCCCUAUAUGAUCAUGUUUCAUGUACUGGAUUGAGUGUGUAACCAUAAGUGUAAGGUAAUGCCGAUAGGUGCUAGUCCUGAGUAUAAAUAAAGUAUUGUGUGGUAGUUCCAUUGGGAACUGUGUCCUGUCUGGAUUGUUUACGGAUUCCAGUAGCCAAGUUUUUGAACCUGCUUGCUGGAUGCCCUAGUCUCUGGUUCUUGGGACAUGUUAAGAAAGAACUAGGCCAUAGAGCUGAAGUGCAUUUGUAAUGGCAGUAGUUGGAUGCAUCACAGGCAGCUGCGUGGGAGAAGACGGCACAGGCAAAGGGGUCACAGGUAGCAGGUAUGGCUAGCUAACUGGGAGGACAAGCUUGGUUGAUAUAGCCACUGGCUUAAUUCCCCCGGUGGUGUUUAGUCACAGCUUCUUUCCUCCCAGCUCUUUGUGAGACAGUCAAGAGAAAAUGGGGCAAUUUAAGACAUGGAGAAUUAGGUCUAGGGAUAAGUCAUACUUAACAGGAGGCAGGAAGAAUUUGGCUCGGUAUUAGGGUGUUCCUGGUUGCACCGCUUGUGCACACCUGUUAAUAUUCUUCAUACUGCUGGCUGUUAAAGCCCUAACUAUCUUUUGUUGCAAAAAAAAGCCCUAAUCUGCUUUGCAAAAGACAAAAAGAAAAAAAAAAAAGUUUUUCAUGGACGAAUAAUUCUAAAUUUAGUUUGUAAUGCUCUUUUUGAGCUAGAUCUGAUCUCCUGGUGACAAGACAACACAUUUGUUAGGAGUUGGGGUCAGGGGUUAUAUAUGUUCAAGGAUACAUGAUCUAAUGGCAGGAUGACUGUUGGAAUGACUAUGAGUUUGGAGAAGUCGUCAAUCUCCAUGCUGAUUAAGAGAAUACCAGACUGAUUAUUCAACAUGUAUAUCAUUGAUGUGUUAAAUUAUGCACAGAUACAUCUGCACAGAGUAGGAUGCCUGCCUUCCCUUCAAAGCACCUGGUCAAAUAUGGAUCACAGAAAAAUGUGUUCAGAUAGCACUGCAAAACUAUAUGUCCAUUAGAUAUGCGCUUUACAUUUAAGAAGGUGCACAAACUGCCAAAAAAAGUAUCACAUUGAGAAAUGCAAACACUACUAUUUUAGCAUCUUUGUUAAGUUUUUGUUGAUACUCUUUCACGUUACUCAAUUUUGUCCUUUUAUAAUUGAAAAUCGAAUAAUUGGAAAUUAUUGAGAUAGGGGUUUGGACUGCAUAUAGGGGUUGUGGACUGCAUCCUCCUAUUCUCCUGCAAAUGAAAAUAGUUUGUUUGUAUGGAGGUCUGUUGGCAGAGAACUGCAGGAGUUAGGAAGCUGGUAGGACUUGUAUGGGCGUGUUGCCUUAAUCUUAAUGUUCUCCAAGUAUAGACCGUUCACUGGGAUGUUCCCUAAUGGACUACUGUAUCUGGGGUUGACCACAUAUAAUGUAAUUACUUGUAAUCACCACCAAGGACAUGUUGUUAUUGACAUAGAUAUUCACAAAUCUAUAUUCAUGGUCUGCUAAACGUUGCAGGUCAUAUUGAUAGAGAGUGCAUGGAUACAUGCCUUCUUGUCCCAGAUUUAUAUUUAUUGCAUGUUCUGCCUUAGUAGUAUGAUUGUCAUGGAAAUGUGUGAGUUCUAUUUAUAGAUCAGGAAUGCUCUACAUGAGUGACAUUUUAAUGGAUCAACUCAGCAUCUCAGGAAAACAUACAGACAAAUGGCAGCUCUGAUGCAAAAUAAAUACAAAUGCAGGACCAUAUUGCAUUCUGUGUAUACUAAUGUUUGAUACUUACCAGGGCCUUCUUAACAGCAUUAUAGGCCCUGGGGCACUGCCUACACAGCCACUAUAUAUAUAUUAUCGAUAAAUUAAAACUUAUAUUUCAUGGUACCUCCAACAAAAUCAGUGUUUAAACGUAAAAAAAAAAUAAAAAAAAUUCUGUACAGCAGAUAUUAAUUCACACAAAUGUUUGGACAAUAAAACAUGAGUCUUGAAGAUGAAAAACAAGAAAUUCAACAUAAAAAUGGUACUCCGUUGGUAAAUCAUAUGACGGAGAUGGCACAGUACGAGAUUACUAUGAAUUACCAGUAUUUAUGUUCAGAUAACAGCUGGUACUGAGGUGGUUAGUCCACCUAAACAUUUUAAUAAAGAGGGUUUGACAGUUCUGAAUAAAUCUUGCAGAUUAAUAUACUGAAAUGUUUGCAAGCCUAUGGGUCCCUAUGCUCGUGGGGCCUCCAGACACCUGCCCAGGGUGCCCAUGCGUUAAAACAGCCUUGACUCUUACCUCUUAUAAUUCAAAAGGUAAAUUACUCAUUAAACUGUAAUAUAAUUGAUUAAUGCUUAAGUGAGAUCCUCUGUUGGUCACUUUUCACUUGAUCUGUGAACAAAGUCAAAAUUUAGUACCUUUCCCUUAGCCAUCAAACGUCUUUUUCCCCCCCAUUAAUUAUCUUUGUUUGAUCUCCACAAAUUCAGUAUCAGAAAUUUGGUUAGUAAUUUGGGUACAUUUUAACUUGGAGUUUGGAAAUUCGGCCGAUCACCCAAUCAGCCAAAAUUCUAAGUCUUAUCCAAAUGCAGUUUUAAUGAGAUAUGUUUUUAAAAAGCUUUGUUUUGUACCACUAAACCAGACCUCUUUUGUAUGUGUGAUAUGCAGAUUCUAUUUGUCUGUGUCUUUGCAAGUUGUAUUAAGAGCAAUUACUAACCCUUCUUAAGGCUGCUUAGAAGAUAAACUCCCUGCAGUCAUUUAAGGCAAUAUUUUGGAACUUAACAGAGAUACCACUGAGAACAGGUGAAAGAAGUGGACAUGGCCAAUAUAGAUAUAGCUUAGGUCUUUUUGCUCACAAUAUCCUUGUCUUUUGUGUGAGAAGUACAUGGAUGUAGAUGAUGGAUGUAAGUUAAUGUACAGAAUUCAUUCUCCAUCUCACCUGCUAUGUGGGUAAGUGUCAGGAAUAUUUACUAAGAUGAGAAUUUAAAGUGGCCAGGUUAGCUAAACUGAAAAUGUAGCUGAACUAGAGAAUGUUUCCAAUUCGGCCAUGUUGACCUUUAAUUUUACAUUCACUUUGAAUACUCACUUUAUUGAAUAGCCCUGAGAGCUUUGAAGUUUUACAAAACAAUUAGAGCAGGAAGAUGUGUAUGGGUUAUACAUGAUUUUGUUACUGAUAAAAAUUAAAGACGGGACUGCAUACUGUAUAGUAGUAGUACUCAUCUUUUGCUCAAAAAGUAAGAGAAAUGUUCACUAUACAAAGCAAGGGAACAUUUGAGGUGCAGAACUAUGCCUAACUUAAAGGUCUACAUUUGCACAAAAUUUGUGAUUUUGCAAGAGGUGUCCACAGACUAAAGGCACAGAGCACUGAUGAAAGAUUUAAAAAGUUAUUCACGAAAGUGAGGAAAGUGAGAAUUUUAAAAUAAAUUUAAAAUUUCAGGGCAAAAUAUACGAAGUUUAAAAAUUUCCCAAUACAGCUAUACUUUCAGUUCAGUCACUUUUUCCUUAUAUUUUAAAUUCAGUUUGAAUUGACUUUGAAUUACAUCCCUCAUAUAAUCCUGUGUGUUCUAAAUGGCCCAAUUCAAACCUAUAAGGGAACAAAAAACCUCUUCCUCUGUAAAGAGAGAAUGAUAAUAUUAUUUAUUUGAGCCAUCAUAUACUAUUUACCAAAAUGGAACCUGUGUGAUGUUUAGUUUUUCAGUUUAAAGCUGACCUGGAAAAAUAACGAGAUGGCAAUUUUUUUCACCUUGCCUAUUUUUCCCUGACAUGUUGUUCCUGUGUAAUUUUUCCACUAUCCCCAGUUUACUGAAUAAACACUCUAACACUCAAGCUAAAGCAUGUCAAUGCUCGGCAAGUGUAUGAUAAUAUUUCCAUAAAUAGCAUCGGACGCAUGCCUCCUCACUUAUGCUAUAGCCAUAAUUGAGAUACGGGUUAUUGAAUACACGACAACUUCUAAAAAUACCCUGCCUUCUCCCUAGCAAGGGACAUUUGUGGAUUAUGCAGACCAGUGGGGUAAAAUGAUGAAAUUGACACUGUACUUACAGAAGGUAUUGGCAUAGGAACCAAACAAAAUCUAAAGGGGUGGGGGGUAUUCAGUCACAUAAGUUCCAGCUUUAUUUAGGGAGUAUAUAUUAAUCCAUGCAAUGUUUUACAGGCAAAGUGAUAUAUUACUACUAGGAAAUAUAUUAACCCCUUAAGGACGGAGCCAAAUGUACACGUUGUGAACAAAACAAAAUGUAAACAAAACCUGGCAUUUGCGCUACAUGUCUGUCCAACCGUUAUUCACCUCUUUCAUAGUAAAUGCACGCACCCUUAUUAUAUAUCAUUUUAUUCAGGGGAAACAGGGCUUUCAUUUAAUAUCAAAUAUUUAGCUAUGAAACAUAAUUUAAUAUGAAAAAAAUGGGAGAAAAUACGAUUUUUAAAAAAUGCCUUUGAGACUGUAUAGUAGCCCAGGAAUGAAAUUUACACCCAUAAUGGCAUACCAUUUGCAAUAGUAGACAACCCAAGGUAUUGCAAAUGGGGUAUGUCCAGUCUUUUUUAGUAGCCAUUUGGUCACAAACACUGGCCAAAGUUAGCGCUAGUAUUUGUUUGUGUGUGAAAAAUGCAAAAAACGCCAAUUUUGGCCAGUGUUUGUGACUAAGUGGCUACUAAAAAAGACUGGACAUACCCUGUUUGCAAUACCUUGGGUUGUCUACUAUUGCAAAUGGUAUGCCAUCAUAGGGGUAAUUUUCAUUCUUGGGCUACCAUAGGGUCUCAAAAGCAAUGUCCAAUCUGGCGAAUUUUAAUGUGAAAAAAAUGAAACGCAAGCCUUAUAUUUGACGCUGUAACUUUUGAAAACACCAUAAAACCUGUACAUGAGGGGUACUGUUGUACUCGGGAGACUUAGCUGAACACAAAUAUUUGUGUUUCAAAACAGUAAGAAGUAUCACAGCAAUAAUAUUGUCCGUGUAAUGCUGUUUGUGCGUGAAAAAUGCAAAAAACUUCACUUUUACUGGCGAUAUCAUCGUUGUAAUACAUUUACUGUUUUGAAACACUAAUAUUUGUGUUCAGCGAAGUCUCCCGAGUAGAACAGUACCCCCCAUGUACAGGUUUUAUGGUGUCUUGGAAAGUUAUAGGGUUAAAUAUAAUUCUAGCAAAUUAAAUUCCCUUUACUUUCGGCAUGGGUUGUCAGGCAGGUCCCGCUAAUUGUAAUUAAUUAAGAUACCUAAUUAUGUAAAAAUAUUACAUAAAUAUAUAUGUAGAAUUAAUAUAUAUAUAUAUAUAUGUAUGUGUAUAUAUAUGUAUAUAAUUUUUUUAAAAUAUUUUUAUUUAUAUAUAGGUAUAUAUAUAGUGAUACAUAUAUAUUUAUGUAUAUAGAUAUAUAUAUUAUUUUGUUCUACAUGUAUUUUGAUAUAUAUAUAUAUAUAUAUAUAUAUUAAUUUCACAAUACAGUUAGAACGAAAUAACACACAUUUAUAUAUUUUUUAAUUAUUUUUUUAAUUUUAUUUUUUAACGUAUUUACAUUUUAAUUUUUUUAUAUAUAAAUAUAUAACAAUAAUUAAUACAAAUACACACACAGAUACAAACACACAUGUAGAUACAAAUACAAACACAUACAGACACACAGAGAGAGGCACACGGGCACAGACACACAUACAGAUAGACACACGCAUACAGACACACUGAUACACACACAGGCCGCAGGCCCCCCCAACAACAUCCCUGGCACACUCACCCGAUACCUCCAAAAAUGCUCCAGAACUGCUGAACGCUGUUGGAGAAAGUCUCACUGUGCAUCUGACUUUCUCCACUAUAAAUUUAUGCUGAGCUCAUACAGCUUGGCUCUUUCCUCUGCAAAAGUUAAUUACUUCAAUACCCUCAUAACCACACUCUCCCGCGAACCCAAACGACUAUUUCACGCAUUUAACUCUCUUCUUUGCCCUGCUGUUCCUCCUCCACCUACUAACUUGAUCGCCUCAGACUUUGCAACUCACUUCACUGACAAGAUCUCUACAAUCAGAGAAGAAAUCUCUCAUCUUUCUUCUUCCCCUAACUUCACUCCCUCUGCUGUUCUAUGUUCAUUUGCACCUGCAACAUUGGAAGAGGUUUCUGCUCUGCUCCAGUCCUCCUGCCCCACCACCUGCUCCUUAGAUCCAAUUCCCUCACAUCUCAUCCGUACUCUAUCUUCUCCUCUUUCAUCACAUCUCACUGAAAAUUAUCAGUUUCUCUCUCUUCUCUGGUAUAUUUCCAUUGCCCUUCAAACAUGCAACUGCAACCCCAAUUCUAAAGAAGCCCAAUCUUGACCCUAACUCCCCAUCCAACUAUCGUCCUAUCUCGCUACUGCCUUUUGCAUCCAAGAUCCUUGAAAAAAUUGUGUAUGCGAGAUUGACAGACUUCCUCGAGUCCAACUCUCUGCUAGACCCGCUUCAGUAUGGUUUCUGCGCUAAGCACUCUGUGGAAACCGCACUGACCAAUGUAUCCAAUGAUCUACUCGCUGCAAAAUCUCGUGGUCACUACUCUAUCCUAAUUCUCCUUGACCUGUCUGCGGCUUUUGACACUGUUGAUCAUCAACAGCUUCUUCUCAUCCUCCGCAUUAUCGGUCUACAAGAUAUUGCUCUCUCCUCGUGCUCCUCCUACCUCUCCCAGCGCUCUUUCAGUGUUUCUUUCUCUGGCUCUGCUUCUUCUCCCCAACUCCUCUCUGUUGGUGUCCCCCAAGGUUCAUUCCUUGGUCCCCUACUGUUCUCCAUCUAUACUGCCUCCCUUGGUAAACCCAUUAGCUCCUUUGGCUUCCAAUAUCAUUUCUAUGACACGCAAAUCUACCUGUCCUCUCCUGAUCUCUCCCCGUCCCUCUUGACUAGUGUCUCUGACAGCCUCUCUGCUGUUUCUAACUGGAUGGCUGCUCACUCCCUUAAACUAAACUUGACCAAAACUGAAAUUCUGGUCUUUCCUCCCUCAAGUGUUGUUACUCCUGUGUCUGUCUCCCUCCAAGUCAACAGUGCUACCAUCAGCUCCACCACGCAGGCUCACUGCCUAGGUGUUCUUUUUGACUCCGACCUCUCCUUCAAGCCUCAUGGUCAAUCUAUCGCCAAAUCCUGUCAUUUCAACCUCAAAAACUUUGCGUACAUCUGCCCCUACUUAACACCAGAUGCGACUAAGGUCCAUUCCACUGUCCUUUCUCGCCUUGACUACUGUAAUCCGCUUCUCAGUGGUCUUACGUGCUCCCAACUUGCACCAUUACAGUCCAUAAUGAAUGCGGCGGUGAGGCUCAUCUUCCUGUUCGCCUGCACCUCCCAUGCCUCACCCUUCUGUCAGUCCCUACAUUGGCUUCCUAUAAAAUAUAGAGCUCAAUUUAAAAUUCUUUUUCUUGCUUUCAAAUCUCUACAUAAUGCUGCUCCCACCUAUCUAUCCUCCCUUAUACACAAGUAUGUCCCGUCUAGCCCUUUACGAUCUGCUGAAGACUUUCGUCUAUCUUCUGUCCGUACUCCCUCCUCUGAUGCUCGCCUUCAAGAUUUUUUGAGGGCUGCACCGUUCCUGUGGAACUCGCUUCCCUCCUCCGUUAGAUGCUCACCCAGUCUCCACUCCUUCAUAAAAAUCGUUAAAAACCCACUUCUUCAUAAAAGCGUAUCAGUUAAACUGUUAAUAGCUCCUGACUGAUUCCUCUUCUGCAACUGUCACUAGUCUAAUACUAUCCCUACCUUUUUGUGUCAUUUUACCCCACUACCUCUAGCAUGUAAGCUCAUUGAGCAGGACCCUCAACCCCUCUGUUCCUGUAUGUCCAACUUGUCUGGUUACAACUACAUGUCUGUUUGUCCACCCAUUGUAAAGCGCUGCGGAAUUUGACGGCACUCUAUAAAUAUAAUAAUAAUAAUAAUAAACACAGAAACACAAACAGAUACACAGACACAUAUUGACAAAUACAGAUACAUAUAUACCAACACACAUACAGAUACACAGACAUACAGGUAUGGUGAGAGGGAGGGGGGUGAUGGUGAGAUGGAGAGGGGGUGAUGGUGAGAGGGAGAGGGUGAUGAGUGAAGGGAGAGGGUGAUGUGGGAAGGAGAGGGUGAUGGUGGGAAGGAGAGGGUGAUGGGGAGAGGGGUGAUUUGAGAGGGAGGGAAUUGAAGGGGAAGUGAUGGUGAGGAGGGAGGGUGAUGAUAGGUAAGGAAGUGAUGGUGAGAGGAGAGAGUGAUGGAGAGAGAUGUGAAAGGGAGGGUGAUGGUGAAGGGAGGGUGAUUAUGAAGGGAGAUGAAAGGAAGGGUGAUGGUUAGAGGUAGGGAUUGAUGGUGAAGUGAAAGGAGGGUUGAUAUUGUGAAGGGAUGGGGGUUGAUGAUGAGAGGAGAGGGUUGAUGAUGAGAGGGAGGAUGGGGAGGGUUGAUGAGUGAGGAGAGGGAGGGUGAUGGUGUGAGGGAGGGGGGUGAUGGUGAGAGGGAGGGGGUGAUGGUGAUGGAGGGUUGAUGAUGAGAGGGAGGGGUUGAUGAUGAGAGGGGAGGGUUGAUGAUGGUGAGAGGGAGGGGGUUGAUGGUGAGAGGGAGGGGGUGAUGUGAGGAGGGAUGAGAGGGAGGGGUGAUGGUGAUGAUGAGAGGGGGGUGAUGAGGGGGUGAUGAGAGGGAGAGGGUGGUAUGAGAGGGAGGGGGGUGAUGAGAGGGAGGGGGGUGAUGGUGAGAGGGAGGGGGGUCUGUAGCUCUGCACACCGUGGAGCUGCAGACCGGUGUCUGCGAUGGGUGCAGGAGGGGCAUUGCACCCGGCGGCAUAUCGAGCAAGCAGCCGGGCCCCCUCCUGGUGUCGGGGUCUCAGUCAGUGACCCAGGACCCAACACAGUCUGCCCCAGGCACCCCCCUAGUGAGUGGCACCCGGGGAGGCCCACUCUGCCUCCCUCCCCCUUAGUACGCCACUGGAUGCAUUAAAUGUAGAUGUCGGGAUCCUAUUCUGACAAACAAGACUUUUGUUCCGUUUAUUCUGUUCCUUUAAAACCAAGGUCCUGCACUGAUUAUAUUUUACCAUAGAAACAUAGAAUGUUACGGCAGAUAAGAACCAUUCGGCCCAUCUAGUCUGCCCAAUUUUCUAAAUACUUUCAUUAGUCCCUGGCCUUAUCUUAUAGUUAGGAUAGCCUUAUGUCUAUCUCACGCAUGCUUAAACUCCUUUACUGUGUUAACCUCUACCACUUCAGCUGGAAGGCUAUUCCAUGCAUCCCCUACCCUCUCAGUAAGGUAAUACUUUCUGAUAUUUUUAAACCACAACCACUAGUGGCCUCCCUUGCCUCUAGUUCUGGAAACUCACGUGCCUAGUUUUGAUUACUUCAGCUACAAAAGGCUACACCCAACUCACCACAUGGACUUUACAUUGAAGUUGUUGAUUUGCCUGAAACACGUCAGAUCCUGGCUCAUGUGAACCAACCUUAUGAAUUACCUUCUUUUCUUUAAACCUGCAUUAUCACCAACCUGCUCCAUACCAGCCUGAACAACUUUGCAUUCCUGCUAGACUUCCAAACUUGCUCCAUACCAGCCUGAACAACUCUGCAUUCCUGCUAGACUUACAAACCUGCACUACACCAACCUGACCUUUACAACUAUCCAGCUUUCCCUUACCAGUCUGCAGAUACAACUUAUCUGCUCCAUACCUACCUGCAUAACACCAAUCUGAACUUUUACUCAAAGUAAUAUUUCAUGGUGUUAUUUUCCUGCUUGAGCAAUACUCCUUCCAAUAGGGGGCUUAUUAACUAAAGUUCUCCUUUUCCUGUAAUUCUGCAACCUUAUUGUUCUGUUUUAUUUGUCCUAUUUUACCUAUACUUUUAUCUAUAGAGUUUCUUGUUAUUUACUUGCAUUCCUGUUUAUAUUCUAUUUAGGGCACAUUGCCUAAAUCCCUUUAUUUCUGUUUUCUAUCUUUUCGAUCAUGUCCAAAUCCAGCAAUAAAGAAUUGUUAACUCUGGCCAAAUCACAUAUCUGACCUGCUCAGAAUUAUGACAGAAGGUAUAAAAUAGGGAAGUGCCAUUAUUGGAAUCGCUAAAGAAAAAAAUGGAUGAAAUACUCAUCUUAUUUCUAUAUUUAUCCCAGAUCUGUAUCAAAAGUUUGAUUUGGGGGGACAACAAGCUGAUUUUAGGUCUACGUUUCUGGGGCACCAAAAGUAUAUUAGUUAUACUAUGUCCUCCUAACAUGUCUGCUUCCAAAGUCACCCAUUGUGGUUUUGUAAUUUUAAGGAAGUGGGGUAAAGCGGUCACUAGUAUGACUGGAUGAUAGUUCGACUUUAUAUUUGGCAAAGCCAAACCUCCCAAUUUUUUUAAGAGCUUGUAACAGUCUCACUAUAACGCAAGAUUUAACCCUUGCCGAAAUAAAGCUCAUAAGAGCAGUCUGUAUAGUCUUAAAAUAUGAUGUUGAAAUAGGUAUAGGAAAUGUACGAAACAAAUAUUGAAGUCUCUGUAAUAUGGACAUUUUAAAUGUCGCUAUUCGAUCUGACCAUGUUAAGUAGAACAUGGACCAUUGUUGCAGAAGUUGCUCACACUUAUUCCAAAGAGUAUUAUAAUUUGCUGCAUAUAAAUUAGCUGCAUUUGUUUUUUGUAAUUAUCAGUCCUAAAUAUUUAAUGGAAUUUCCUUCUCCAAUCAAAUUGAUAGGAAUUACUUACGGGACAAGGCAGGGGUGUCCCCUGUUCCCUUUAUUCUAUGUGCAUGCACUUGAACCAUUGUUGCAUUAUAUUAAAGAACAUCCCAAGAUACACGGUGUACAAAUGGGAGAUCAAAAUGUUAAAAUCAGCGCAUUUGCAUUAGUAUCUUACUAUUAGUAUCUUACUAUUCCCUUAAUGCAGCUAAAACGCAAGCUGUGCCUAUUCCAUUUUUGGGUCUGUUAUUUUUUGCUGUAGUGUGGCAGUCACAUCUUUAUGUAUAAAUAUGGAUACUCAUUUUGUAUUAUUACCUGAAAGGGCAUGAAAUUGUGUUGGGAAUUGUUUAUUGAAAAUAUGUGGCGGAUGCGUUUUAGUAAAAUGGGUUUCCUGAAUACAUGCAAUGUCUACUUUUUCCUGCUUCAUAUCUUUAAGAAGCGUUCCCCUUUUGGCUGGAGAAUUGAGACCUUUAACAUUAAACAUUACAAUUUUCAUAAAGUAUACACAUAUUGCCUCUUUGAAGUCUUAUGGUAAUCAAAGAAAUAUAUCUCCAAUCAGAAGGAGAUGGAAAAUAUUUUACUUGAUAACUUUUUGCAAUCUUGUUAUCUUGUGUAAAAAAUAUAUUACAAUGUACCCAAAGAGAAGUAAGAAAAAUAAAGAACUAAAAAUGCACUGGUGAUCUACUAGUUAAAUAAUGCUCAAUAUUCCUGAGCAUAGUUGUGUCAUGGAUAUCCCAGACACGGGGGGGGGUGAGGUGGGUUGAAUUAAUUAAGAGUAACUCCAUAAGCUGGAGGAACUAAACUAAAGAAACUAUUGAGGAGACGUUGAACAGCAGUCAGGUUUAAAAAUGAACAUGAACAGUUUUCAUGGUUUAGAUUUAUAUAGUUAUACUUUAUAUCUUUUUCCCUUUAUAUAUAUUUGAAGUUUACGAAAUUAAUAUAAAACAACAAUAUUUGAAUGAAAAAGGCUCAAAUUUUAGACUAGGUAGCAAAGACAAAUUGAUAUGUUACUAUUUAUAGCCUAAAUAUAUCCACAGCUACUUAUAUAUCACCCAAAAGUAUCUUACCGAAAACUACUUGACUUAAAUUAUCUAAUCAAUUUGACCAGUAGUGUAUAUACACUCUAAUACAAUGCAAAUCAUCCAAUUACAACCUGAAGUGAAUCCCCUCAUAUCUAGCCACUUAAAAAAAAAAAACACACACCACAAUUUAAGCAUGCGUGGGAUAGGCAUAAGGCUAUCCUAACUAUAAGAUAAGACUAGGGACUAAUGAAAGUAUUUAGAAAAUUGGGCAGACUAGAUGGGCUGAAUGGUUCUUAUCUGCCAUCACAUUCUAUGUUUCUAUGUUUCUAUUUAAAAAAAAAACAAACAAAAAAAAACAGUGUUCUUGUUUUUAUGACUGAGUCCAUUCUGAUGUUAUUCUAAAUAUAUUAGAUGGCUGUAUUAAUGGAAUAUAAAGCAGUGGAAUAUUCAAUCCGCUGAAUUUCGGUAAGGCUUCUACUGGCGUAUUUAUCGUAUGAGUCUUUCCUUCCUUAUAUACCAGUAUUUUUGCCUUGUAUCCCCAUCGAUAAACUAAGUUGUUAGAGCGUAAGGUAGCAGUAAAUAAAGAAAAAGAUUUACAAAACUGAAGAGUAGUUGCUGACAAAUCGGUGAAAAUAUAUAUGGCUUUGUAAGGAUCUGGAAAUUCUCUAUUCCUGCAGGCUUUAGUAAUCUGCUCUUUUACGUGAUAGACAUAUAUGCGCACAAUCAUAUCUCUAAUAUUGUAAAGAGCUUUGGAAUCUGUUGGCGCUAUAUAAAUGGCAAUAAUAAAUAAUAGAUGUUUCUGGUAAUUCUUUCGGUCUUCUUAGGCGAUGGACUCUGUCUACAAUCAAAUAGUCGAUUUGUGUUUCAGGCGUAAGGACCUUAAAGAAUUCUGUCAUGUAGCUAUGCAAAUCCGGAUUCUUUACGGACUCUGGGAUGCCUUCGAACACGGAGAUUAUUUCUCCUGGAACGAUCCUCCAAGUCAGCCAUUUUUCAUUUUUGUGUUUUCUGGAUGUUAUCCAUUUCUUGUAUUUUAUCAACUACACUAUUGUGGACUUUUGCAAAAUCAACCAACUUUUGUUCCAUAUGAGAAGUUCUUUGACCUAUCUCUUGAAUUGCCUUACGUACACCAGCCUUCAGUUUUUUAAUUUGGCUUUUAAAUGUACUUUGCAUAGUAUCUGAGAGAUCUGCUAACAUUGCUCUCAUAGUAGAUACCGUUAGGGGCCCUUAAUCCAGCGACAAGGGAAGGGUUUCUUGACCAAGGAUCUCCACCAUCUUCGCCGCCAUCUUGGUUAGAUGGAAGAUCCUCUCGGGGUUUCCCUAUAGGUACACGUGACAGAAAAAAAAAAAGUAGAUUUUUCAGCUUUUUUUGCUUUUGCAGAUUUUCCUUUACCUCUCGGAGACACUGGCCAGGGUACGUAAUGUUACUCAGUAUAUUGGUUAGUAUAUUGAUUAGUGUAUCGGUUGGUAUGUAGGUUAGUAUGACGGUUGGUAUUGCUACUCCUCAACACUCAAUCUGUGGGAGCUUCACAUACAUACACUCUGCCAGCACAAACUUUAAGUCACGCCCACUUAGAGAUAUGAUUUUGUAUAAGCACCUUACAAACCGUUAUGCUUACAAUGCUUGUAUUAUGAAUAUCAAUUCACAUUUAUGGGCUUAGUAGCUUCAGAAAAUAUUUUACCUAUAUAUUUUAAAUGUAUUUUUUUGCAGAUGUAUUUGCAUAUAUAUUUUAUAUGGCAGCUAACCGAGUUCCUAUCCGAGUUCCUUAAUUAGAGUCUAUGUAAAUGUCAUGCAUCUGCUAGGCACUUAAUCCUAAAUUAGCUAUGUGCCUAAAAAAAAAGCUCACUCUAUUUAUCAGUUUGUAAAACACAGGUCAGGUUAAUACAAUUUGAUGCUUGCCUGUCUUUGGUACAAUAGCUCUGGCCCUUGGUGUCGUACAGGAAGUAUUAUGGCAAUACGGCCCCUCUCAAUGCAAUAGCUCUGGUCCUCGUCAUCAUACAGCCAGUAUGAGUAUUCUGCCAAUAAUGUCCCCUUUCCUUAAGGGUUAGUAUGCCGUAUGCUGUUAGUAUGCGGUUUUCCUUAUUUCCUCCUUCACUCCUCACUCCUGUUUGUGGACUAUCGCGGUCCAUUACUGUCCACUUUUCCCCUCAGGUACUCUGCAAUUUUACAAUGUUGCCUGCAUCUAUGUCCGUGUUUCUGUUCACGAUUGUUCCACUCCAUCUCGUGGUGGCGUUCCUCUCCCCUCACUGCGUUCACGGCGUGCGCACGCUUACGUCAUCGUAACACAUUAAGUGUAAAAAUAUAAUUUAUUGUGAAGAUAGCAAUAGGUACGAUAACAUUAAUCAGUGAUUAUACAAAUGUAACACAGAAGAUUGCUUUAAAAUAUAUCAGGUUAUAUUUGCUAUUGCAAACAGUGUUCCUAUGUAAGACUUAGAACUUUAAAUAAUCUCUGUAGCAGCACAAGGCAGGUUUGACAGUUAUUUAUGAGAUAAAUGGGUUUUGAUUAAAAUCUGAAUUUCAACCAAUGAAUUUAUCAAUAAUUACAGGUAUUUAUAUCUUAGGAAUAUUUAUAGCCAUAUUUUCAAUUUGAGCUGCAGUAGCAAAUUUCAAAUAUGCAGAGACUACUUUUCCUAACAGGAAUGCAUUAUUCGAAAUGUUGAAUCAGAUAAUUUUCAUACCUAUUUAAAAACAUAAAGUAAUUAUAUUUACCAUGGUUGUUGCUGCUUCGCCCACUUAAUGGAUAAGGAUUUCAAAUUUGACGAAAAGUUGAAAAUAGCUAGAUAAGUAGCUUUAAAAGUUCAGAUUGUCAGUAGAAUAGUGAAUAGAAAUAUUAAUUAAAAUACAUUUAGGAGAACAUUAUUGAGUAAGGAGCUAAGAGAAAUAUUUUUUUUCUCUAUUCUGCAUAAUUUUGGGAAGGUUUCCUUAUCUCAGGUAACUUGCACCUACGGAUUUAACAUUCUUCAAUCAGAUUGUUGGGUGUAACAUAUGGCAAUUAUUAAUCUAUCAUCAAAUUAAUUAAAUUACACCAAUGGUUACCAUAGUGUUAAAACCAUAGUAAAAAUCUUAGUUGUGUUCAAGUAUAUCGCUAUCACUUAUAAAAAUAAGAUGAAAAGGUAUCCAGGAGAUAAAAUUAAUAAUGCUAAAAUAUAUAUCACAUAAAAGCACAAAUAUAAAUUAAUUCAAGUUCAUAUAGACCCAGAUGAGAGUUAUAUAGUAAGUCCAGAAUGAGUCCAAGUAUAAAAUCCAAUUAAUGAAAAGUUAUACAAGUCCAAUAGUCCACAAAAUGUGGAAAAAGGGUAAUCACACUGAGCUGUGUAUAUAUAUAAUACAGAGUCAUGGGAACCUAUUGCCAAUACAAUAUAAUUCACUGACUACCAAUGAAUAUGAAAAUAAGGAGAAAAAGGGCAAAACUAUAUAGGAAAAAACAACAGUACUCAAAGCAACUGCUUGCUACAAAACAUUAAAGGACCACUAUAGUGCCAGGAAAACAUACUCGUUUUCCUGGCACUAUAGUGCCCCGAGGGUGCCCCCACCCUCAGGGUCCCUCUCCCGCCCGGCUCUGGGCGGAGAGCUCUCCUCCUCCGAUCCUCCUCUUCUCCUCCCCGUCGGCUGAAUGCGCACGCGCGUGCUCUCACUGUGAAAAUCACAGUGAGAAGCACGCAAGCGCCUCUAGUGGCUGUCAAUGAGACAGCCACUAGAGGAAAUAGGGGAAGGCUUAACCCAUUCAUAAACAUAGUUUCUCUGAAACUGCUAUGUUUAUGAAAAAAUGGGUUAACCCUAGCUGGACCUGGCACCCAGACCACUUCAUUAAGCUGAAGUGGUCUGGGUGCCUAGAGUGGUCCUUUAAAAUAGAAGAGAAAAAAAUAAGAGAUCACCAACAGAUGUUUCAGAGUCUAAGUAUGGCACUUAAAGGACCACUCUAGGCACCCAGACCACUUCAGCUUAAUGAAGUGGUCUGGGUGCCAGGUCCCUCUAGGAUUAACCCAUUUUUUUUAUAAACAUAGCAGUUUCAGAGAAACUGCUAUGUUUAUAAAUGGGUUAAUCCAUCCUCCAAAUCCUCUAGUGGCUGUCUCAUUGACAGCCGCUAGAGGCGCUUGCGUGAUUCUCACUGUGAAAAUCACAGAGAACACGCAAGCGUCCAUAGGAAAGCUUUAUAAAUGCUUUCCUAUGAGACCAGCGAAAUGCGCGCAGCUCCUGCCAAGCGUGCACAUUCAGCCGAAUGGGAGGAUCGGAGGCGGAGAGGAGGAGGAGAGCUCCCCGCCCGGCGCUGGAAAAACGGUAAGUUUAACCCCUUUCCUCUCCCCAGAGCCGGGCGGAAGGGCGACCCUGAGGGUGGGGGCACCCUCAGGGCACUAUAGUGCCAGAAAAACAAGUAUAUUUUCCUGGCACUAUAGUGGUCCUUUAAUAGGAAUAUUGAUUCCAUCAGACUUGCUGGAAGAACUUUUUUGGACACUAUACUUACUAAUGGGGAUGAUUGUUUAAAUACUGAUCCCACAAAUUAUGAAAUUAGCCAAUCUGAGGAUGUUAGAGCAAAGAUCUAUACACUUAGCAAAAUCAUGGAAAGGGUAGUGUAUGUUUGGUGGGAUAUAGCAAGCUUGGAUUUCUAUGUAAGCAAUAACAUCAUACCCUGAGGUUUAAGCCUUUUAAAAAAGUUAGCAUAUAAACAUAAUCAUCAACAAAUGCUGAACAAAUGGGACCAAUUAUUAGACAAGGGGUCAUUACAGACAGGACUUCUUAUAAUUAUUAUUUUCUGCCUCCUCAACCAGCGAUACAUUGUAAGUUUGGUUUAAUCUAGCAGUGGCUUUUAUUCUCUCUAUUUGUGAAUGAUUAUUUGUAAGCUUUACUAACAACAAUUUAUAACAGUGUCUUUUUACCUGCUUUCUCAUCACUAACGCUAGUAUUGCAGGCUUUAGUGUAUCUAUCUAUAGCAGUGGCUCGAUAGGGUUCUCUUUCAGCACUUAUUAGGAUCAUUAGGGGAUGUAAUAAAUUUACUGUGUCAGUAUUACAAUCAUAUAAGCAACAAAUCUCUUGUAAAUGAUCCUUCAUUGCAUGCAGCAAUUAGUAAUAUAAUAUUAUUCACCCUUAGAGGCACAUAUAUGUAAAAGACGUGUCCUGAUCUUGGUUCUGGGAUUUCAGUCUAGUAUCACCACUUCAUAUAGGGCAAUCUCCCUGUAUAUGUGCACCAACAGUUCACUGUCUUUAUUUAAUGUAGUGAGAUAGUUUAUUUCAGGUUUAUAUACCUCUACAACAUCCUUCCCUACAGUGUAGAUUAUCUCUGUAUAAUCAUUCCAUUAGAAUGCAUCCUUUUCUACUUUUACUAUUCUAGUAUCGAUACGAUAUCUCUUCCAUUUCUGUAUCUCUUUCCCUUUAUGGAUUCAUAUUAUAGAGCUCACAUCCUUUUAGAGCUCUUGUGUUAUGAGUAUAUGUUAUAUGUUCCCUCCUUUUUUAGAGAAUUAAACAAUAAAACGUAUUCAUUUUAAUUUACGCUUCACAAUAUCUCAGAUUAUAAGGGACCUUUCUCUCUGUGUUAUAAUUAAGGGUUACCGCCUAUUUAGGCUCCCUUGCACACACCACAGUCCCCUAGUGGGACACUAUGCUUUUUCUAUUUAUAGACCUACACAAGUUUUUCCACAAAAUUACUAUUAAAAAAUUUGUUAUGGACAAGACUUUAAGUACUCAAAUAACAACAGAAGGUUAUGAACACACUGAUCUACAUCCUACCUCCACUUUUUAUCCACAAAAUGUUAAGAGUGAACCAAUCAGAGUUUUUGAAAUAAUGGUGGAGACUGACUUUAGGAGACUGAACAAUAAUAAACAACUGAAGAAUAAUAAUUUGACUUCUAGAGAGAGACAAUCCCCCCCCCCAAAAAAAAAACUAACGAAGGAAGACAAUAUAACCAUUAAAUCAGCCGAUAUCGGAUUGGUCAUUCUAAAUACGGAAGAUUAUAAAAAAGAAAACAUAAGAUUACUUGAAGAUAUAUCCACCUACCAGAAGAUGGAUGAGGAUCCUACCAUAUCAUUUAUUGCCAAACUAAAUGAAUGACUAGAUUACGCCAAGGAUAGAAGAAUUUUAAGUGAUAGGGAAUAUAAAUACUUGUUGUUUCGCACCCUAGGAUCCCUAUCUUUUACCACCUACCGAAGAUACAUAAAAGACUCCAUAAUCUCCCUGGUAGGCCGAUCAUAUCAGGGAUAGGCUCUCUCACCUCUAACUUAUCAGAAUAUGUGGAUCAAUAUCUACAAAACCUGGUUCACCAUCUUAAAAUCAUAUCUUAAAGAUUCAACUCAGAUCCUCAGCCUAUUAGCAGACAUCAACUGGGAAGAGGACAUGAUCUUGGUGACAGCAGAUGUCACUUCACUAUAUACAGUGAUAGAACACCUCCAGGAAUGCAAAGCGAUACAGUAUUCAUUGGCCACUUAUUCUGAACUUAAGAAUGAUCAGAUUGAUUUUUUAAUACAGUGUGUAGCAUUUAUUUUAAGUCACAAUAAUUUUUGGUUGGAUGAUAACUUUUAUUUACAACUUGAAGGGAAUGCCAUGGGAAAAUGUUUUGCGCCAAGCUAUGCCAACUUGUUUAUGGGCAAGUAGGAGGACAAAUUUAUUUUGAACCACUGCCCCCUUGGUGCAAAACUGUUUCUAUGGCAGAGAUAUAUUGACAAUAGCUUUUUUAUCUGGUAGGGAAGUAUAGAAUCACUUGAACGUUUUAAACUGUAGCUUAAUAAUAAUCCAUACAAUUUACAAUUCACAUUUUACCACUUUGCAAGUCACAUCGAAUGUUUAGAUCUUGAAAUAUAUAUUAUAAAUGGGAAAAUCCACACAAAAGCUUUUAAGAAGAAUGUAGAUUGUAAUAGUUUUAUACCUUUUAGCAGUUAUCAUAAACGCACAUGGCUUGAAAAUAUACCAUAUGGAUAAUUUAGAAGAAUAAGGAAGAACUGUUCAGAAUUGGAAACCUGUCAAACUCAAAUGCAAGAAAUGAAGCAGAGAUUCACAAUAGAAAGAUAUUUAGAACCGCUGUUGCAACAAGCAAUGAAGAAAGCCAAAUCUAUACCAAAAGAAGAUACCCUCUAUCAGGGGCGGACUGAGAGCAUUUGGGGCCCCCGGGCAAAAUUAGAUCCCAGGCCCUUUGAAGGCCAAAUAUAUGUGCAUUAAAUAAAUGUUAAAUAUAACUCAUAAUACGGCAUUCCUUUGGAUGUGUAUAUUGUGAAGACCUGUGUAUCAAUGCAUGUUUGUAUUUGAGUCUGUGUGAAUGCACUUGUGCAUGUCUGGAUUACUACAUGUGCUUUUUUGUAUAUAGUGUCUGUGUGAAUGCAUAUGUGACAGGUGACAGUGUGUGAGGGAGAAGGUGACAGGUGGAAGAGUGUGGGAGGUUGUGACAGGUGGCAGAGUGAGGGGGUACCUGGUGGCAGAGUGAGGGAGGGAGGGGUUGAGUGGUGGCAGAGUGAGGGGGAGACACAGUUAAGUGGGGGUGACUAGUGACAUAGGGAGGGAGAGGGGGUGACUAGUGACAGAGUUAGGGAAUGGGUGACUAGUGGCAGAGUGAGGGAGGGAAGGGGUGACUGGUGACAGAGUGAGGGGAUGACUGGUGACAGAGGGAGGGAGUGACUAGUGACAGAGGGAGGGAGUGACUAGUGACAGAGGGAGGGAGUGACUAGUGACAGAGGGAGGGAGUGACUGUCACUAGUCACUCCCUCCCUAACUCUGUCACUGUCACCCGCUCCCUCACUGUCACUAGUCACCCCCUCCCUCACUCUGUCAUUACUCACCCCCUGUCCCUAGUCACCCUCUUCCACACUCUGUCACUAGUCACCCCAUCCCUCUCACUGUCACUAGUCACUCCCUCCCUAACUCUGUCACUGUGAAGGAAGGAAGGGGUGACUGGUGAUAGAGUGAGGGGAUGACUGGUGACAGAGUGAGGGAAGGGAUGACUAGUGGCAGAGUGAGGGAAGGAAGGGAUGACUGGUGACAGAGUGAGGGAAUGACUGGUGACAGAGUGAGAGAGUGACUAGUGACCGAGUGAGGGAGGGAGUGGGUGACUAGUGACAGAGUGAGGAAGGGGGUGACACAGUGAUAGUCACCCCAUUCCUCCCUCUGUCACUAAUCACCACCUCCCUCACUCUCACUAGUCACACCCUCCCUCUCUCUGUCACUAGUCACACCCUUACUCACUAGUCACACCCUUACUCACUGUCACUAGUCACACCCUCCCUCUCUCUGUCACUAGAGUGAGGGGGUGACUAGUGACAGAGUGAGGGGGUGACAGGUGACAGAGUGAGGGAGUGAGGGAAGGGGUGACUAGUGGCAGAGUGAGGGAGGGGUGACUAGUGACAGAGUAAGGGGAUGACUGGUGACAGUGAGGGAGGGGGUGACACAGUGACGGAGGGAGGUGGUGACUAGUGACAGAGUGAGGGAGGUGGUGACUGUCACUAGUCACCACCUCCCUCACUCUGUCCCUAGUCACCCCUCCCUCUGUCACUAGUCACCCCUUCCCUGCCUGUCACUAGUCACACCCUCACUCACUCUGUCACUAGAGUGAUGGGGUGACUAGUGGCAGAGUGAGGGAAGGGGUGACUAGUGGCAGAGUGAGGGAAGGAAGGGGUGACUAGUGACAGUGUGAGGGAGGGGGUGACUGUCACUAGUCACACCCUCCCUCUCUCUGUCACUAGUCACACCCUCCCUCACUCUGUCAUUUGAGUGAGGGGGUGACUAGUGACAGAGUGAGGGAAGGGGUGACUAGUGACAGUGAGGAGGGGUGACUAGUGACAGUGAGGGGGGGUGACUAGUGACUGUGAGGGAGGGUGACUAGUGACUGUGAGGGGGGUGACUAGUGACAAGUGACUAGUGACAGGGGUGACUAGUGACGGUAGUGACUCAGUGACGGUGGGGUGGACUAGUAACAGUGGGGUGGACCAGUAAACAGUGGGGGUGACUAGUGACGGGGUGACUAGUAAAUAGUGUGUGGGGAUGACUAGUAACAGGGGGUGACUCAGUGACAGGGGGUGACUAGUGACAGGGGGUGACUAGUGACAGGGGUGACUAGUAACAGUGGGGGGUGACUAGUGACAGGGGGGGGGUGACUAGUGACAGGGGGGUGAUUAGGACGGGGGAGGGGGGUGAUUAGAGCCUACCUGUGCUUCCUCUGCUCUCCCUGGCUGCUGCUCCUUCCCCUCGCUGGGCUCUGUGUGAGAGGAGUAAACAGGAAGUGAUGUCACUUCCUGUCCCUCUCCCAUCACACAGAGCACCGCGGGACUGGGAGAAGGAGACCUGGCAGAGAGUGGCUGAAGCUGCCAGGUCUCAUGGGGGGGAGGGGUGAUUUACAGGGCGGUAGGUUGUGGGGCCCCGUGCUGCAUCAGGGGCCCCACAACCUAUAAAUGAAAUAGUUUUAUUUUUUUUAAUUUUGCCGUUCCAGUUGGAGAGAUCUCUGAUCUCUCCAGCUGGAGCAAGGCUGUGCUGCCGGGCCCCUGACUGCCUCGGGCCCUCGGUCCAUGACCGAUAUGCCCGAGUGGUCAGUCCGCCCCUGCCCUCUAUAAUAAGAGAAUACAACCAGAAGAACAAAAGAGCUCUGGCCUUCUGGCCUUCAUAGUAAAAUACAGCAAUCAUAGUUACAUAGUUACAUAGUUACAUAGUCAAACCUAAAAUAUCAGAAAGGUGGUAGCCAAACAUUGCGAUAUACUAAAGAGUGACCAUAUGCUUAAUCAAUUUUUAGAUGACCAACAAACAUUAUAUUUUCCCAAGCUUCCAAUUUAAAACUUAUGCUGGCACCUAUGAUAACUCUAGAAACCAUCUUCAUGACACCACAGAAUGCCUAUUAAAGACUUCACAAGGUUCAAGAAAUCCAUAGGUUGUAGGAAUAAUCCUAAUUUCGAUUACAUUCAAGAUAAUUUUCUCUCAUUGGACAACAAGAAAAAUAACAGAGUAAAAUCUAAUAUGGACUGUAACAAAACAGAGGGUAAUCUAUUUACUUACAUGCCCCUGUCCAAAACAAUAUGUAGGAAGAACAAAAAGGUUCUUAAAAAUAAGAGUGUCAGAACAUAUAAGAAAUAUUAAAAAAGGAUUGCCUACACAUAAUCUGUCAAAAUAUUUUAAUGAUGUUCAUGGAAGAGAUCCAGGUGAUUUACAGUUUUUACCUAUUUAAAAAGUCAAUGUGCAUUGGAGAGGGGGAAAUCAAGACAAAAAUCUAGACUAAAUAGAAAUCUUUGAAUCUAUAUUUUUAUUUUCUAUUUAUUUGUUUUUUUAUUUGACUUAUUUUUUUUAUUAUUAUUUCGUUUCACCUUAUUGCAUAGUCAUGUCUCUAUAUUUACACAAUUCUUUUUUUGCCACACUUCUCUGACAAUCUACCAUUUUAACGUGUGGUUAUUUAGUUGCCAGUACAUUGUAUUAUACUUAUUCUUUCACCCCUCUAUUCAUUAUUUUUCAUUCUUAAUUUUCUCUUGCUCUUCAGAUUUAUCCUAUUGUAUUGUUGAUACUAUGUUUCUUUAUUUGUAUUUCUAAUCUGUUUUUUUUUCGCUUGGCACUAACUUCAUUUUUUAAUUAUUAUGUACUAUAUAUUAUCUACUAUCUUUAUUUUCAUUCUCAUUCUCAGUUUCUAUUUUAUUAUCAUUCUUUAUUCUUUACUUUUUUUGGUCUAGUUUCCAUUCUUACUAAUGCUUCCUAAAAUAUCCACAAUCUAAGUAGUUAGUUAUGUAAUACGACUGCUAUUUGAUACAAUGUGAUUUGUACCAGCUGUUUUGUGUCUAACUAGAUAUAGAAGUAUCUUGAAAUGUAUCUGUCAGCUAUUGAAGUCUCUGAUGAAGGCUUUCCUCAUGAAAUGUGUAAGGCAAAGCACAUAGACUUGUGCUAUUCACGAUUAAGAUCCACUAUCCAGUGGAACAACGUUACCACAGCAAUGCUAUACAGUACUAUGCACGAGCCGACCUAGAUCUUCACACAAAGAGACAUUGAGGAUCAUUCUUCUCUGACAAUGGUGGAACCAUACAUGGGAGUGAUGCUUCAGUGGAACGCUGUGUGGAACGCACGCCGAACUCAGCGACAGACCACACACAACGAGGACUGCAGCUCCCACAUAUCCUAUCCACCAGGAGAACUGUGUAUGCGGUACCCAUGCAGAACAUCUUGAGCUUCUGUUGGUACUGUUUAUUUUAUUCAAGUAAUUGUGUUUAUGAAUUAAUUUUACUCUACUGAAUUUUCAUUAAAGACUUAUGGAUUUUUAAGAAGCAUUUCCCCAUUUUUUUUCUCUUCUAUUUUCAUGUUUGGUAGCAAGCGGCUGCUUUUAGUACUGUGUUGCGUUUUCCUAUAUAGUUUGUUUUGCCCUUUUUUGUACUUUUUCUCCUUUUUUCAUAUUCACUGAUAGUCAGUGAAUUAUAUUGUAUUGGCAAUAGGGUCCCAUGACUCUGUAAUAUCUAUAUACACAGCUCAGUGUGAUUACCCUUUUGCUACAUUUUGUGGACUAUUGGACUUAUAUAACUUUUCAUUAAUUGGAUUUUAUACUUGGACUCAUUCUGAACUUACUAUAUAAUGCAUGUGAGUCUAUAUGAACUUGAAUUAAUUUAUAUUUGUGAUUUUAUUUGAUAUAUAUUUUAGCAUGAUUAAUUUUAGCUCCUGGAUACCUUUCAUCUUAUUUUUAUAAGAGAUAUCGAUAUACCUGUUUUCCUAGGGAGGAUUGGUGUCCCUCCUUCCAGUUUUAGAGCCAUUUAUUUGAUAUUUGACAAUUGUGGUUUUAUCUACUUUUUAUUUUACAUAUAAAAAGUAUCUCUUACUCCCUCCAUUUUAGGGCUUACCUAUUCUUGUAUUUUAAGCACCCUUCUUUCUCUUUUUCCUGUGCUUUCAAUACUUUUUUUUUUUUGUCUUUUAUCAGUCUUACUUGCAUUCAAGUCUGCUGCUGCUGGCUCUGCCCCUGAUCUGCCUGUUUGGCUGACAUCAUUAGAAGUUAUUCUCUGAACCAAUCACAAUGCUUUACCAUAGGAUUGGCUGAGACUGUCAAGGAGGCAGAUCAAGGGCAGACCUAGCACAAGUCAAACACAGUACAGGCCAAUCCGCUUCUCCUCAUAGAGAUGAAUUAAUUCAAUGCAUCUCUAUGAGGAAAGUUCAAUGUGUCUCCAUGCAGAGGGUGGAGACACUGAAUGGCAGUGCUGCACAGUGUGACACAGGAAGCACCCCAAGCAGCCAUCUGAGGAGUGGCCAGUGGAGUUGUCACAAGGCUAUAUUGUAAACACUGCAUUUUCUCUGAAAAAGUCUGAAGCCUGCAAUAAGCUGUAGUUGUUCUGGCAACUGUAGUGUCCCUUUAAUUUAUUCCUAUUUCCUGGAAUUGUUCAUUUGUACAAAGACCAAUAUGGCAAAUAGUCUAACCCUGGCAUGUUUGGGAUAUAAUCCAUAGUAAAUUUACCAUGACUCAAUUCCAAAGUUUAUAACCCAUACACAUGCCAUAUUAUUCAUUUAGCAGAUUUCAAAACACACAUCUUCACAAUUUAUUCAAAAUAUUUUAAAAUAUAUUCUCAAUUAGGUACCAACACUUCUAAUAUAUCGGGGGUUUUUUAAAUCUAAAAUUGGGGGUUGUCUUAUAUACGGAAUGUCACUACAAGGGUUAAAAAACCAAACAAACACUUGUGUGCAGGGCCUGACAGCUUAAUUAGGUAUGUGUAUGAGAAACAAAACUAACAAGGUAUGUGCAAGAAUCUGGGAGAUCUUGCUCAACUGCAUGCUUUCUCACAGCACUCUGGUCUACAGAUAAAUGGCACAGGGUAAGGCCUGCCCUGUACUGUGGAAGUGGAGGAGUGUUCAGAUGCCAGAGUCCCGCGCCUGCUUCUACAUACCUGAACGAUAGGUCCACCGGGGUAAUUCAUCACAGCAUGGCUUCCGUGGGCAAAAGGCAUAGUUGCCACCAAAAGCAGGAUGGUGGUCCAGGGACAGUAUCUGGUCAUGAUCGGACCUCGGGGUGCAGCCAACUGGAUUGUGAAGAGGCCAGGGACUGGUGGGGCAUCCUGCUCAUCCAUAAAACCAAAACUGAAUAAGAUCAAGUCAAUAUCAGAUAACAGGGCGCCACAGUCACUUCAGUUGACAAUAAUUAUGGGAUUUUUUUCAUUGAAAAUAGAGAGGAAAAAAAGAAGAAACAAUCAAUAAAAAGAUAACAUACAAUUUAUUAAUAAUUGGAUGAGAAAUUAGGCAAUAGCACAAAACAUGUGCAAAUAACCCAAUAUAUAAGUAAAAAAAAAAAAAUCUUAAGGAUAGGAGAUUUAAUAAAACAUGACACACGAUGUACUGAUAUAAAGUGCAUAUGCUAAAGUGCAAAAGACACUAUAGUAAGGGAAAGUGCAAGGUGCUUAACACGCCGCUGUAAUCAGCAGCUAACACCCAGUACUCCUUCACAACAUGUAAUUAUAAAACACAUACCACAAAAAUAUAAAGUGCACAUGUUAAAAAAGACUGCUUAUACCAAAUAACAGGGUUCUUCAUAGGGCUCUAUGCGUUUCAUCGAUCCCACUUCCUCAGGAGCUUCUGUCUUCUUUCCGGUCUUCUUUAAAUCUACAGUUUUUUCAGAUUGCGACCUUGAAGUCAAUUCAUUUUUAGUAAGUUUUAUGAAGGCUUAGCUGCUAUUUUCACAUUUAGUGAAUAUUACGCCAGUAUUCCUUUCAUGUGGGUGGGUUUAUCAAUUUCAAUUCAUUGUGGCUAGACCUCAAAAGUUUCAUAUUGCUCAGUAACUUACAAUCAACUGUUUAACCCUUUGUGAGUAAAUAUAUAUGAGUGAUUCAUCUGAGGUGGGGGUUACUGAUUUCAAUCUAUUGUUGUCAAACUUUAUAAGUUUUAAAGUGCUCAGCAAUUUACAAUAGUUAUUUAACCCUUUGUGAACAAUAUAUUUUUCACUCACCAUAACCACUUGAAGUAAGAGUGACUUGGAUCGAUUUAACCUUUGUUCCUCCUACCUAUAAUUAUAGACUUCAUAAGCAGCCUUCAUUGCUACAGAUCCCCUUCCACCCCUUCAACAUUGCAGAGCUUAUUAGCUUCUGUUCUUUAUUUUGUUUGUAUUUAUAAGUUUACUUUUUUCCUAUUUUUUGUGGUUUUGGUUAUAUUUUUGAAAUAAUUACCUAAUAAACAGAAUUUUUAAUCAUAUUGGGCAAUAUAUGAUUUUUAUAUAGGGACUUCUUUGUGUCCUCUGGAGUUUGUAUCCAUUGGACAUUUUUCUGUAUACAAUUUAUCUAAUUCCUAGAGUUACCCCCUUCAAGUCCCUUUACACACUCCAGGCCCCCUCGGGAGGUCCUCUCUUUCUAAAAUCCCAUAUUAGCAGAUAUAAAGAAGGCCAGGUCCAGACAAUGAGGAUAUUGCAAAAAGCAAAUGAGCAACGUUUCGGCCUGCACAGAGGCCUUUGACCUGCAGAGUGUCCCAGGAGGAAGCAUUUUACAAGUAAGUGGAUUAAUCUUAUAAGAGUAGGCAUUGGGUGCUAGAGUAGGACCUGCCAAGAAUGAGGUACAUUGAUGUUGUGGCAGACUUUUGCAAUGUAUGAUCAUAUACUGUAACUAAACCCCCAUUAUUGUUUGCCUAGGUGAGGUUUUUUUAACAUAAAAUGAUUGAGUUCUGUGAGAUUUUAAAUGACUGUUUAUUGAAUGAGCGCAGGAUCCUGAAUGCUUUAGAUUGAUAGAUAGAUAUGAGGUCUGUCUGGAAAAAGUCCAGACUAUUCCUCCAUGAAAACUGUUCGGAUUAUUCAGAAGGCUUUCAGGGAUGAUGCAAUGAGUGCAGCGCAAAUGAAAAUCACAAGCAAAGCAUCCAUUUUAUGUUUAAUAGUGGACAUUGCUAUAUUCCUACAUGCGUUUUGAUCUUCCCUUAACACUUAGAGUUUGUUUCUAUGUCUGUCUCAAUCAUUUCCCAACACGUCCGUAAUCUCUGAAAUGGCUCUUGCUAAUGUUCCAUAUUACAUACCUUAACAUCAAACAACAACAAGUAAUGGUUGCAGAAUGUUUCAAUGUCUCUCACUGAGGUUAACAGAAGAGUCUAAAUGCUAAGUAAAUGUUUCUAUGAAAUCAAAUGCUGGUGAAUGUGCAACACUGUAUCCUUAUUCUUAUAUCAGCAGGGCUAAUUACAUAUAUCCAAAAACCAAACAUUAAGGAACAUUUUAUAAUCUGUUGAAACAAUAUUAAAUAAAUAAUUACGUGAUAUGCAAUUUAUACAUAUUCUCUCACACUUUCAAGAGCCAAUGAAAUCGGUCUCUGAAUACUGAAUGGUCUAGGGGUUGGUAAGGCUACGGAUGUUUUCUUAAUGUACAUCUUGCUUGCAAAAAUGGUAAACAUUAAGUGGUGGUCGGUAUCAGUGGAGUAAACGUGAGCUGCGUGAAGAAGUCAAGCACUGAGGUUUUAAAGUGCAAACAAUCUCUUUUUUUAGCUUCAAGCAUCUAACAGCUGUUGGUAAUUCCAGUGCUUAACAGCUACCUUUUAACGACAAGCAUAGAAAUUACAUCUUGUUGCAGGUAUGUCUAAAGGCUCUUAGGAAUGUUCACAGUGUUAACAAGGCACCAGCAGUCAAUCGUUUCUUCAUUUAUAGGUAAAUUUUGUCCCUUCAUCCAAAUUCGUUUUUUCGAAACAAUUAUUUUUAGUUUAUUGGCACUAUAUAAAUGACAAUAAUAAUAAUAAUAAUAAUAAUAAUAAUAAUAAUAAUAAUAGUGCUGUUCUUGCACCCACUAAAUGACUAGUCAUCAUUGGCAAGCAUAAAGCUAGGACACAAGGGGGAAACAUGGUGUCAUAACAGCUCUGAAAUAUCUAUCAAAGUGGUACACAAGUCAAUAAAGUAAGUCAAAAUGCACUGAUUUGAUGGUGUUAAAAUGUUUAAAGGCUGCCCAGGUCAAAGGACUAAUAUAGUGCCAGGAAAACAAACUUGUUUUUCCUGGAACUAUGUAGUCCUUAGGUCCCCCCUAGUCUCAUGGCCCCCCUCCUGCUGGGCUGAAGGGGUUAAAACCCCUUCAGCCACUUACCUUUCUUUCAUGUCCCAGGCUCCCUCAGUGCUGGUGACCUCUCCUCCUCCUGCCGACAUCAGCGCUGAAUGCGCAUGCGCGGCAAGAGCCAUGCUCGCAUUCAAACCGCCCAUAGGAAAGCAUUACUCAAUGCUUUCCUAUGGACGUCCAGCAUCUUCUCACUGUGAUUUUCACAGUGAGAAUCGCGGAAGCGCCUCUAGCAGCUGUCAUUGAGACAGCCAUUAGCGGCUGGAUUAACCCUCCAUGUAAACAUAGCAGCCUCUCUGAAACUGCUAUGUUUUCAGCUGCAGGGUUAAAACUAGAGGAUGAUGGCUAAAAAUGUGAUAAAUAAACCUAAUAGGUGUAGGAUGAAAUGGAAAUGUAGAUUUCUAUAUGAAGUGGAAUAGGUAGAUACUGUGCCUUUAAGUGCUAAAAAUUAAGUGCUAUACCUUUAAGUGCUAUAACAAUGUAUAGGGAUCGUGGAUAAAAAGAGACAGCAAUGGAGGUGGAUGGAAGGUGGAGUAAAUAAUAAAAGAGGGAGGGGAUGGGUAAAAGUAAGUACAAUUAAAAAUAUAUUUAAAUAAAUAUUAAAAUAAAGAAAAUAUAUCAAUUAAAACAAAUGGUAAUAUAAGUAAACCACAAAAUGAUUGAAUAAACUCCUUGAACCAGUAUGUGCAAAACAAAGUGGGGGGUAGGUGAUACCAAAAAGUAUAUCAUUUUGGAAUAGGUAUCAAAGACAAAAAAGUUUUAAAAAGUAUCUAACUGUUAAGCAAUACAGUAUAUAGAACUGCAGGCUUGGAUACUAUGUACAAUGGAUCGUGAUUAACUGAAGCAAAGUAAACUGGAUAGGUAAUUAGGUUUGUUUAUCACAUUUUUAGCCAUCAACCACUAGCUAGCUCCUGGAGUCCACACACUAUAUUCUUAGUGUUUCUAUUUGUCUUCUACAUAGGUUUUUAGUGUAUCCCUAUUGUUUCCAGUUUGAGCAGCUUAGUGCGAGUCGGUCUUCCUCUUCCCUGUGUGUUACACUAGGUACACCAGAACAGUUUUCUUAUUAAAACUAGAGGGACCAAGCACCCAGACCACUUCAUUGAGCUUAAGUGAUCUAGGUGCCUAUAGUGGUCCUUUAAGAAAGAUGCUGACAUUUGUUCAUAUGAAGAUCUACAGUUUUGAUUGUGGUUGGUCAAUAGAGUAAUCUUCGUUAGGGGAGAGUCAGGGUAGUAGAGGAAGCCUCCUGUCUAUGAAGAAUCACAGGAUAAAAAAAAAAUUCACACAAUGACUCAUAUGCUUAAGCAAGUCAUGUGGAUUUAUAUGCAGGCAAUAUUGGCAUGUGAUGUCACUGCACACAAAAGAUCCUCUGUUUAUAAGGAAAUGAAAAUUUCAAGAAUCUUGAGUCUUUAACCCCUUAAGGACCAGACUGUUUUGGCCAUGUUGUAUGUUAAGGACCAGGGCUGUUUUAACACUUUAGUUUGUGUUUAGCUGUAAUUUUCUUCUCUCUCACACUGCUCUCAUAUAUGGUUUUUUUUGCAGGACAAGAAGGGCUUUCUUUACAUGCUAUUAUUUGUAUCGUGUCAUAAUUUACUUUAAAAAAAAAUAAAAUAUGGUGAAAAAUUAAAAAAAAUAAAAAUGUUUUUGACUUUUACUUGAAAAAUCUUUUACUUAUCUACAAUAGCUAAUGAAACAAACUGCUAAAUAGAUUCAACAUUUUGUCCUAAGUUUAAAAACACCCACUGCUUACAUGCUUUUUUGCUUGGACAGUUAUAGGGCUAUAAUUACAAGUUGGAAAUUGUGGUUUCAAAAUAUAAAUUUUUUAAAUGUGUCAAUAGUGACAUUGUAACACUAUUAUCUGUCAUAAAUCUCUGAAUCACAACCCACAUGUACAUAUUUUUUUUUUAAAGUAGACAACCCAGGGUAUUCCAUAUGGGGUAUGUCCAGUCUUUUUUAGUAGCCACUUCAUCAUAAACACUAACCAAAGUUAGCAUUAUAUUUGUUUGUGUGUUAAAAAUGCAAAACACAAUGAUGAACGCUAACUUUGGCCAGUGUUUGUGACUAAGUGGCUACUAAAAAAGACUGGACAUACCCCAUUUGCUAUACCUUGGGUUGUCUUCUUUUGCAAAUGGUAUGCGAUCAUGGGGGUAAUUCUCAUUCCUGGGCUACCAUACGCUCUCAAAAGUAACCUACCUGACAAAAUUUCAAUGUAAAAAAAAAAAAGGGAAAACCAAGCCUUAUAUUUGACCCAGUAACUUUCAAAAACACCAUAAAACCUGUACAUUGUAUAUUAGUGUUUCAAAACAGUAAAACGUAUCACAACAAUAUCAUCAGUGAAAGUGCCGUUUGUGUGUGAAAAAUGCUAAAAAUGUCAUCGCUGUGAUAUGUUUUACUGUUUUGAAACAUUAAUAUUUGUGUUCAUUGAAGUCUCCCAAGUAAAGCAGUACCCCCCAUGUACAUGUUUUAGGGGGUCUUGGAAAGUUACAGGGUUAAAUACAGUGCUUGUCUAAAAUAUCAGUACGUCAAUGACUACCGUUUAACAUUCCACUUUUUGAAUGAACGAUAAGGUGUAAGAGAAACAAUAUCGCAACAUAUUACUAAGGACUUAAAUGCUUAGCACAAACAGGACAACAUGGUUGUUGAUGUAUCCUAAGUAUUAGAUUUACCGUUAUAAUUUUUGUGUAUAUAUACAUAAGUGUAUGAGAGAGAGAGAGUUACCAUUUUCCAUGAUUCACUAUAAAUUGCUUUAUACCAGUUCUUUGUUGGAAGUCAUGAUGACUGCAGUUGCUAAAAUGACUUUCUGGGAAUCCAUCCAAGUUGAUUGUUAAACUGUGUUAUUGUUACUUUAUCAUAUACAGGCUAUAGUGCCUCCAGUUGUAUUUAGGGUUAAAUGGAUAAUACUUUGUUAAGAAAAUGUAAUCAUAUUAUUGUAGUUUGGAAUUUGGACGUACACUUAGAUUCCCAUGUGAUCUUUUAUGGUGAGUAAUUAAAGGACCACUAUAGUGCCAGGAAAACAAACUUGUUUUCCUGGAACCAUAGGAUAUUAGGUCGUCGACCCCACCCUCAUGCCCCCCUCCCGCUGGGCUGAAGGGGUUGAAAACCCUUCAGCCACUUACUUUUCUCCAGCGCUGGGUUCCCCAGACUGUCUGUCUGUAACUGUGUGUGUGUGACUGUCUGUAACUGUGUGUGUGUGACUGUCUGUAACUGUGUGCGUGUGAAUGUCUUCCUGUGACGCUGCCGGUAACUGUGUGUGUGUGACUGUAACUAUGUGUAUGACUGUCUGCCUGUGACCGUGUGUGUGACUGUAUAUGUGACUGUCUGCCUGUAACAGUGUGCGUGACUGUGUGGUUACUGCUUGUAACGGAAUGUAUGUGUAACUCUCUACCUGUAACUGUGUGUAUGACUGCCUGUGACUAUAUAUGUGACUGUCUGCGUGUGACUGUGUGCGUGUGACUGUGUGCCUGUAACUGUGUGUGAGGGGGUGCAGGGAUUUUGUAAAAGGAGGCAGAGGUUUUAAAAAAAAUGAACAAACUUGUGCAAUACAUUAAAAAAAAGAAAGAAAGAAAAAAAGAACACAUUUAAAAAAUGUAGUAGGUGACUUUUUUUGUUUUGUUUUUUUGGAGGGGGGGGUGCCAAACCCAGGACCCGUCCCGGGUGCCACAUGCUCUAGGUACGCAGCUGCGCGUUCAAACCACCCAUAGAAAAGCAUUACUCAAUGCUUUCCUAUGGACGUCCAGCGUCUUCUCACUGUGAUUUUCUCUGAAACUGCUAUGUUUUCAGCUGCAGGGGUAAAACUACAGGCACCUGGCACUCAGACCACUUCAUUGAGCUGAAGUGGUCUGGGUGCCUAUAGUGGUCCUUUAACUUUGAAAUGUUUGGCAAACAUUAGGGCUUAUAUUUAUUUUUAAGCUACCGAAUAUACUCGAGUAUAAGACGAGUAUAAGACGACCCAAAUAUAAGUCGAGGCCCCUAAUUUUACCACAAAAAACUGGGAAAACUUAUUGACUCGAGUAUAAGACUAGGGUGUGAAAUGCAGCAGCUACUGGUAAAUUUCUAAAUAAAAUUAGAUCCCAAUAAAAUUACAUUAAUUGAAUAUUUAUUUAAAGUGUGUGUGUGUGUGUGUGUGUGUAGUGUGUGUAUAUAAUGAAUGCAGAAUGUGUGUGUUUGUGUGCAUGCAGUGUGUGUGUAUAUAAUGAAUGCAGUGUGUGUUUGUAAGAGUGUGUGUGUAUAUAAUGCAGAGUGUGUGCAUUAUAUACACACACUCUGCAUUAUAUACACACACUGCAUUCAUACAAACACACACACACUGUAUUCAUACAAACACACACACUCUGCAUUAUAACACUGCAAAACACUGCUGGACAAUUUAAGAUGGCCGCUGCCACAUGUUUGAAUCUGUUCCAGUUAAAAGUCCAAAGGGCAGAAACAGUGCCCUUAAAAUCAAAUAUGCCCAAAUAGUGUUUUUAAAGGGAAAUAUAUCCCAGGGGCCACAGGGCAAGAGACUGGCAAGCAGUUCUCUCCAAAUCCCAGCUUUCGUCACAACUGGAUUAAUAUAUACCCUUAAUGGAAGCGAAUUAGGGAUAGCCACACACGAAAAGGACUUGGGAAUUGUUAUAGACAACAAACUAUGCAACAAUGUGCAAUGUCAAUCAGCAGUGGCCAAGGCCAGUAAGGUAUUGUCAUGCAUGAAAAAGGGCAUUCAUUCUCGGGACGAGAAUAUCAUUUUGCCUUUUUAUAAAUCACUGGUAAGACCACAUAUUAAAUAUGCUGUGCAAUUUUGGGCACCUGUUCUAAAGAAGGAUAUUAUGGCACUGGAAAAAGUGCAGAGGCGGGCUACAAAAUUAAUAAAAGGAAUGGAACACAUCAGCUAUGAAGAAAGGUUAACAAAUUUACACCUAUUUAGUUUAGAAAAACGUCGCCUGAGAGGGGAUAUGAUAACUGUUAUGAGACCAAUCUCGCCACUGUGCAUUGGAGGAGCCUGGUUGCUCGCCUGCUGCCUUUAGACUAUGACCCCAUGUUGAAAUGCUUGAUUUUCCCCUGCGAAGACACGAAAGCUGGGUCAUUUGGUGCUGGCCCUGUUUGAGCGGUGAUACCCCAGAUAGCUAUGUCAUGGAGCCCAUUCGUAUAAUGAAAGACUAUGGGAAAGACUUUGGCUCCAUGGCAAUUGAACUGUAUGUGUGUGCUCUGAGCACCAUUCAGUAAUAAUGUGCGCUCAGAUCUGAGCUAUCUGAGGAUAUGUUGACUGUGCCGGUUUUGUGCAAUGGCUGCACAGUUAUGUGUUUUUAUGUGUUUUAUUGUCUUUUGCUUCCAUGUGUUCAAUGGAGUUUUGACUCUGUCCUUGGAGAUAAUUGGAUUACUUCCCAAUUAUCUCCAGGAUAGAAGACUCUGUGGAACUGGUUUUGGGCAGAAAAGCCAUGCUUCAUUUGGUCACAAAGGACUUCGAUCUAUCUUUUGAACCAGUGGACCAAUUUGGAUGAUUAUGACAUAUGUUUGUAUUUGGAGUAUGCUUAUUCUGAAAAAUGUAUGUGAAUGUGAUGCAUAGUUUUCAAGUUAUUAAUAAUGUGGAAAAACUGUAUUUCUCUGCCGGUGAUAAUUACAUUACCCAUUGUGUAAGGUAAUUGAAUCACAGGCAGAGGGGAGGAUUUUGUGUGGGAGUGUCUGAGUGUAUUGUAUGUGUUUAUUGGUUGUUUUCCAAAACCCUGUGGGUGGUACUAAUGUGUAUAUAAGAACAAUAAACCCACAGCUCUGACUGUUCACUGCUUGACCCUCAAAACAGAGCCUUGUCUUGUUCUUGGGGGGAUUUAUUGUAUGCUGUUCCAGUUUGACUGCUAGGAGUGUUAACCUAUUCGUAUGGUUUUUCCUAUUCGGCUGUUUAUGGCAUUCAUAUGGUUUCCUGGUUGGUGGAUUGGUGUUCUGCAGUAGCUGUGCCUGUGUCUCUGGAAGGGAAGAUCUACUAAAUGGCGGUUUAACCCUUUAAUGCCUGGGGGUGCCGUUACAAUAACAUUAUACAAAUAUAUUCGGGGCCAAUACAAACCAUUGUGUGGAAAUCUAUUCACAAACCGGGCUUUACAUAGGACACGAGGUCAUGCGUUUAGACUGGAAGAAAGAAGAUUUUGUCUAAGGCAAAGGAAAGGUUUUUUUUUACUGUAAGAACAGUAAGGAUGUGGAAUUCUGUGCCUGAAGAAGUGGUUUUAUCAGAGUCCAUACAGAUGUUCAAACAGCUACUAGAUGCAUACUUGCAAAAACAGAAUAUUCAAGGAUAUAAUCUUUCAAUGUAGGCAGGGCCGGAUUAACAUAGGGGCUGAUGGAGCUGCAGCUCCAGGCCCAGGCCCAUGGAAUAGGCCCAUUGAUUUAAAAAAAUAUAUAAAAAAAUGUCUUCUUCCACACACUACUCUCAGGGAUUCCACCUGGCUUUUAUUUUAUUGGCACAGCCAGUAUUUGAGGCUGCCUGGCUGGUGCCAAUAUUGCAGUGAUACUGGCAAUACAAAUGCUGGUAUUUUUUUCAUUAUAAACAAGAGAUUACUAUGCAAUACCAGCACUGGCCAGUAGGGGUCACUGUAUGUGGAGACAGGCAGGGAUAGGAAUUUCCAGCGUAUCCCUCCCUGCCUAUCUAUACUCACUGAUCUGCAGGGGUGCAGCUACAGAGAGUCCAGACAGCAACUCCCACCCUGCAGAGACAGCCUACAGCUCAGGGAAGUAAGGGAUGGGGUGAAAGGCUGCAAGGAGACAUACACUGAGACACUAUGGGAGACAUUAUGACACAGACACAUGGGGACACAGUGUCCCCAUGUCUCCCAGCCAGUGUCCCUGGUGUCUCAGUGCCCCCUAGUCUCUCAGUGACCCCUGGUCCCCCAGUCUGCCAGUGUCUCACUGUCCCCAUGUCUCCUAGUGCCUCCAUGUCUCUCAGUGCCUCAAGUGUCACAAUGUCUGCAAGCUAGUGUCCCUAGUGUCUGUGGCCCUGGUGUCUCAGUGUCCCCAUGUCUCCCAGUCCCCCCAUGUCUCAAUGUCCCCAUGUCCCCCAGCCAGUGUCUCUAGCGUCUGUGUACCUGGUGUCUGUGUCCCAAUGUAUUCAAGUGUCCCCUAUUUUCCCAUUGCCCCCAUGUGUCCCAGCCAGAGUCCCCUAGUCUCCCAGUGUCACUGGUGUCUCCGUGUCCAUAGGUCUCCCCGUGUCCCCAGGUCUCCCCAUCUUCCUAGUGUCCUAGUGACAUGGGGCACUGAGACACUGAUACAUAGGAACACUGAGACCUGGAGUAAUCGACACAUGGGGGCACUGAGUCACGAGGGCACUGGGAGACAUGGGGGCACUGGGAGGAAUCCAUCUAUACAGCAGAAUCAAACUAAGUAGUUUUUGGGUGAUUUUACAGCAUUUUCUCUUAUGUCACUCCUUGUAAUUUACAUCAUCUGAUGUCACCCAUACAUAUUUAAUUAUGCAAAUUAGUAAGGCCGGUUUGUUUUUCCAAGAAAGGUGGCAACCCUAACUACUUUUCACAUACUCUUAAUUAAGUAUGGAAACUUAAGAGGGAUGUAUGGGAACAAAACUUGUGUGGACUGGCUGACAAUGAAUAUAGUUAAAGGGACACUAUAGUCACCGGAACAACUACAGCUUAUUGAAUUUGUUUUGGUGAGUAGAAUCAUUACCGUCAGGCUUUUUGCUGUAAACACUGUCUUUUCAGAGAAAAUGCAGUCUUUACAUUACAGCCUAAAAUGUAUCCAAACAUUCAGUGUCUCCUCCCUCUGCAUGCAGACACUGAACUUUCCUCAUUCAUUAAUUCAAUGCAUCUCUAUAAGGAGAUGCUGAUUGGCCAGGGCUGUGUUUGAAUCAUACUGGCUCUGACCCUGAUCUGCCUCUUUGUCAAUGUCAGCCAAUCCUAUGGGGAAGCACUGUGAUUUGAUCAGGCCACCACUUCUAAUGAUGUCAGCAGACUGCUUGUUUUUAUGAGUCUAACAGAAUGCAGAGUUACAGCUUCAAGCUUGAAUAUAGUAAGAUUUUGCUAUAUUUAUGGAGGCAUGAGGGGCCCAGGGGGGCUAGAUGGUGGUGUUAACACUAUAGGGUCAUUGUACAGUACCCACUGUACAGCGCUACGGACUUUGUUAGCGCUAUAUAAAUAAUAAAAUAAUAAUAAUAAUAAUAGGGUCAUGAAUUCAUGUUUGUGUUCCUGACCCUAUAGUGAUCCUUUAAGGUAAUGCUGACUUUGGUCUCUCUAACACUGUGACAUGUUCCCUUUCUUCUACACUCACUACAUACAGCUUUUCUCUGUCCCAGACUAUAUACCAGGAGCUUCUGCCUGCUACUAAGAAGGUAAGGAGACAAGUGGACCAGCGAGUGCUAGGGGACAGUCCUUAGAAAGCGUUGAGUGAGCGCAUCAUUAGAUGCAUUUAUGCCAAGCUCAGGGUGCUGUCUGCAUAGCAUGCCCUUAGUUGGCCAGCUGCAUUCAUGCCAGGUGGACCUUCUAAUUCUUUGGGCAGACAUGUCCUCUUUUUGGGCAUGUUCGCCCCUUUUGGCAGGUUACGUGAUUUGUGUCAAUCUCACAACCUUUUACCUUCCUGCUUGACUGGACACUGCUGUUAGGGGUUAUGGAUUUACUUGAAAGAUGAAAACAUAAAUUAGAGAGAGAUUAGCCUAAGGUAUGUGUUUUCUUAUGGCGGCUGUUUUCUAUCUCUCCAGCACCAUCUCCAUCAGAUACAUGACGCUUGGGAGUGUUUUACUGUUUUUAGUCGAUAUGAUUCUGUAGUUAUGCCUGUCAUAAUUGUCAGCACCAGGCCCACUGGGCUCUUAAUCUGGCCCUGAAUGUAGGGUAAUAACUGCUUGAUCCAAGGAUAAAUCUGACUGCCAUUCUGGGGUCAAGAAGGAAGUUUUUUCCUAGCUUGUGGCAAAAUUGGAAGUGCUUCAAACUGGUUUUUUUUGCCUUCUUUUGGAUCAACAGCAAAAAACAAAUGUGAGGAAGGCUGAACUUGAUGCACGCAAGUCUCUUUUCAGCUAUGUAACUAUGUAACUAUGUAACUAUGUAAAGGGACAUGCAUCACUUUGAGACAACUGUCUCAUUAAACAUAUGUAGCUUUGAAUGAGACAGUUGCCUUACUCUGCAAGUUGAAAAAAAUUGAAGAAGUGCGCAUUGAAAGUCAUUUGUCUGUGUUUGCAGAUGACACAAAACUAGGUAUGCUAAUGCAGUCAGCACAUGAUAUAACUUCUCUACUGAAGGAUUUUCAUAAAGUGCCAAAUGAGAUUCAAGACAGAUAAAUGCAAAGUCAUGCAGUUUUGAAUAAGAAACCCAGGGCCGCCAUCAGAAAUUGUCUGGGCCCCUGGGGGCCUGCCUCCAAAUCCCGCCCACAGGAAUACACACACACACACACAGACACAGAUACACACACUGAAAGAUACACACAUACUAACAGACAUAAAUACUGAAACAGACAUACACACUGUAACGAGAAUAUACCCCUACACGCAGGAUCCAGCUAAACAGAGGCAAAUACAGAGGAGAGAUACGUCUACCGGACCUUAGAAUGCCCGGACUCGACGUAUAUGAGAGGAGACAGAGCCAGGAACAAACCGAGGUCAAGGGCACAGAGAGACAGCGUAAACUAGGACAAGCCGGGGUCUGGUACACGGAAAACAGCAAGCCGGCAAACAGUACAGAUAAGGAUAAAGCGAAAACGAAGUCAGAAUAUGAAGCCAAAGUCAAUACGAGAAAACACAACUGAACACCACAAGCGCUAAAGGGAACUGAAACAGAAACCACGAUAGGGCAACGAGCUAAGGGAAAAAGGUAAGUUAAAUAGCUUUUAAACCAAAGUGAUUGGCUCCUGUCACUUCCACACCCCCUAUAGGUAAUUGUACAGGGAGUGUGGUAUGACAGGAGCCAAUGGGAGCCUUUUGGCAAUUAGGCUCCCACUGUCUCUUUAAGAGUGACUGGCCGUCACUUCCUCCCAUCAGCCCUUGUGGUGCAGCCGCAAUUUUUUUUUUUUUUAAAGGGACCCGGUCGUGCUAUUACGUGGCCGCAGCGCUGACCGGGCCCCUGAAGAUAUAGGGCCCAUCGGUGGCCCUAAAUGCUUGGGCCAUCUGAUGGGCCCCGGUACAGAUGCACCUGCAGCAGUUUCGCCGCUCCACGUGGGGCCCUGGGUGGCCAGGCCCCCCAGCCUGUGACAACCGUCAUGGUUGUCACCUCCUGAUGGUGGCCCUAAAGAAACCCACAGGCCACUUAUACAGUCGUGCUCAAAAGUUUGCAUACCCUUGGAGCAUUGGUAGUAUAUGUACAAUUUUUAAAGAAAAUAUGAGUGGGCAGGCAAAACACAUUUCUUUUAUUUCGGAUGGCAUUCAGAAUUAACUGUAGGUUAUACAGGGCCAGACUGGGGAUACAAAGCAGCCCUGAAAAAAAAAAUAUAUAUAUGCCAACCCCAAAAGUCAGUGUGCCAUAUAUUGUCGCAUUUAAUAUGUAAGGCUAUGUCUUGCCACCCCAGAUGAUUGAGUAAUUUAUAUUUAUAUUUAUUUAUAUAUAUAUUUUAAUAAUACACACAUUUUAUUUCUUAUAGAUAGUAUCAGAUGGAUUUUAGAAAAUAAUUAUUUUAAUUUUAAUUUUAAAUUUUAUCUACAACUACAAGGUACGGCUAUGGGGACCAGGUUCGCCCCUAGUUACGCUAAUUUAUUUAUGUCAGGUUGGGAAUCGGAAGUUAUUUAUAAUAGCCAUAAUUGGGGGACGAAUCUGGUCUCCUACCAUAGAUAUAUCGAUGAUAUAUUUUUUAUAUGGAAGGGCACACAAUUGGAUUUAGAACUUUUUUUAACAAGUAUCAAUUCAAAUGAGUGGGGUUUACAUUUUAGCAGUUCUUUUAGCAGUCAAAAUAUUCAAUUUUUAGAUUUGGAAAUUUAUGAAGAAGCCGGCAUUUUAAAAACAAAUUUUUUUUUUAAAAGUAGAUGCCAAUAGCUAUGUACUAUAUAAUAGCGGGCAUUACACCCCCUGGCUCAAUAAUAUUCCAAAAGGCCAAUUACAAAGGAUAAGAAGGAACUGCACCGAACAGAAUGUUUUUGAAGAACAAGCAAAAAUAAUAGACAAAUUCUCCCAAAAACAAUAUCCCACUGACAUACUAUGUAGAGCAUAUGAGGAAACAAAAGACCUGGAGCAGAAUCAAUUGGUUUUUAGAGAAAGUAAUUACAAUAAAAUACAAGGGAAAUUUGAUAAGGUACCUUUAGUUUUAGAUUUUAAUCAGGAUUUUAAAAGAGUGAAAUCUAUUAUUAACAAACAUUGGCACCUUCUAAAAAAGGAUAGAGAACUAUCGGCAAUUAUUCCAGAGAAACCUUUUAUCACUUUUAGAGGUGCACCUAGCCUAAAGCAGAUUUUGACUUUCAAUCACCCAAGAAAGGAGGCACCCGAUACGUUUUUAAGUGUGAAUAGAAAAGGUUUCUAUUCAUGUGGAAAAUGUGUAGGAUGUAAAUGUAGCAAAAAUAAUACUAUAAAAGGUAUUAGUAAAUUCAAGACAAAAUAUACAACAGAAGAAUAUAUCAUUAAGGAUUUUAUUACUUGUUUUACUAAAAACAUUAUAUACCUUUUAAUAUGUCCAUGCGGACUCCAAUAUGUGGGCAGAACUAUUCGCCCUUUACAUAAGAGAAUUUAUGAACAUGUCAAUAAUAUUCGAAAAGGCAUAGACCAUCAUAGUGUGUCCGCUCAUUUUAAAAAAUAUCAUAAUAAAGAUCCUAGUGGCCUCACAUUCUUAGGAAUUCAAAUUGUUAAAAAACCAUGGCGAGGAGGUAACUUCAUUCAAUGUAUAGGAAAAGAAGAGAUGAAGUGGGUUCACACACUGGAGACCCUUGAACCAAAAGGUCUUAAUAUUGAAUUUGAUUUAUAUAAUUUUAUUAUGUGAAUUUUAUAUUUUAGAUGAAUUUUUUAUCUGAGAAUAAUUACUCUCUCUUCUUUCCACUCAUUAGUAGGUGCAAUUGCAUUUAUGUAUUUUAAUGGAGGAUUCUUUCUUUUUAGAUUUUAUAUGUUUAGUAUAGUUAAUAUGUUUAUGACAUUUCAUGAUUUUGUUUGGGACAUGUAUGUACUUUUAUUAUUAUGUAUAUUAUUAUUUUUUUGCCAUAUUUUUUUGCCAUAUUCCAUUUACUGCUUGGGACUUCUUUAUAUAGAUAUUUAGGGGAUCUACCCCGUUCAUAUGAGACUUUGGCCAUUCAUUUACAUAUUUCACGCCCACAAUGUGGGCUUUAAAAGUCAGGACCAGCUGUAUUAGGACGUGAUCUGAGGAAGCCUUUUCUGGGCGAAACGCGUCAUCACGUUCGCAUACGACGUCAUCACGUUAUCACGUGACCGCACGGAGCUCCAAACCCGGAAGUGCCCUGUAUAGUGCCGCGAGUUGCAGAGAUUGUGAACCCUGGUGUGUUCAUUUCUUCAAGUAUCUAAUGGGACACUGGCCUUCUAUGGGGGAAAAGGAGUUUUUGUAUUUGGAAGAAAUAAAUAUCGUUUGAUUCAGCUGGCGUCCUGCUCUUCACUGUCAUCAAAUCCCUGUGUUGUGGAUUACAUGCUGAAAAGUUAGAGCAGACUUUCACUGCUCUUUCCUUGUGAGUUUUAUUCCAUUUCUCUUGGCUGUUUUUAUGUUAUUUGAAACAGUAUUAUGCUAUAUGCUUUCUCUUUUUUAUGUACCAUACCAUAUGCAUUUUACAUUGAGACAUAUUUCCCUACUGUAAGUGACCAUUUAUAUAUUUUUUUAUCACUCUUCACUUGCAAGUUUUGCACAUUUAUUAUAUUGAGUGUGAUUUUAUUGAAUAUACACUUUUCAUUGCACGAUUUUUUUUGCACUUGUUGCACUUUAAAUUUUAAAGGUACAGCGCACCUUUUUUUGUUUUAUAUCCUUUGUAUGGUGUUUUUUGAGCUUGUGCACUUUUAGGUGCUGCUCUACCUUUAUUCUUAAUAUUUGCACUGAUACAUUUAUAUUUUUAGCGCCUAUAUUGCUUGUUUGUUUGUUUUUUUAUAUAUAUAUAUAUAUAUAUAUUUUUUUUUUUUAUUUUUUUUUAUAUAAAAUAUUGGUCCUUUCAGAGUAAAUAUUUAAUUAUACAGUAAGCAUACUCACAUGCAGACACAGACAGAAUCUCACUGACACACACAAGCUCAUUGAUACACAGCCUCAUAGACAAAUAGUCUCACAUAUAUACAUAAGCUCAUUGACAUAAAAACACAAGCUCACUCACUAGCAGGCACACACACACACAAAUGCAAGCAAGCUCACUCACUAGCAAGCGCACAUACACACACAGCGCUUAAUGUAGUGGUUCUAGUGUAUAUAGCCUGUCCCUGCAGGCUUUUCAGUGUAAACACUGACUUUUCAGAGAAAAGGCAGUGUUUACAUUGCUUCCUAGUGACACCUCUAGUGACAGUCACUCAGACUGUCACUAGAGGUGCUUCCUGUUUCAGUGCUGCACAGUGUGCAGCACCUACAUUCUGAGCCUUCAGGCUAUGGAGGCGCUGAACGUUCCCCAUAGAGAUACAUUGAUUCAAUGCACCUCUAUGAGGAGAUGGUGAUUGGUGUAGAGUUUUGCAGCCAAUCCUAUGGCACAGCAUUAGAUUAGCUGAGAUCAUCAAUUUAGAAAAUUUCAGCCAUAGAGACAGGGCUUGUUAAGGAGAGACCAACACGGCAUGGGGAAAAACACUAUUUUUAAACACAAACCUUGACAGACACACACACACACACACACCUUGACAAACACGCACACCUUGACAGACACACAGAAACACACACAUACCAUGACAGACACACACAGAAACACUCACACAGACUGACAUUUUUACCAGUCGUGCAGGGCAGAAAGCUGGGUAUGAUGGCGGCCGAUGGGGGAGCUCUGAUGAAGGGCAUUGGCCGUUACUGGGCGAGCUGUGCUGUCACUGCUCUGCUCCUCAGCACGCAGCUCAAUGAGACUAGGGCUGGAAUAUGACGUCAGGGCGGGGGGAGCAGAGCAGUGACAGCACAGCUCCCCCAGCGGCCGCCAAUGCCCUCCAUCAAAGCUCCCCCAGCAGCUGCCAUCACACCCAGCUGUCUGCUCUGCCCCAGGUGCCGACGGCCCAUAGGGAAAUUUCCCGGUAUAUAUCGGUGGGCCAGUCCAGCCCUGAGGUUAUAACAAAAUGGUACAAUCAUAAAACAAAACAUGGCAACAAAUGAAAAAAUGAAAUGACCCCUGUUCAAAAGUCUGCAUACUGUAUAUUGCCCCCUUUAGCAUCAAAGACAUCGUGCAGUCCUUUGUAAUAGUGGUCUAUGAGGGCCCUAAUUCUUGCAGGUAGUAUAGCUGCCCAUUCGUCUUGAUAAAAUACCUCCAGGUCAUGCAAAGGCUUUGGUCAUUUUGCAUGAACCGCACAUUUGAGAUCUCCCCAGAGUGGCUUGAUGAUAUUAAGAUCUGGAGACUGAGAUGGCUACUCCAGAGCCUAUACCUUUUGUUCAGUAUCUAUCCUGCUCAGCGCAUCCAUGUGAGAGCGAACAAACUCAUUGACUAUAUAUACACAGACAGUAAUUACAAUUUAAAAAGCCACAGAUGUGGUAAAUUAACCUUUAAUUGCCAUUUUAACCUGCGUGUUUUACCUUGUGUGGUUGUAACAAGGCCAAACAUUCAAGGGUAUGUAAACUUUUGAUCAGGGCCAUUUAAGUGAUUUCUAUUAUCAUUAUGAUUAAAAAAGGAGCCAAACAACUAUGUGAUAAUAAAUGGCUUCAUAUGAUCAUUAUCCUUCAAUAAAAGACAUUUUACUUUGCAUGUCAUAUUUUCAAAGUCAAUGCCAAAAUGUCAAAACUUUUGCUGUGGUAUGCAAACUUUUGAGCACAACUGCACAUUAAAUGGGGAUGAAUUGGAGAUAAUAUUAAAUGAAAGGAUUUUGGAAAAAUUUGCUCUUGUGCAUAACAAGGGGUUUUGAUUUAUGUGAUCAAAAUGAAAUUUUGCCUCUUUAGUAAUCAAUGGUAAGACCCCACCUUGAAUAUGUGGUAAAUUUUGGGCGCCAGUUUUAAAGAGAGAUAUUGCAGAACUAGAAAAAGUGCAUAGGUACACUACAAAAUUAAUUAGGGGAAUGGAAAACAUAGUUAUGAGGAAAAGAAGAAAAACUACAUGUGUAUCCUUUAGAAAAAAAGGCAUCUUAGAGGGGCUACGAUAUCACUACACAAAUAUAUACAGUGUCAGUACAAACCGCUAUGUGCGAACCUUUUUAUUAGCAGGAAUAUUCAAUAGACAAGAGGUCAGCCAUUGAGACUGGAAGAAAGACAUAUUUGCUUAUAAUAGAGGGAAGUAUUCUUUACACUAAGAAGACUAAAGAUGUGGAUUUCUCUGCCUAAUGAGGUUGUGUUGUCAGAUUCAAUGAAAAUAUUAAAAAAAAUAAAGGCUUGAAUGUUUGUCAUAAACAGAAUAUUCAAGGAUAUAAUUGAUAUGUAUGUAAACAGGUUGUUGAUCAAAGGUGAAAUCUGAUUGCCAUAAGGAGUCAAGAAUCAAUGUAUUCCCUUUUUGUGACAUAAUUGGAAAUGGCUACAAUUGUUUUUUUCAUUCUUUUGGAUAAACAGCAUAAAAGAAUGGGUUUCAAGGUUAAACUUGAUGGACAUUUUUCAAUCUAGAAAACUAUGUAACUAUAUUGCCUUCACGUUAUUUUUUUGUCUUUAUCAUAUAUGUAGAAAGAAAUACCGUACCCCUUACAAUGUUGCAAGGUUCACUGCUGAAGUACAUUAUCGGAAUAGAGUGUCCCUUUAAGAAGCUGUGAGAAUGGUACAAUGAAAAUUAUGACACGCAUUGGUAAGGAUCUCUAAUAUCUAGCUGAUCCAGUUUAGGAGAAUGUCAACCAUAAUUCCCAGGUUACAAAGCUGUGAUGUGCUGUAAUAUUUAGGUCUCCUUUAUGAUCUCAAAUUAUAUGACUGCAUUUAAAGGUCAACAUGACCUUCUAAAACACAAUGGCACAUUUAUAGUUGAGGUUAUUUGUAAAAGAAGAGGCCAAUUCUCCAGAGAGACGCAGACUUCAUGAACCUGGAUUAAUUAAUGUGAUAAGUUUAUUAAAAAGGAAUAAUACACCAAAGAGCAUUUAAAAAUGUGGACAAAAUGAAGUACUUGGGAGUUCCUGCCAUGGCCUGAUCCCUUUAUCACAUCAAGAAUUCUACUUUUACAAAGAAAAUAGCCCACGUUUCCUCCAUUUUCAGCAUAUAAUAGCUUUAACCAGCUACAGCCCCACAGUGCAAUAUGUGCCAGCCGUUUGAGUUUAGCCAGAACAUAGAAUAUGACCAUAAAUCUAAGAGGGUUUAUUUUAAUCCUGUUAAUUAUAGGUUUUUGGAUAAUGAAUGACCUUCAAAAAGAGAACUUGGCCUUCCAGUGCAGGUUCUGUCUCAAACAAGCCAGAGUUUGAAAACAUGGGGAACUAAUUUUCCCAAGUGUGAAUUUUGGUAGUGAAUCCUUAUAGUAAUUAUAGUUGGUGUUUUGAUGAUUUUGUCUAAAGGAAAGGUGAGCUUGCAUAAAAUAAACUUUGUUUCUUGUACCCAGUAACUAUGUAACUGCCCAGGAAUAUUCCCAGGGAACCUGUACUAAUUUAUUGUCAGUGGUAUCACAGAAUGGUUAAAGAGAGCGAUCGCUCCUCCUGCUUCUAGCAGCUGGAGAUGUCUCUCCCAACCCAGGACCCGUCAUCUCCUCUACUCACACUAGUCAACCAGAAAUCACACAAACUUCAUCCCAAUACCAUGCCGUCUAUCCACAUCUACCAAUAUGCAGUAUGCUCUCUGGAGUGCCCGCUACAUCUGUAGCAAUAUAAAAUCAACAGCCAUACACAACCUCUUCAUUUCAAAUUCUUUCACACUUCUUGCACUCACUGAGACCUGGCUUUCCCCUUUUGAUACUGCUACUCCUGCUUCCUUAUGUUAUGGUGGGCUACAAUUCUCCCACACUCCUAGAUCAAACAACUGUAAAGGAGGUGGUGUAGGAAUCCUCUCCCAUCAACAUACCUUUCAACCUAAGCUCCCUGCCCCUGCCCUAUCCUUUACUUCCUAUGGAGUUCACACUGUCUGUCUAUUUAAACCCACUCCUCUGAGAAUUGCCCAUUCAUUUAACACUUUUCUUCAUGGCUACCCCAUUUCCUCCCCUCUUGCACUCCUUCCCUCAUACUUGGGUACUUAAUACCCCAAUCAACAACCCUAACUGCCCUAAUGCCUCUCAUCUGCUCGCUGUAACCUCCUCUGGUGGACUCACACAGUGGUCUAAUUCAUAAACUCAUACAGCAGGAAACACUAUUGACCCCAUCUUCAUCAAUCUCUGUACCAUCUCUAAUCUCUCCAAUGUUCCAUUUCCUCUGACCACUAUCUGCUGUCCAUUGACAUUUGCAUAACCCGUACCCAAAGUACACCACCCUCACCACAUCAGUCUUGCAGAAACCUCCAUUGUCUUGACCUACAGCAAUUCUCCACCAACCUUCAAAGUUUCCUUUCACCCAUCUCAAAUCUCACCUGCCCUAACACUGCAACCUCCCUCUAAAACUCCACUCUCUCCUCUCAACUAGACAUCCUGGCACCACCUACACUUAUGCGCACUAAGCGCCCCCAAUUACAACCGUGGCACACCAAGCUGACCCGAUACCUCCAAAAAUGUUCUAAAACUGCUGAACGCUGCUGGAGAAAGUCUCACUCUGCAUCUGAUUUCCUCCACUCUAAGUUUAUGCUGCGCUCCUACAGUCUGGCUCUUUCACCUUCAAAAGAAAACUACUUCAAUACACUCAUAACCACAUUCUCACAUGAGCCCAAAUGACUGUUUCAUGCUUUUAACUCUCUUCUUCCUUGAAUCCAACUCUCUCUGCUUUCAAUCUGGGUUUCGCCCUCGUCACUCUGUUGAAACAGCUGUGACCAAAGUAUCCAACGAUAUCAUCACUGUAAAAUCCCAUGGCCAUUACUCUAUCCUAAUUCUCCUCUACCUUUUUGCUGCUUUUGACACUGUUGAUCAUCAACAGCUUAUUCUAAUCCUCCGUAAUCUCAGUCUACGAGAUACCGCUCUCUCCUGGUGCUCUUUCUACCUCUCCCAGUACUCAUUCAGUGUUUCAUUCUCUGGCUCUGCCUCUUCUCCCCAAUCCCUCUCUGUUGGUGUUUCCCAAGUGCCUAUCCUCUGCCUCUUCUCCCCAAUCCCUCUCUGUUGGUGUUUCCCAAGUGCCUAUUGUUCUCAAUCUACACUGCCUCCCUUGGUAAACUCAUCAGCUCCUUCGGCUUCCAGUAUCAUUUCUAUGUGGAUCACACACAAAUUUAUCUGUCCUCCCCUGAUUUGCUAUUUCCAGCUGGAUGACUGCUCAUUUCCUUAAACUGAACCUGUCCAAAACAAAACUUCUGGUCUCCCUCAAGUGUUGCUACUCCCUUGUCUGUGUCCCUCCAAGUCAAUGGCGCUACCAUCCGCUCUACCUCUAAGGCUCGCUGCCUCAGUGUUCUCUUUGACUCCGACCUCUCCUUCACCUCUCAUGUUCAAUCAAUCCCCAAAUCCUGCCGCUUUCAUCUCAAAAAUAUUGCACGCAUCAGACUCUUUUUAACGCCUGAUACAGCAAAGGUGCUUGUCCAUGCCGCUGUCCUCUCUCGUCUUAACUACUGUAAUCCGCUUCUCAGUGGUUUUACGUGUUCCCAUUUUGCCAUGUUACAGUCUAUAAUUAAUGUGGGCUCGUCUUCCUGUCUGCCCGCACCUCCCACGCCUCCUCGCUUUGUCAGUCCCUACAUUGGCCCUGCGUAAGGUAUGGGACUCAAUUUAAGAUCCUGAUACUUGCUUACAAAUCGUUUCCCAAUGCUGCUCCAACAUACUUAUCCUCACUAAUACACAAAUAUGCCCCAUCUAGGCCUCUACGCUCUGCCGGAGACCUAUGUCUAACCUCUGUUCAUACCCCUACCUCUGAUGCUCACGUUAAAGACUUCUCUAGGGCUGCACCGUUCCUAAGGAACGCAAUUUCCCUCUCUGUUAGACUUUCACCCAAUCUCCACUCCUUCAAAAAAGCUUUGAAAACUUACUUCUUUAGGAAAGCAUAUCAAUUAAACUGUGAACAGCUUUCCCUCCCCGCACCCUCAUUCAGCACCUGAAACGGUCAUCAAAACAAAACACUAUCCUAGCAACCUACUUUUCUACCCUACCCUUACCUUUUGUGUCACAUUACCCCACUCCCUCUAGAAUGUAAGCUCAUUGAGCAGGGCUUUCAAUCCCUCUGUUCCUGUGUGUCACGAUUCUGGAACCUAACACGCUAACUGGAUACAGAGAGGAAAGAUGCUAUACCGGUCCUUAGAGUGGCCGGGCUAAGCACACUAAGAAUGGUCAGGACCCCUGUCGGAUACGAUAUCCUGUGGUAUACCAUGCAAGCGGAACACCUCUUUGGCAAAUACUUGAGCCAACUGAACUGCAGAAGGUAGUUUCUUAAGUGGAAUAAAGUGUGCCAUUUUAGAGAACCUAUCGUUCACAGUCAAAAUUACUGUCUGUCCACCAGAUGAAGGAAGAUCUACAAUGAAGUCCAUGGAUAAGUGGGUCCAUGGUUUCUUGGGCACGGAUAGAGGCAUUAGGAGUCCCAGGGGUUUAACAUUAGGGGACUUACACUGUGGGCAAACACGACAAGCCUGCACAAAAUCCACUAUGUCUUGCUUAAGUGAGGGCCACCAAAAUUGUUGAAGGAGACCCUUGUAUGUUUUUGGUUCUAGAUCGGUCAACCACCUUAUAAUAAAGGUUAUAUCAUUAUUUACAAGCAAGCAAUUAAGAGUUUACUGAAGCAAAGCUAUGGAGUAAUUUUGAGAGUGUAUUCGGACAUAAUAUCUAUUUUAUUUAACAUAUGGAUCAAAAUUAAACAUUUACAUUUUUCAUGUGCUCAGGAUUUUAAUUUUACCCACUUACAUUAAUACAGAGUGAAUAGCUUUCAGACUGAGUAAAUGUGCUGGAGAGCGAAAAAUGAAUAAGCGACUGCUUAAUGUGCCUACAUCUGCUCUCAACGCAUCUCUGAAUUAGCAAAAUCUAUUUUAUAGAAAAAUGAAAUGUGAGUGAAAGACAAAAAAAACAUAGAUACAUACAUAGGAUGUAGUAAGAAUGUGUUCAAUGGUCAAUGCUGUGCAAAAUGAUUGACACUUUAUAAGGACCUAAAAAAACAAAACACCUGUUAUAGUAAAAUUGUCAGGAGGAUUGGAGAUAAGAUUAGAAUGAGAACAAAUCACAAUAAAAAGCAAAUCUGAUUGCGUAAUCUAGAAUUGUCCAAAUAUCAGACAGCAAGGUCCAUAUACAGGUAGGAUAAGCAAGGAUCAAAGUCAAGGUAGAAAGAAGAUCCACAAUGUAUAACUGAGGCAAAUCCACGAACAUAGAAAAAAAACAAAGCCAAUGGUCAUAUGUAAACUUCAUAGCAGGUAACACACUAAGUGCAAUUGCUCAGAUAGUUCGGUGCAUUUACAGGGGAAGCCUAUUUAGGCCACAUUCCCUGCUCUCAACUCCAGGAGCAGAAUUAGGGAAUGCACCCUCAGUACUUUACUGAGAGGGUAGUGCAUGCAUGGAAUAGCCUUCAAGCUGAAGUGGUAGAGGUUAACACAGUGAAGGAGUUUAAGCAUGCAUGGGAUAGGCAUAGCCUAUCCUAACUAUAAGAUAAGGCCAGGGACUACUGAAAGUAUUUAGAAAAUUGGGCAGACUAGAUGGGCCAAAUGGUUCUUAUCUGCUGUCACAUUCUAUGUUUCUAUGUUUAGGAACCAUGACCCCAUUGGGCGCCCUGCUCCUCCUCGGGAAGUGUGCCACCCACGAAGGAGAGUGGGAUCACCGCUAGAUCUCCGUCUGUCAUGGAGUAUCUGGACCAGAGCUGCAGCUUUGAGGGCACCUCAGUCAUCAGACUGCGAGGGAGGUGGGAAAAGGUAUGAGCUGGUGUGACGAAAAAAAAAUGGUGAAGUAGCAGAAAAAAAAUUAUUACAAUUUAUAUGGUGAUCAAACUCAGAAUGUUUUAUAUACACCAACAACCUUUGCUAGGUGCUUAAAAUUAAUAGAGAGGUGGGUACAGAAUUGCUGCUAUAAAAUGUCAUAGUAAUACAUAAUAAAUACAUUAAAAGUUUUACAUUACAACUACCCGGCACUUAACAGCUGAAAUAAUAUGAGAGACAUAGUGAGAGAUAAUGAGAGAGAGAAUGAGAUAGUGGGGAUGGUCAGAUACAAAAACUGGACAGAUAUGAAAAGAAUGAGGCAAAAUAUAGACCAAGAGAAUGCAUAAAAAGACAGCUACACAAAGCAAAAAAUAUCCAGCAGCAUAUAUAACUAUAGGAUUAAUACUUGGUAUUUUCUGUACCCAAUUUAAACCUUGGUUUCCCACAUGAUUUACCUACAAAAAUGGUCUAUAGCUUUAACUAUAUUUUUGUAGAUAAAUAAUUUAAAAGAAAUAUCUAACAGUGUUGAAUCGUUUGGAAAGUUUAUUGAAGCAAGGUUUAACAUACCUGUCUUUGUAAAGAACCUGGAUAAGGACAGUAGAAAAGAAAUACUAAAUAGAUAUAAAAGAGGAUUGACAACUCAAGAGCCAUUUACUGUUACAUUUCCGUGCAUAGUUUCUAUUCUCUUUUGCAUGCAGUAAUCCCGUCAUCAUUGAGCCUUUUGUUGAGAUCAGCUGACUGAUGACAGACAUUUGAAUUGCUGACAAUAACUUCUACAUUAUCCGUCUCUGUAUUCUAAUGCUUACACCAAGGCCUCUUUCUCCUCAAAGACUCAUAUGCCAAUUGCAAUAAAAGAACAGAUCAUUGACUGACAGUCUUGGGGAGAGUUUUAGUCAUUAUUUUAAGUCUGUACAGCUCUUGCAAAUCUUUUUUUUCCCCCUCCCCAACGUAGACAAGACUUUUGUAUCUUUCUUUUUGUCAUAAUCUGUGACCUCCUUAACCUAGAUAUUGGAUAUGUUCUUUGAUUUUAGCAGGAUGUCAUGAUGUCCAGCUAUAAGCAAAUCUAUAACACCAGAGCUGAGACCUUAACUCUCCAUAUAGCUACAAUGAUUCCUUGCCCGUAUUUCACAGAAAACUUCUGUUUUUGCAUCACAUGAGUUUCAUUUUAAACACUAUUAACCAAACUGUGUAAAAAAAAAAAAAAAAAACCAUUAAAAAAAAAAUCAAAAAAAAAAAAUCACUUUUUUCACUUUUGAUGUUGACCUCAGUGGGUUUUGAACGAUGUUACAAAAGUCAGCCAAGUAUUACACUUUUCCAUACUCUUAUGGGUCUUUACUAACUAGCAGAAAACGUUUUUUACAUUUAAGAACAGAGUAUCAUCACCUGUAGUAUCUACUACCAACUGCAAAAAGGUUGAAAAAACCACUUUCAGUUUGUUACUAUUAAAGGGACACUAUAGUCACCUGAACAACGUUAGCUUAAUGAAGCAGUUUUGGUGUAUAGAACAUGCCCCUGCAGCCUCACUGCUCAAUCCUCUGCCAUUUAGGAGUUAAAUCCCUUUGUUUAUGAACCCUAGUCACACCUCCCUGCAUGUGACUUGCACAGCCUUCCAUAAACACUUCCUGUAAAGAGAGCCCUAUUUAGCUUUCUUUAUUGCAAGUUCUGUUUAAUUAAGAUUUUCUUAUCCCCUGCUAUGUUAAUAGCUUGCUAGACCCUGCAAGAGCCUCCUGUAUGUGAUUAAAGUUCAAUUUAGAGAUUGAGAUACAAUUAUUUAAGGUAAAUUACAUCUGUUUGAAAGUGAAACCAGUUUUUUUUUUUUCAUGCAGGCUCUGUCAAUCAUAGCUAGGGCUGCAUAAACAGAAACAAAGUGAUUUAACUCCUAAAUGACAGUGAAUUGAGCAGUGAAAUGAAUGAUCUAUACACUAAAACUGCUUUAUUUAGCUAAAGUAAUUUAAGUGACUAUAGUGUUCCUUUAAUUCCUUCAUAACACAGCUUUGUACAAAGUUCACUAAAUGUUACAACUGAGGAAGGAACUAAACAAACACUUUUUAUCCUUUGGAAAAUAGGGGAAAGGCAAUUCCAAUCAACAACAGGGCCAGCGCUACCAUUAGGAGAAUAAGGCCUUCGCCUUGGGUGCCAGCCUCUGAGGGGAGCCCACUGGAAGGAUUCCUGUUGGGCUGUCUUGCUGCUGUCUGCUCCUUAGCCACUCCCCAGCACAGCCAUUUAGCUGCUGGGCUCCCUCUGCUGUCACUUUCCUGCUAGGGAGCGGGGUAUGCUGUAGGCCGAGCAGAGCACAGUGCUUCCUGCAAGCAGGGGAAGCCGGGACAUGACUUCAUAAAGUCGCUGCCCCCUGCCUGUGAACACCAGAAGCACUCUGAUGGGAGCAGGAAGCAAACUGUGCUCACAGUGCAUGGCUCUCCUGCUCCCCGCACCAGGAACAACAGCAGCUACCAGCAGGCUGGACUUCUCUCCCUCAUUCACAGCACUUAUGAAUGGUCCAUCUGAAGGUAAGUGGAACUGAUUAGGAGUAUGAGUGUAUGAUGGCAAAUUGGUCUGUGUGUAUUGAAUUGCUGUGUUUGAGUGUGUAAAUAAAGUGUGACUAUCUGUAAAGUGGUAUGAGUUUGUGCUUGAGUAACAGUGUGGGUUAGUGAGUGUGUAAGUGGCACUGUGAAUGUCACCGAGUGUGUGUGUGUGUGUGUGUGUGUGUAAGUGAAACUGUGUGUGUAAGCGAAACUGUGUGUAUGUCAGUGAUGGACAUUGUGUAUAUCAGUGAAAGUGUGUAAGUGACACUGUAUCACUGUAUGCUAUUGAGAGUGUGUAAGUGACACUGUAUGUUAGUGAGAGUGUGUGUCAGUGAGAGUGUGUGUUAGUGAGAAUGUGUAUUUAUGUCAAAGUGUGAGUGACAGUGUAUGUGACCAUGUAAAUAGAUACUUUUAUAUUAAAUUAUAUUUAUAAUGUAUAUUAAUAGCAUUCUAUAUUAAACCGAAAAAAUGUUCACAGUAACAAAUUUAAUCCCAAUAUUAUUACAAAUUAAAUACCACCAAGUGCACCAAGUGCAUUGAAAAACAGUGUAUGGAUAUAUGUUUUAGGCAGUAUGUGUCUAUUGAUGUAUGCAUUAGACAGUACGUGUGUAUUGAUCUAAACAUUAGGUAGUAUGAGUGUAUGUAUUAGGCGGUGUGUGUAGAUUUAUGUAUUGGGCUGUGUGCGUAUGGUUUGAUAGUAUGGAAUAGGCAGUCUGUGUGGAUGGAUGGAUUAGGCAGUGUGUAUACAUAGAUGCAUAUACUGGCUGAGUGUUUCUACGCAGUGUGUUUUCUACCCUUCAUCACUUAAAUAAAUAAUGGAUUGAUUACUGAAGACAAAACUAUAUAAAGAAAUGUUACCCAGAUACCUCAACAGCAUUCCAUUACAUUUCACAAAAGUAAAGCAAAGUGGAAAUUAUACCAUAAAGGGCUUCAAAUAAGUCCCAUGAUACUAACCGGGCCUUAAAAGCUACUAGCCACUGCAAGGCAUGCCAUACACACCACGGCUACAUUUUCUGUCGUCAAAGGCAAGUUGCAAGUGAAAAUUUUAAGCCAUUGUUGCACAGUCAUGGAUCCUUACUAUCAGUCUCUUCCUCUUUCUUUGCCUCUUAUUAUUCCUGUUUCUACUUUGUUUUUCCUUUCAUUGCUUUUACACUGGAAGCCACAGUAUUGGUCAUCCUACAAGUGUUCUCACUUCCCAAAGAAAGGUUGCCAAUUACUUAUUUUGCUGUAGAUGCCUACAUUUCACGCUGUGAAACCUGCUACCAUUAUAUAAAUAACCUUUAUUACUUUGAACAAGCUGGUUUCAUGUCUGUUAUUUUUCCAUGCUUUGUAGUAUAUCUUUUGCAGAAAACCAAUAAAAAUUCAUAUUUGGAAAAAAAAAAAAGCAGACUUGGGGUUAGACUAAUGAUUUGUAGACAUGAGUGGAAUGAAGAACUAAAUGUAAUUUUGUUUUAUGGUUAAAACGGUUUUGGGAACUUAUGUUAAUUAGUGAGAUUUGAGUGAUUCAAGAUUAAUUUUUUUUACUAAAAUGUAAUUCUGAGAUAAAGCUACUACCCUCAUGAAUAAAUUGGUAAAAAAAAAAAAAAAAUGUCUAUGUUAGAUGCAUUUUGGAAAAUAUAAAACUACAUAUAAAAAUAAAGAGAACAGCAGAUAGUUAAAAAGUAACAAGGCCAAUUAAGUUGCAAAUUAGAUUUAAUGUAGAUAAGAGCAAAGUUAUGCAUUUUGUGAUGAGGAACAUACAGGCAAGUUAUAACCUAAAUUAUAAUGAGUUAGGAAAAACAAUACAUGAAAAGAGAUAUAGUUAACAGCCUAGACCAGGGGUAGGCAACCUUUUAGCAGCACUGUGCCGAAAUAGAAUUGUGAUGUCCCGUAGUGUGCCGGUCCAAUUUUCUUAUAAUUGAGGUGUGUAUGUUGCCAUAUUCUGCUUGUGUUAUUUAUACUGCAGCUGCUUUGUAUAGUUGUAUUUGUGCGUGUAUGAGCUAUUAUAUUGUAUAUGUUCUUGAGUAGGUUGUGGUAUCGUGUGAUACAUGUGAAUGUGGGCUGUGUAUGGGGGCUGCUUGUGGAAUUGUGUGUAUGGGGAUAUGUCACAUUGUGUGUUCAGUGUGUUUGUGGGAUUGCUUGUGAUUUUGCAUGUGAGUGGCUACUUGUGGGGUUUUGUGCAUGUAUGUGCAUUGUUAGUGGUGUUACGAUUGUGCGGAUUGUGUGUAUGGGCUGUUAGUAUUAUUUGUAUGAGUGGAGAGUUAUUCUGCAGCUCUGUGUAUAUCUAACAGUGUGGGUUGCUUCCCUGAGGACCAGGCUGGCCAGGUGCAGGUCAAGGACAGGAGCUGCAACAGCGGGCUGCUCUACUACAGUGUGAAUUUCCAUUCAUAAGUGCUGGAAUGAAGUGAUCUGAGAUCACUUCCACUAUAUGCUGCAAUGCAUAAAUUGAGGAUUGUCCUUCACCACCUUUUCAUAUUAGCAGAUAUCUGAAGUUUCACUGGGACUCCUGAUAGGCCAGAGCCUGUUUGGCUCUUGCAGCCUUGAGUGCCAUGCAAAGACACCUCGAGUGCCGUGCAUGGCACACAUGCCAUAGGUUGCCUACCCUUGGCUUAGGUAAUAAUGUGAAAAGUCAGUCAUGAGUUGCUAAGGCCAGUAAUGUGUUGUCAUGCAUAAAAAGGGGUAUUACCGUGCAAGAUGAUAAUAUAAAUUUUGUCUCUUUCUAAAAUAAUAGUAAAAUCCAACUGUAAUAUAUAGUUUAAUUUUGGACUCACAUAGAAAGGUAUUAUAGAGCUAGAUAAAAUGCAGAAGCAGACUACAAAAUGUAGAAGGAGAAUGAAAGAUUUUAGCUAUGAAGAAAGUCUAGUAAAAUUGAACUUGUUCACUUCAGUAAAUAAAUUGUGUAACAGGGGAUACGACCCCAUUAUUUAAUGAUAUAAAUAAUUUAAUUAUAAACAGCUCUCUGUUUAUUAAUAGGACUAUACAAAAGACAAGAGGUCAACAACUUGAACAUAACAAAAAAUAAAUGUCAUCUACG